UGCCCGAGCUCCUCCAAUAACCUUUGUAUCCAAAUAGCUUCCUUGCAAGCUUGUGUAGCUGCCAUGUACUCUGCUUCUGUUGUAGAUAAAGCCACAACGGUCUGCAGUUUCGAAACCCAGCUUACAGCUACUCCCGCAAGUGUAAACACAUAACCAGUAGUGGAUUUCCUUUUAUCAAGGUCUCCUGCAAAAUCUGAAUCUACAUAGCCUCUGACAGUAAGCUCUGAUCCUCCAUAACAUAAUGCAACAUCUGAAGUUCCUCUGAUGUAUCUCAGAACCCUCUUCACAGCUAUCCAAUGCUCUCCACCAGGAUUCGCCAUAUAUCAACUGACUGCUCCCACUGCUUGUGCAAUGUCCGGUCUUGUACAUAUCAUAGCGAACAUUAAACUUCCCACUGUUGAUGCAUACGGUACUCGAGACAUCUCCUUCCUCUCUGCUUCAUUACUAGGACACAUACUUGAGGAUAAUUUGAAAUUAACAGGAAGUGGGGUAGAAAUUGGCUUACAAUCUUGCAUGUUGAAGCGUCGCAAGAUUUUCUUUAAGUAAUUCUUCUGCGAAAGCCAAAUCUUCCUGUUAUUUCUGUCUCGGUGAAUUUGCAUCCCAAGAAUCUUGUUUGCUGGUCCCAAGUCCUUCAUUUCAAACUCCCUAGCCAACUGUGCCUUCAAUUCUUGGAUUCGAUCUUUGUUAGGACCUGCUACCAACAUGUCAUCCACAUACAACAGAAAAAUAAUGAAAUCAUUAUCUUCAAACCUCUUGUAAUAUGCACAAUGGUCUGAACUGAGUCUGUUGUAUCCAAGGCUCAUGAUGAAGGAAUCAAAUCUCUUAUACCAACACCUCGGCGCCUGUUUGAGACCGUAAAGAGAUUUGUUCAACCUGCAAACCAAGUUCUCCUUUCCUGUUUCUGCAAAACCUUCUGGUUGGAGCAUAUAUAUUUCUUCUUCAAGUUCUCCAUGAAGAAAUGCAGUUUUCAGAUCUAACUGCUCUAGAUGUAGGUCAAAUGUAGCACACAUUGCCAAGACUAUUCUAACACGAAAAUAUCUCGUUGAAGUCAAUACCUUCUUUCUGAGCAUAUCCUUUCACCACCAAUCUUGCACGAUACCGCUCCACUUGGUCAUUGCCAUCACGCUUGAUCUUAUAGACCCAUUUGUUUCCAAUGGCUUUUCUUCCACGUGGUAGUGGUACAAGUUCCCAUGUCUUGUUCUUGUGUAGAGCUUCAAUUUCUUCCUGCAUUGCUGUCAUCCACAAAGCAAUAUCUAAGCUUUCUAAAGCUUCAUGGAAAGUUGAAGGCUCUCCAUCCUCUAUUAGAAGACAGUAUGCAACGUUGAUCUCUAUGAUAUACUCCGAGUGCCAUGUUGGUGGUCGUCUCUCACGAGUUGACCGACGAACUUCUUGAGCCUCGGACUCGACUGGUUCUUGUUCCUCGUGCUCUGGUGCUGCUUCAGAAGAAUCUGAAUCUUCUAGAUUAUUUUCCACAUAUACUGGCACGAUCUCUGACUUUUCUUUCGUAGUGCCAUCAUCUUCAUCUCUCCUUUGCAGUUGAUCUUCUACAAAGAUAACAUCUCUACUGAUGACGAUCUUGUGGGUAGUGGGGUCCCACAGACGAUACCCCUUUACUCCAUCAGCAUACCCCAAGAAGAUACAUCUUCUAGAUUUUGCAUCUAACUUUGUUAUUUCUUGGGCAUUGUAUAUCACGUACACAGGACAUCCAAAUGCAUGUAGGUAGGAAUAAUCAGCUGGCUUUCCAGUCCACAUCUCCAUUGCUAUCUUUAGCCAAAUAGCUGUAGAUGGCGAUCGAUUUACUAUAUAACAAGCAGUUUUGGCUGCUUCUGCCCAGAAUGAAUUGGGUAGACCAGCAGUCCUCAACAUAGCUCUUAUUCUUUCUGUAAGAGUUCUGUUCAUCCGCUCUGCCACUCCAUUUUGUUGAGGAGUGUAUGCCACCGUGAACUCCCUCUGAAUACCUUCUUGCUUACAGAAAGCAAGAAACUCGCCGUCUGUAUACUCUCCACCAUUAUCCGUCCUGAAGCACUUGAUCUUUUUACUAGAUUCAAGUUCCACCCGCGCUUUGUAUUCUUUAAACACUGGAAAUACAUUUGACUUUUUCUUAAUUGGAUACACCCAACAUCUUCUGGAAUAAUCAUCAAUGAAGGUCACCAUGUACUUUGCACCUCCCAUGGAUAUAUCCGGUGAUUCCCAAACAUCAGAAUGAAUUAAGUCUAGAAUGCAUUUACUUCUAGCAAUAGAUCUACUAAAUUUUAAUCUAUGCUGCUUACUAGUAACACAAUGCUCGCAAAAUGGUAAACUUACCGAUUUGAGCCCCGGAAGCAAUUUUCGCUCAGAGAGAAUCUUCAAACCUUGUUCUGACAUGUGGCCAAGUUUGAGAUGCCACAUCAUUGUUGACUCUUCUCCAUUUGAUGCGACACACGCAUCAGCCUCCUGUAGUGUUUCUCCUUUAAGCAUGAAUAGAUUAGCACCGAUCUUUUCUGCCUUCAUCAAUACAAGCGCGCCUUUAACGACCUUCAUAAUUCCAUUCUCCACAUGAGUUUUGUACCCAUGACUAUCCAUUUGUCCCAAAGACAAUAGAUUUUUCUUCAGGCCGUUGACAUGUCGUACCUCCGCAAUUGUGCGAAUUGUACCAUCAAACAUUUUUAUUUUGAUAGUACCAAUACCAGCGAUCUCCAAGGUAUGAUCAUUACCCAUAUAUACAGAUCCUCCUGAGAUAGGUUCAUAUGUGUGGAAUCAUUCUCUCCGAGAGGUCAUGUGCCAGGUAGCUCCUGAGUCUAUAAGCCAGACAUCAUAAAGUCGUUUUCUGCCUUCUGAAACAGUUGUUGCUUCGCUGUAGAGAAUUUCGCCAUCAUCCGAGGUACUUGCUACACACCCCUGAGCAUUUGAUGACUUAGGUUCUUUGCCCUCUUUUCUCUUCUGGUUACUCCAACACUCUUUCUUGACGUGUCCUUUCUUGCCACAGUUGUAGCAUUUAACAUUCUUCUUACUUCUGGAUUUUGAUCUACCAUUAUUGUGACUCCCACUGGGGCCACGUUCUAUUGAUCUCCCUCUCGUCACCGAUAGCGCCUCCGCUUGCUGCGAACUUGCUUGUCUGUUUUCCUUAUUUUUCCGCCUGCUCUCCUCAUUUAAUAUGGAGGCUGCAACAUCGUCAAAAACUAGACUGUUCGCUGGAUUGUUGUUUGUCAGGUUGAUGAUGAGUUGAUCAUACGAAUCUGGUAGACUUUGAAGUAGAAGCUCUGCACGUUCAUUUUCCUCUAUAUUAUGACCCAAAGUUGUGAGUUGUGAAAAUAGAGUCUUCAAGGUGUUGAUGUGGUCGGUCACCAUUGUAGAUUCCACCAUUCGAAGAGUAUAAAGUUUCCUCUUCAAGAAAAUUUUGUUGUGUAGUGACUUGGCCUCGUACAAUUUUGUGAGAGUAUCCCAAAUUUCCUUCGCUGUGUUUUUCUCUGCCACACUGGAUAAUACUCCGUCUGCAAGUGCCAAGUGUAGAUCAGAAAUGGCAUUGCCGUCUACCUCGUUCCACUUGUCAUCAGUUAUCUUUAUGGGCCUUUCUCCAAUUGCUGCCAAGCAAUUAUUUUUCCUCAAUACAGCUUUCAUCUUCAUUUUCCACAACGAAAAAUUAUUUCCGUUAAACUUCUCAAUUUCAUACUUUGCCGCCAUUUUGUUGAUAAAUACCGCACACAAGCUAGUGUACCACCUUGAAUAGUUGUGAGUAUGUGUGAGAAUGCACACCAGGAAAGUUCCCAGGAAAGACUGGAGGGGUCACAAUGGUCCCACUUAAAACCCAGACUCCUUAAGCUCUUAUCGCCUUUGUGACAGAACUUUCCUAGACAUGUACAAAACCACACAGUUGCUUUUACUCACACCACUAUUCUCUGCUUUGCACCGUAAAAUUCUUGGAUCACUUCCACCGUUUCACGUGAAUAGUACUGUAUACGUGAACAGUACCGUAUACGUGAAUAGUAUCGUAUACGUGAACAGUACCGUAUAUGUGAAUAGUACCCCUUAGUGAACAGUACCCAACUCCAAAAAAUACAACCAAUAGCUCUGAUACCACUGUUAGGAAAUUGGUGGGUAAAGCAGACACGCAGCUAAGUUGAAAUUGGUAGAAACAAUAAAGAACAAGCACAAUAGAGGACACAAGAAAUUACGUGGUUCGGCUUUUAGCCUACGUCCACGGGCGAAAACAGAAGGAAAUAUUUUACUAGUGAAAAGGAGUUACAAGUAUUGUAGUAUUUUAGCUCACUACCCAAAACCCCAAUACACCCAAACUCUCUCAAUCACUGUAACAAGAGCUUAUAAAUGCAAGCUUUUGAACUCUCUCUCAACUCCCUAAAUUGCUCUCUGAAUAGAAUACCUUUGCUCAUUCUCUUCGUUUCUAUUUAUAGAGAAAGCUUUGGCAGUAUGCAGCAAUUCUAUAUUAUUUUUACGUUCUUUUUUCUUCUUUUAAAUGUCAAACCCAUGUGCUCCUUUUCCUUUCCAACUUGCAAAAUUCCUCUUCUUUGAACAACAUGGAUGCUGACCAUCUAGAUGGCUGCUUUAAACCAUCUAGAUGGCUGCCUUUGACACUUCAUUCCAAGCAACUUUAAAAUUAUCCAUCACAUUAUCUGUCAAAAGCUCAAAACCCUUGUCCUUAGCCGUCUGAUAACCUGAACAUGACCGCAUGAACGUGAAGUAAUCAUCUAAAUCCAUCACCUUCUCUAAACAAACUGAUCAAACGGCCCCGUAUUAUCCACCCCGUCCACAGGCUCAAACGGAAAAUCAACGCUCAUGUACUUGUUGUCCACCUAUUUACGUUGUGGUUCCCAAAAUGGCUCACGAUCAACGGUGUCAAAUGGUUUGAAAACUGCUCCUACGGAUUCAUUGAUUUUGAUAAGAAGCUACGCAGAACUAAUCGUGUAGCCAAGCCCAACAGCAAGUACAUGGAAUAUGCAUGGGCACGUCAUUAGCCAUGCAACCUUUGAGAUGAUGAUUUGGAGUUGACUUCUUCAAAUUAUUCGUUGCUAGGAAUAUGCAUGGGCACGUCAUUAGCCAUGCAACGUUUGAGGUGAUGAUCUGGAGCUGACUUCUUCAAAUUAACCGUUGCUUAUUUGGAGGAGAUCUUUCAUGCAAGUAUUUGUUUUGGAAUAAUAGUCAGGUUGUUGAGAUGUUGUUAACGACUUGAUUUAGCUAGCUUUGUUCAAGCCUUGUUUCACGGCUAAGGAAAUUAGUUUUGUAUUAGACUAUAAAUAAGCUCUUUUAUUCAAUAAUAAGAUCAUCAGAUUUUUAUUCCAAAAACAUUAUUUGAGGUAGUUCUCGCCCAAAGAAGAACAAGCAAUUUACUUUGUCAAUUCUGCUAGUUUUGACUGGGACCCCUAUUAGAUUUCGGGCAUGGUGUAGGUCCAUGCGGCUAUUACUCCAUUAGGUUUUUUGAGUACCCAUUUUACUUGUUUGUAAAAUUGAGGCAAGUCAAACCAAUGAAGUGCUGCAGCGAUUGUCACUAGAUCUACACUCGAUUGUGGUUGGAGGAGUAAGUUGAUACCGAAUAUUGGGGAGCUUUAUUGCGAAUUCUAGCUGUUUUGGGCUUGUGUCUGUAGCAAUGACAUUCUUGUAGAUUUUUGCAAGCUGAAGACGUACAAUUGAGAAAUUAUAAAAUAUAAGAAGCGAUAGAAAAAGUAUGAAAAUUUUAGUUGGGCCAAUGGCACUAAAGUGAGAGGUCUCCAUUCCCACUAACUAGGUCAACUAAAAUGGUAGUUUUUGAUCGAUCAGGUGAAGCUUAAAAACGUUUUACCUUACAUGCAUUGUUAUUUAUUUAUGAUCAUAAUUUAUUUCUUUAUUAUUUUCAUUAUUAUUAUUUUUGCUUAAUUUAAUAACUCAAAUCACUAGAGAAUUUUAGUUUUAAUGAUGCGGUAGAAUAUCAUAUACAUACUGGUUUGGCAGCCUGGCCGCUUCCUGUGCCUACAUCCCAUACAAGGUCGUGAUGGGGUGUUUUAGAGGCGAUGAAUUGAAACAAUUCUGAUGGAUAACUUGGCCUACCUUCGGCAUAUUGCUUUGCCUGCUUAAUAAAUAAUUGAUCUGCCAUCUUUAUGCAAGCAAGGUUAAGUAUUCAGAAAUUUUUCGGUGUAAUGAAGAUUAUGAAAUCAGAGGAUAUGCCUAUAUAUGCUUCAAGAAUGGUGAAAACUAAACCUGCUUUAAUCACAUUUAAAAGAAAAAAACAACGGCGGAUCCUUUGCUAUAGCUCUUGGUUUCUUGUUGCAAAGUGGGUGCCUACGAUACAAACGGAACAUGCAUGAGGGCCUAAAGAAGAUGCAAUAAACUAGCUGUAAAUGGACGGAAACAACGUGUGGGCUGCAUUAUGUGGUAAAAUUUAUGGUUGAAAAUUUUAUGUGCCUUUAUUUUAGGUACAAUCAGCUAAUAGAAUUAUGACGUGUAGGUUUUUUUUUUUUUUUUUUUUUUAUAUAGAUGUCAUUUUGUUGGUUGGUACUUCAUAUAUAUAUAUAUAUGUGUGUGUGUGUGUGUGUGUGUGUGUGUGUGUUUUGAAAUGUUCCAGUUCAGAAUCCUACAUUUGUUAAAAUUUGGGAAACCUAUUAAAUUGCGGAGUUUAAUAGUGUAAUGUAUGUGAAAACUAUUAAGCCGUGCAAACUUUAAUGAAGUACUGGAUUCUGGACCAGAUUGAGACUUUAUACACACACACACACACAUUCGAGUACAAGAUCCUGAAUUUGUUAAAGUCUAAGAAAGCUAUUAAGUCGUGGGGUAUAAUAGUGUAAUGUUUGUGAAAGUUAUUAAAUCGUGUGGUUUAAUAAUAUUAUUGGCAUAAUGUUAUUAAACCCCGCGACUUAAUAAAUAGCUUUUUCGGACUUUAAUAAAGUACAGGAUCCUGGAAUAGAAUUUGUCGAGAUACCUUAAUUUCUUAAUUUCGAAUAAUUUAGAUUUACAAGUGAGAAGGUACUUAGAAAAGGAAGAGAGCCAUGCUAUUGCAAAUAAGUCAUUGGAUAAUAUUAUUUGGAUGAAUAACUAUCAAUGUAGUCCAUCAAAAAGAGUCUCAGAAAUUGAUCGAGUAGUUUUCAAAUAAUUUUAUUUGAUUGGCCAUUUGAAUUUGACUUAGGAAGAUAAAGAUUAAAAAAUUAAGUUAAUUUUUACCUACCUCUCCAUUUUUUUAAAGGGCAAGGCUAUUGGAACCCAGAAUAGUACUCUUGACACCCAUGUUUCUGUAAUUUUUUUUUAUUACUUUAAUAGCCUUAAGUGAAAUUACUCAAAAGUUAAAAGGAUAAUAGAUUAAAAUAAUAUAUACACCCAACCUAUUAUGAUUCAUAAAUCUGUCUAUUUUCUUUUCAUAAAUUUUUAUUCAAAGUAAGAGAGAAAGUUUCAUGGUAUUAAACUUGCUAAUUAAUUAUGUAUUCAAGUAUAAUCUUUGCGUUUGUGGUAACUAGUUACUGAUAAUCAGUGCCCCUAAUUGUGCAUUUGGUGUAAAGACACAGAUGCAAGAGGAGAGGCUACGCAAAUACAGUCCUUUGAUCUUUCCAUGUUUUUUAAGUUACAAAAUUUAUACAUGGGUUGAUAAAGAAUGAAUUUUCUCUUUUUCAGUAUUUACAUCACAUUAUUUUCAUUUCCUGUUCAAAUCUUACUAUUGUGCAGCUCGACAUGAAUUUUCUUUUUCUUUUCUUUUUUUCUCUUUAAUCAAAUGAUGGCAAGCAACUCAAAAUUUUGUUGAAUUUUCAGAUGAUUUGAAAGAGUUUUAUCGCCAUUUUUACUUCUAAAUUUUCAUAAACAACAAUUUGUCUUAAUGAAAGGGGAAAAGAAUUCUUCAUGCGUGGGUUUGAAAAUAAAGAAGAAAUAUGAAUAAAGGAGUAAAUUAGAAUUACAUUUAAAAUUUAAUGGGUCUUAAAAGUAAAAACGCGAUUUUUAAAAUUUCACAAUGGGUGUAUUGAGAAAUCAGGUGGAGAGAGUAUUUUUGUGGGUUCAAAUAACCCCACCCUUUUUUAAAACUCGUUAAUAGAACAAAUAUCGGUCGAUCAAAAUGACCAAAUUGUUUGACUUUUUUCUUCUUUACCAACAUUAAUAAUUUCUCUCUCUAAUGCGUUUGUGAUCUCAAGUAGAUAGGACAAGCAAAUGAAUUUGGGAUUAUAAUGAUAAGGAAAAUGCUUAACAUCUCCAAGGUUGAGACACGCUGCCGUUUCGCCUCUCUCUCUCUCUCUCUCUCUCUCUCUCUCUCACACGAGCGCGUGCGCGCGCGCACACACACCCCCAUGACCUUAUGUACGUAAAGUAACUCCCCAUCACAUUUUCAUUCAAAAGCUCAAUAUCCUUAUCCUUAGCCGUACACACACCCCAUGACCUUAUGUACGUAAAGUAACUCCCCAUCACAUUUUCAUUCAAAAGCUCAACAUCCUUAUCCUUAGCUGUCUGAUAUGCAGACCAUGACCUUAUGUACGUAAAUUAACUCUCCAAAUCCAUCGUUUCUGAUAGGUCCCAGUUAGAGUUGUUGUAUCUAUAUAUAUAUAUAAAGCUAGGACUUGAGGAGGUGAUGUGGCAUCACCAUUUUGCUUCUUUGUAUAUUCUCUAUUAUCUAAUAAAUAGAGAUUUUUUUUUUAGAUUUGUCUUUUCAUCUUCUCAUAAUUAAUUUGAUUGUAUUUAACUCAUUUAAUAAAUAGUAACUUUAUUAAUAUAUAUCAUUCCUCAUCUUUUUAUAUUUUCUAUUAUAUAAAAUAUCUAAAAUAUUGAUGGAUAUUCUUUGUACCUUUUUUCUCUUUCUAUUUAAAUUCAACAAUAUGUAAUAAUUAAUAAUAAUUAAUUAUAAGUCUUUUGAAACAUUUAUUUAUUUUAUUAUCCUAGCAAUUAAACUUUAGUGGCAUAAAAUAAAUGAAUUAAUCUAUCUAUCUAUACAUCUAUACAUAUAUAUAAAGUUGGGACUACAAGAGGUGAUGUGGCAUCACCAUUUCUCAUCAUUUCAUAUUGUCUAUUAUUUAAUAAAUUGGUUGAAAUUAAAAAAUAAUUACAUUACAAAAUAUUAAAAUAGAAAAUAAUUAUUAGAUUAUAAAUAAUUACAUGUCUUUUCCUCUUUCUAUUUAAAUUCAACAAUAUGUAACCAUUAAUAAUAAUUAAUUAUAAGUCUUGAAACAUUCAUUUAUUUUAUUAUGCCAACAAUUAAAUUUUAGUGGCUUAAAAUACAUCAAUUAAUUAAUAUAGGAAGGAAUGUUCCUUCAUCUUCCCUCAACAAUGCCAUUAGAGCCUAAUUUUAAUGUCAUAAUCUCAUAUUUAAUUAUUUAAUCUUUUGUUUAGUGUCUUUUGGUUUCUUCAAACUCAAUAAACAUUAAAUAUUUAAGAUUUGUGGCAUCAUUAUUUCUCAUCUUUUUUUAUUCUCUAUUAUCUAAUAUAUUGGUUGAGAUUAAAAAAUAAUUACAUUACAAAAUAUUAAAAAUCUAUAUUUAUAUCUAUAUAUAUAUAUAUAUAUAUCUCUAUAUAUAUAUAUAUAUAAAGUUGGGACUAGAGAAGGUGAUGUGACAUUACUAUUUCUCAUCUUAUUGUAUUCUCUAUUAUCUAAUAAAUUGGUUGAUUUUAAAAAAUAAUUACAUUACAAAAUAUUAAAAAUAAAAAAUAAUUAUUAGAUUAUAAAAGAUUACAUGUCUCUUCCUCUUUCUAUUUAAAUUCAAUAAUAUGUAACCAUUAAUAAUAAUUAAUUAUAAAUCUUGAAACAUUUAUUUAUUUUAUUAUGCCAACAAUUAAAUUUUUGUGGAUUAAAUAUAUCAAUUAAUUACUAUAGGAAUGAAUGUUCCUUCAUCUUCCCUCAACAAUGCCAUUAAGGUCUAAUUUUAAUGUUAUAAUCUCAUAUUUAAUUAUGCAACCUUUUGUUUAGUACCUUUUGACUUCUUCAAACUCUAUAAAUAUUAAGUAGUUAAGAUUUGUGGCGUUAUUAUUUCUCAUCUUGUUAUAUUUUUUAUUAUCUAAUAUAUUGGUUGAGAUUAAAAAAUAAUUACAUUACAAAAUAUUAAAAAUAUAAAAUAAUUAAUAGAUUACAAAAGGUUACAUGUCUCUUCCUCUUUCUAUUUAAAUUCAACAAUAUAUAACCAUUAAUAAUAAAUUAAUUAUAAGUUUUGAAACAUUCAUUUAUUUUAUUAAGCCAACAACUAAAUUUUAGUGGUUUAAAAUACAUCAACUAAUUAAUAUAGGAAGGAAUGUUCCUUCAUCUUCCCUCACCAAUACUCUAUGACCUAAUUUUAAUGUCAUAAUCUCAUAUUUAAUUAUGCAACCUUUUAUUUAGUAUCUUUUGACUUCUUCAAGCUCUAUAAAUAUUAAGCAUUUAAGAUUUGUUAUGUUUGAGUUUUUUUUAUUAUUUAACCAACAUCCUCUUUAGAAAUGUUCUUGUGUUUUUAUUUUUUGACUUAUUUAAAUUUUUAGUAUUGUAUGCUUCAUGGAGUACUAUUUUCUUUAUGAGUUAAACAAUGAUAAAGAUAGUUGGAUGAUAAAGGUUAGGCUUUGUAAGAUGUGAGAGUCUGUUAAUACCAAGAAAAAUGGAGAGUUGAUUAGUGUGAACAUAAUUUUUAUUGAUGAAAAGGUUGUGUACACUUAACUAUACACAUGAAUAUAUAUUUUUAAUGUUAAUAAAAAUAAUUAACUUUCAUAAAUAACAUUAGUUUUAUAAGACUGCGUCAUCUUUAAAAAAAAUAAUUCAUAUUUUUUUAUCAAUUUCAUCAAUUACAAAGUAAUAAAAAAAUAAUAUUAAUUUUUUUUUAAAGCCGCACGAAGUGCGGUUCUAUUUCCUAGUUUUGUAUGUAAAUAGGAUUCUACUUAAGGCGAGAAUCAGCCACAAGAAUUUGUUAUUGAAUUCACUCUUUUCUUUAUUCUGCAUAAUACUUGAGUUUAAAUACAUAAAGGACUAACAGACUCCUCCUAAAAUAAUGUCACAACUAUUGAAAAUCAGUAACUGAAUCCAGAUAAAGCCGGCACCUAUUAAAAUAACAAAAUACUUGCUAACAGAACUUAAUUAAGCCUUAACUUGCACGUGACUAAGCUGACCACUCCACUAAAUCCACUAAAUUCUCAACGGCUCCAUGCAUUCUUGACUCAUUCCUUUUAGACAGUGAACUUGCAAUUCUUGAUGGGCACACGUUGAGACUUUCUUGGCUUAUCAGUUUCCUCUAUAGCAAACUGAUCAAACGGCCCCGUACUAUCCGCUCCAUCCACAGGCUCAAAUGGAAAAUCAAUGGUCAUAUACUUGCUGUCCACCAACUUACGUUGUUUGUGGCUCCCAAAACGGGUCAGAAUCAAACGGUGUAAAACGGUUCGAAAACUACAUCAACGGAUACGUUCACUUCUGGGACUAUGUUGCGCCAUGUAGCUAUUACACGAUGGGUUUUUUGAGUACCCAUCUAACUUGAUUGUAAAACUGUGGCAAGUAGAACCAGUGCAUGGCUUGAGCAGUCGUCACCAGAUCUACGGUUGAUUGUGCUGCCACGUUUUGUUCAAGCUCAGCUGUAGACAUGGCCGGUGGAGUGACCUGAUAUCGAAUAUUUGGUCGCUUUGUUGCGAAUUCUAUUUGUUUGGGGCUUGUUUCCAUGCCAAUAACAUUUUUGAAGAUCCCGGCUAACGGAAAUUUACGUGCAUAAGACUUUUCGUUACCAAUGUCAUAUCGCUUAAUUCAUUAAGGUAGCGUUUACUUUUUGGAUUGGAUUGGGAAUCCUGAGGAGUGGGAAUCCUAGGAUUGAGAGUGUGGAGUGGGAGUGGGAAUAGGUUGUUUACUUACACUAGAAUGGAAGUAUGGAAUAAAGAUCAUAAUCUAAUUUAUGUGUUUAUUUUGUCUUGGAUUGGGAGUAAAUAAUUUUAAAUUACAAUUUUAUCCUUAUUUAAAGAAUUAUAAUUUUUAAUUACAAAACUAAUAAAAAAUAUAUUUAAUGAAUAAUAUUUAUUUUAUUAUAUUUGUAAAUUUAUUAUAAUUAUUAAUAUUCUUAAUUAUGAACAAUAAAUUAUUAAUUUUAAUAUAAAAUGAAACCUUAUUUUAUUUAAUAUAAUUAUAUUAAAUUUAUUAUUAUAUAAAUAAUAAUAUAAUAUUAUUUAGUAAAAAAUUAAUAUUUUCUUAGAAUAAACUAUUUAUUAUUAUUAAUAUUAAAUAAAUAUAGUACUAUUAUUUUUAAAAUAAAUAUAAUAAUAUUUUAUUUAUUAAUUCUCUAUUAAUAUAAUAAUAUUAUUUUAAAAUAAUUUUAACUUAUAAUCAAUGCAAAUUAUUAUUUAGUUAAAUAUAAUAUUAUUAUUCAAAUAAAUAUAAUAUUAUUAUUCAAAUAAACAUAAUAUUAUUUAUUUUAUUUUAUUAAUUAUAAAAUAUUAAAUUAAAAAAAAUAAAAGGGUAAAAAAGGGAGAGGUGGGAGUGGAUUCCCACUCCCACCUCCCCCAAUGGGAGUCCCACUCCCACUCCCCACUCCAAAAAUGGGUGGGGCCUGGGAUUCCCACUCCCUUCCUAUUUUAAGGAAGUAAACACGGGAGUGGGAGGAAUCCACACUCCUCACUCCCACUCCAGCAAGUAAACACAGCAUAAAAGGUAGCACAACACUAUUUGAACACAGUAAUUCUCUCUACACCUUUUUUUUUAAUUUAAAAUUUUAUUAUUUUAAUAAAUUUUAAAAAAAACUUAAUUAAACCUUUCUUCUUUAUUUCUUCUCAAUUUCACAAAAUUCUCAUCAAUUCAUUUAGACGUACUCUUUUAGCUAUAAAUAAUUAGUAUCACUAACUAAGAGGGAAAAAAUCCACUAUCUAAGGAUGAACAUCAAUAGGGGUGGAGAAUUUUAUGUUACCCCGAGCUAAACUAAACAUUUUGAAGUGAGCAUAAACAUUCAUAAGUAACAUCAAAUAAAGGGGACAUGAAAAAUUUUAUGAAUACACACUCUAAACAAAAAUAAUUAUAGAAAAUUUAUAGAAAACAAAUGAUAAUUAAAAUAUAAAAACACUGUUUUUCGAUUAUGGAAUCUGACAUUGCAAUCUAUAAUAACAUAUAAUUAUAUAAGAAUUAAUAAAUCAAUUAAGAAUUUCAAGAUAAAAUAAAUCAAUGCAUGUAAUUACAAUCAAUUAAAAUUUGUAAGUAGAACUUGUAUUGAAAAGUGCUUAAUUACCAGGUUUAAAUAAAUUAAACAAUUAAAGUUUAUUUAUACUUUUAAAUUACAAAAAUUUAUUAGUCAAAAGUUUCAAUAAUAAACUAAACUCAAUCUACCAAAAAGGUAUUUACGUGUCGUUAUUUAUGUGUUGGCAUUCUUAUUCUCUUUAAAAAACCAGAUGCUAAUGAUUUUUCUAUCAAAAACUCCUCAAAAUACUCAAAUUUUGUUUUCUAACUUGUUCUCUUAAAUAAUGUAGCUAAUAAAUAAAAUCUUGAAAUUCACAUAAAAAGUUUAUGAAAAUGUUGAUAAUUGUUAUUAUGUGUUUUUUAGUACUUUUAAUACUAGUGAUAAUUUUAUUUACAUUGACAUACUUUUCUUUCAAUUAGAAUUUUUGAAAAUAAAUUAAAGCAGUAACAACAUUUUAGACCACCAAUGUUUUCUAUCUAUUCAAUAAAUAUAUGAUUUUAUCAUUUUAUAAAAUAAGUCACUAAUUUCAAUUAAAAAAAUGUUAUUGAAUUAGGGAUAUAUUUGAAAAUAAAAUGAAAACUCUAUCUUUAUUUAAAAUUAAUAAAAAAUAUGGGAUAUAAAUGAUUUUUUCUAGACUAAAAGUGUGCCACUAAACAUCAACAAACUUUUAUUAGUCAUAAAAGUUUAUGAAUAUAAAAAAAAUGUUAUAUAUAGAAAGGAUGAAAUAUAGAUUAUGAUAUAAUAAAAAAGAUUAAAAAUAAACUUAAAAGAGAUUAAAUUUGAGUGUUUAGUUUAUAAAAUAGAGAAAUUAUCAUUCAUAUACCCUAUAUUUGCUCUGUUAUCAAAAAUACUACAACACUUUGAGGGUGUAUCAAUCGUCCACCCUUAGUUGACAAAAUGUAUCAGCCGACCACCAAACCGUUAGUUGCCGUUUGAAAGUUAACGGAGUUACAAUGAAUUGACGAAUUUACCCUUAAAAAUUAUCACUUGUAUACCUUUAAAUUAUCACUUGUAUCAUAUGAAAAGACCAAAUUAUCCUUCUGACGUCAUCAUACUUAAACGGCAACUAACAGUUUGGUGGUCAGUUGAUACAUUUUGUCAACUUAGGGUGGACGAUUGAUACACCCUCAAAGUGUUAUAGUAUUUUUAAUAAUGGAGUAAACUAAGGGUAUACAAAUGAUAAUUUCCCUAUAAAAUAUAAGAGUAGAGGAUAAUAUAUAACAAUAAGUUAGAAAGAUAAAAUAAUUAUUAUAAGAUAAUUAUAAGAUUUUUUAAUAAUAAAUUUAAUUUUUUUUUUAAAGAAAUAAAUUUAGUUUUUAAAAUAAGUGUAGAGAGAAAUUUGAUGGGUUUAAAUAUUGGGAGACGCGUCAUGUGAUGAAAGUAAUGAAGCAACGAGACAUCUCAAUGUGCUGUUUUCCCAACCUGCACUUCAAGCUUAAAAUAAUGAAGUGAUUCUUUGGUAAUAAAAAAAAAAAAAUGAAGUGAUUCUUUGGAUUGGAUUUUGGGGCCCGAAUAGUAAUAUUGGCCCGGAGGACUUGUGAGACUGUAGAAUUUGGUCCAUGUUUUGCGCUUAUCAAAUGUCAAUAGAACUUUGUUUAAAAAGAAGGUGUUGCAACGCCAGUUUGAUAAUGUCUUAAUUUUUAAAUUAGUUAAAUAUUUAUUUAUAUUUUUAUAAUAAAUAUAAAUAACUGAAAUAUAUAUAAUAUCAAACAAAAUUUAUUAGUAUAUUUAUAAGCAUGGUUAUAUAAUUUUUUUAAUGUUUAUAUAAAAUAAUUGAUAACUAAAAAAAACAUUUAUAUUUGUUUAACAUUAUUUCUUUGUUUAGUUAUUUUAAUAUAAAUGGUAAUAAUAUUGCACAUAAAUUUAAUAAUUUUAUUUUCUAGUGAGUGUGUGUGUAUUUAUAUAUGGAGUUUAAAAAUAAUUUUCAAAAUUAGAUUUGAAAAAGAUAUUUCUUCCAUACUUUUUAAAAUUUUACCUUAGAAUUAAGUGAUUUUCCCAAAAGUUAUUUUUUAAAAAAUUUAUUAAAUAUUAAAAUUAAUUUUUAACUUUUUAAAAUUAUUUUUAAACCUUCCAAAAACAACUCCAAUCGAGCCUUUAAUAGGAUAAUUUUUAUACAUGGGACAAAUUGGGGCUAAACUAAAAAAUCUUCAUCUAUUUGGUAAGUUUGUUUUAAUGAAAAACUAGCCAAAUAGUUAUAAGUUAUUGCUCUUCGUUUGUUGCAAAUAUUAUAGUAUUUCCGUUAUCACUCGUCGAGCUGUGAAAUUCUUCGAUAAAAAUAAAAUACAAAUUUGACUAGGCUAUAAUAUAAAAUCUAUAAAAUUGAAGAUGCCAACAGCAGGGGUUAUAAUAGAUAGACUAUAAAGUUUGAUAGUCUAUUACAAAAUUAAAUAACAAUUUAAUGGACAAAACGUAAAAUUGUGAUUAAAAAAUUAACUUCCAUAUUCAUCUUAUUAUUUGACGAAUUUUCAACAGGAACAACAUACAACAAGGUUAUCCUUCUCUUUGGACUAGGUGUUGAUUUUCGUAUUUUUACUGUUUAUUGCUCAUUGAAUCUUUUUUCUUUUUCUUUGCUUACUACCAGGGUUCACCUUUCCUUAGCAUAUGAAAUUGAUACAUUUUAUUUUUUCUGGUUUUAGUUUUUUUUUUAAUUACUUAAUUGUAAGACUAGUUUAGAAAAUUCAAGUGAUCCUGCCCACACUCCUAGACUAUAGGCAUGAGUUUUUGAUACCAUAAUAAAUAACAUAUGAAUUUUAUUAGUGUGAAUUACGCCUGGGGUUUAGCAUCUUGAAAUUUACCCACACUCAAAUUAAGCGUACUGGCGAAAUUACAUCCUAGAGUACUUCUUUUGCCCCCUUAACGUAAGCUUAAUUGGCUAGCUGCGAAUAUAUUUGGUGCCAUGUUACCUAAGUUCAAGUAAAGGGAGCCAUAAGUUCAAGUAAAGGGAGCCAUCAGGCUUUAGCCCAGUGGUUAGAAGCCAAAUCUCAUAAUUGUGAGGUCAUAGGUUCAAAUCCCCACAAUGUAUUAUGGGGAUUUAAUUUCAUUUAUCAAUUUGAGUGAAAAUAAUCUUCUCCCUUUCAAAAUAUAAGUGGAGUAGACAUCUCUUAAAUAUUAGAGAUGGUAAAAAUAUAGGCGGUGCUUUAUAAGAAUUAAUGUAAACUAGUCCCAGUAAUUGUAUGAUUUGUAAAUAUCAGUUAUAAUCUCAUGUAAUAUGAGUUGUACUCUUGAGCAAUUUAUAAGAAUUAAUGUAAACUAGUUCCAAUAAUAGUCUGAUUUGUAAAUAUCAGUUAUAAUCUCAUGUAAUAUGAGUUGUACUCUUAAACAAUAGUCUCAUGAAAAAAAAAAGAAAAAAGUAAAGGGUCUGGCUAUGUUACGAAAACCGUGUCAUACGGAACUUUGAUAUGACAAGGGAAGGUUGGUUAGCUUGGCACGUGUAGCAUUAAAAAUAAGGAAAUAAAUUAAAAUAAUAGAUUUGUGUCUCGUAAGGAAGAACAAUUCUACUAUUUACCCCGGGUCAAACCCCGAAAGCAAUAAACGACGACGUUUCAAUCACUUUUUUUUUUCCUUUCAUUCAAGCUAAAACGACAUCGUUUUAGCUUGGUUAAGGUAAAAUUGUUACAGCCCCAAAUUGCUUUCUCUUUCUCUUCGUCUCACAACCUUUUGCCUUCUAUUUCUCUGUAAAACCACUGCUUUCUCUUCCCCUUCGUUUCAUAGCCACCAUCACGCGUACCCAACCAUCGGCACCCACCACACUGACAGCCAUCAGUUUGACAACCACCAUCACACAGGGUUCCAUCACAUAUGCCCAGCCAUCGGCACCACCAAAAGACAAAAAGGAAAGUUUGAACAAGGAUGAGUGUCGGCAUUGUCAUUGAAGGAUGAGUUUUAGCAUUUACGGUAGUUGCGAAAAUUUUCUAACUGAAGAUUGAGUUUCGGCAUCUACCCUUGAAAGUUGAGUUUCGAUUUUACGUGGCUUUCCCAGUAGCUAAGGUCCUCUCUUCUUUGGCAGUUGCUUAUUUUCGAAGCUUGAAUUUUACUUGAAUUUGGCAAAAUUAGUUUUUCUUAUAUAUAUUAGGGAAACUAGUUAGCUUUCUACAGUGAAUAGAAGACUAUCCAACUAGUUGGGCAUGUGUGAUGGUGGUUGUGAAACGAAGGGGAAGAGAAAUAGAGAAAUAGAGAAAUAGAAGGAGAAAGGGGCUGUGAGAUGAAGAGAAAGAGAAAGCAAUUUGGGGUUGUUGUGAGACGGAGAGAAAGAGAGCAAUUUGGGAUUGUUGUUGAUUUUGCCUUAACCAAACUAAAACGACGUCGUUUGAGGGAUAAUGGAAGGAAAAAAAAAAGGAUUGAAACGGCGUCGUUUAUUGUUUUCGGAGUUUGACCCAUGGCUUGACUUGGGGUAACUAGCAUUUUCCAAGGAAGAAUGGUGUUACCUGCUGCUGACAGAUUACAAGUAAUUAACUUUGAAAUGUGGGCCAAUUUAGACAGCCCAUUUGAGAAGAUGGAUUUGAUGGAAGGCCAAAAUAUCCCUUUCCAUUAUCUAAUGAUAUCCCAACUAUUUAUAAGCAGAUGCAACCCAAUUAUUGUUUUCGGCAAUGGACUAGAUUCCCUUUAUUUUAGUAUAAUUUAUGAAUUACUGAUAAUUAGAAGAGAUAUAUUAAUAUACACAUUUGGUUAGAUGAAAAAUUGCAGCCAAAAACAGAAAACACUCGUAUACCGCAUAACAUUUAUCUCUUGGUAACAUUUGAAAUAAAAUUCUGAUUGUAAAUAAAAUGAUGUAUAAAUAAUGUCAAGGAGAAAGUGAAAUAUUUUGAGUUAUGAUAAUUGUACGUAGAGCUGGCAAAAUUUGACAUGACUUGAUUACCCGACAUGAAGAUGACACGAAUAAAUGGGUAUGGAUCGUCAAAUUUGAUCUGAUUAUUUUCAAUUUUCGAACAAUUGGACCAACUCGAACCAUGUCACCUAGAAAAUGAGCAUUUAAUGUACACUUUAGUAUGCUGCUUUUGGUAAGAAGAGGUCUAGAGGCACAAGGAAUCAUAAGUACGGGUGGGACUUUUGGUUUUCGAUUCGAUUUUUUUUUCAGUUUUUGAUUCGGUUUGCAAUCCAUUCAAGUUUAAGAAGUCAACCCAAAUAGGUUGGGAAAUUAUUUUAGUUCGUUACGGUUUGGUUUCAAAUUCGGUUUGGUUUAGUUCGAGUUCAUAUUCCAGUUCGGUUUUGGGUUGUGAAUUUCGCGUUCAGGGGCAUAUCCAGGAUUUUAAAGUACCUUGGACUAAAUUUAAAAAAAAAAACAUUAUAUUGUAAAGUGAACAUAAAAUUUUAUAAGAAAAAAAUAAAAUACACAUAAUAAGAUGAGGACAUUAGAAAUCUUACACUAAAUAAUAAUUACUUUAAAUAAAAUAAUUAUAUAAAAAUAGAAAAUAAAAAUGUGAUUCAAAACAAAAAUAUAAUUAAAGUUGUACUUUUCGCGGCUUCAAACAAUAGAAUUCAUCAACAAUGGAUUCUGAAUCAAUAUUAUCUAAAAUUUCUCUUUCAGCAUAGACAACCAUACAAUUUGAAAGAAACUUAUUUUCCAUCUUAUUGCAAAAUGAUGUCCUAAUAAGGCUCAUGGCUGAAAAUGCACGCUCUGUUGUGGCUGUAGACACUGGAAGAGUCAACACUAGACGAAUUACAAGCUUAAUUAGCAUGCUUAAAUAAAUUAAACAAUUUAAUUUUCUUCAUCUUUUCCAUUUAAACAAAUAUUAGUAGUUAAAAAAUAACAAUAAUAAAUCAACUCAAAUUGAUAAAUCACAAACUAAUUACAAAAAAAAAAGCCAAUCAAACAUUCAAAAUAAUAUGUAAAAUAAAUCAAUAAAAUCUGUCUAAAAAAAUAAAUAAUUUAUGCAAGUUCUAAAAGUAUAGUAACAUAUGUAGAAAAAUGUAUAAACCGUAAAGAAAUUGGAAGAUAUGAACGGAUAAUGAAUUGUGAUUUAUGAAGCAGUGAAGGUGAAUUGAUGAAGAAUGAAGAAUCAUGAAGGGUUUGGAAAUUUUUUUGUUUUUUCUAAUGGUGUUGGUGGAAGUAAAGGAAAAAUAAUAAUGAUGGAUGGCAUUUGCGUAAUUAAUAAUUGAUGGUAUAUUCCUAAUUAACAAUGAAUGGCAUUUUCGUAAUUUUAAUCAAACUAACUGAAUAUUUUUUUCUAUACCGGGCUGCCCACUAACAGAUCCGCCCCUAUUUGUGUUGCAAAAUAGUUUGGGUUAAUAAUUCAGUAUGGAUCGGGUUGGGUUAAUAAUUCUGCUCAGACCAAGAAUAGCCAAAGAUAAACAAAUUAAAUAGAAAAAUGAUGAAAUAUUCAACAAAUGAUGAAAUAUUCAGGUUACCAAAACACCAAGUUCAAAAUAUCCCAAUACAAAAUACAAAUUACAACAAUAAAAGAAAACAACAACAAAGAAAUUACAACAAUUACUUUUUGUAGUUGCAUUGUUCAAUGAUGAUAAUUGAUAAAGCAAGCAACUGGGCCACUAUACAUAAGUUUCAUAAUUAAUUAAACUAAUAAAUAUAUAGAAAUUAGCUUUCUCCAUGCAUUAUCUGAUCAACAUAUUCUGUCCUAUCUUUCCUAUCAUUUACAAGAAAAAUUAAACAUGAUGUUAUAUAUUUCAGCUGCAGCGCAAUAUAGUAUUAGUACAUGACAAAUAAAUUGUCAUAGAUUUAAGUUGCAACCACUAUAUAGUACACAACAAAUGUAGCCAAAUCAAAAAAAUUUAAACAAAAAAGGCAAGAAAAUGCAGUCAAGCAAACAAACUUUGUAGUUGAAUUACCAUGUGUGAAGAGUCGACGACAAGGUCAAGUCGUUGGCGAACUUGUGAGAGGAAAGAUGAGGUGCUGUCUUGGUGAGGGCAACCUAACAGCAAGCUGUAGUUGUGGCUCGUGGGUUGAUUUCAAAGAGAAGACUAGAGAGUGAGGCUGUGCUGAUAGUGCUGAUGUGUAGCAGCAGUGUGGACCAGUGGAGGAACCGCUGGGUUCAGGUUAGGCUGUGGCUGAGUUAGAGUUGGUUUUGUGCUUGUCAAAUUGUGAAUUGGGGAUUGGGUUUGUGAAUUGAAAUUGGGUAUGCGUGAUGUCUUGAGUGCAAUUGGAAUUGGGUUGCCCUUUUUUUUUUAAAGAGUUAAAAACAAAUCGAAUUUCAAAAUCGAUCGAACUUGAAGAUGUAACCCAUUCAUAUUUUACGGUUGACCCGAACCAAAACGAAAAUCGAAUAAAAUUUGACCUGAAUAGAACAACCACUCCUAAUAAGUAGGGGUUAGUUAGUAGAGAUGAGAGAUUCUAGAGUAUCUCUAUUGUACUACACCUACUUCAUAUAUGUAUGACCUGUGUGUAUGAAUUAAAUAUAAUUACUAAUUAUAAGAUGAUUCAAAUUAGAAUACAUAGAUUAUACAGAUAUUAAGUGAAUUAGUACAACUCAUAGUUUGGAGGAACCUGAUGGUGUUGGUGACCGAACAAACCAUAAAUUCUCUCACUCAUCUUUUGGAUACACAUUCAUGAUUUACCAUUGUCUUGUACGAACGGAGAUGUACGACUGUUUCUUGAUAGCAUGAUUUGUAAAGUAGAUACUGAUAAAACAGGCCUAAGCUUCGAGAAAUUUAUGAUAAUUCGAGUCAAGAUAGAAGGCUACAACUUAAAGAUGGUGCACUUGUAUCUGCUUUUUGCAUUGUUUAUGAAAGAUUUCCUAUUUUAUGUUUUUAUUGUGGUAGAAUUAGGUAUAUGUAAAGUGAGAGUUCAGAGCUUAAUUUCGAUGUUAUAGUUCGUACCACUCAAAGUGCAAGAUAUAUGGCUUAUGGAUGUCGGAACCAACUUUUGUGGAAAUGACAAAACCUGCCACGAGCAUAGCCAAUGAACAAGAGAAUGUCCCAGCUCCAUUUUCGUGAUGAAUGAAAAUCUUCAGGCUGCACCAUUGAGGCAAAAGAAUAAUUUAAGAUGGAGGAAGAUAUAACAAAUUAAUGCAUAUAUAAAUGUAGAAUUAAAUUUAAUAUAACUGUUAGCUUAUGUGGCUAUAAAUAUUGAUUUUAAUGAUAACAAACCACAUGUGUUAGUUAAACAAAGAUUUAUGAAUUGUACUUUUAUAAUAAGAAAAUGAUUUUAUGGAAUUAAAGUGUUUUGGACUAAAAUGAAAGUAUUUUAUAAUCUUUGAUAUUGUUUUAAAAUUUUGGAUUUGAACCUAUUUGAAAAUAUUUAAAUAUUUAGGGUCAUUCUAUAAUUUCACAUAGUUUGGGUGAUAUCAUAAUUUUAGAAAGUUUUGGGAUUGACAAAGCAUUAUUUAGAAAUUAUGAAAUUGGAGCUAUUUGAAAACUUUCAUAACGUUUUGGGUCAUAAUAUAAUUUUAUAAAGUUUGGGAUUAAACUGUAAUUUUAGAAAAUAGUUUACUGUAGCAGUUACUAUAGCAAGCGGCUAACCGGAUAUGAUAAGGGGCUAUCCAGAUUUUGGGCAGUAAGCUUCUGGAGCAUAAACGGCUAUCCGGAUAUUGUAAGCGGCAUGCCAGAUGUUCUAAAAUUUAAAUUUUUGCCUUAACGGUAACAUACAAGCGGCUAACCGGAUUCCAUAAAUGGUAAGCCGGUUAUGACCAAAAUGUGCAUAAUGGCUAGUUUUUGUGCUCAAACUAUAUAAAUUCAAAUCCAAUUCAUUUUCAAGCUCUCUUGCAAGCAAAAUAAAAAAGCACACAACAUUCAUUGAGCUCUCAUUUCGCAAAUAAAAAAACCUUGAAUCAUCUUUUGUUCUUCAAGUUGUAUAUCUACUCUUUAAGAGAGUUUUUAUUGUAAUUUUUAAUUCCUCAUCUUAAUUAUGAGUGUUUGAGUGUGUGAGACACUUGAGUGAAGAGAUUGAGAGAUAAUCUCUUUGUUGUAAAGGUUCAUUGACACCUUGAAGUCAAUUGUAAACAUUUGAAGCCUUGAAAGGCUUGCAUAGUGAAAUCCUCAAGUUUGGAUCGCUUGGAGGCGUGGACGUAGGCGGGGAUUGCCAAACCAUGUAAAAUUCGUGUGUUUGUUUCUCUUCUCUCUUACUCAUUUGUUAUUGUGCUUUUAUUGAACUUAUUGUUUUCGAAUUUAUUAAGGCGUUAGAUUGGAUUAUUGUGUGGUUUUGUUACGAUAAGUUUUUAAAAUACCCAUUCACCCCCCUCUUGGGUUGCACACUUGUAUUUCAUUUGGUAUCAGAGCAAGGUGCUUUUGUUUAGACUUAACCGUCGAGAGCUAAAGAUCAAUGGCAACUCAUAAUGAUUCUACAUUUAGGGAAGGACAAUCCACCACUAGACCACCAUAUUUUGAUGGAAACGAUUACCCGUAUUGGAAAACUAGGAUGAGAAUUUACUUGCAAGCUUUAAAUUAUGAAAUUUAGGAAAUCGUUAAUGAUGGUCCUUUCAUGCCUUUAACUAAAAAUGAAGUCGGGGAAGAUAUUCCAAAACCUUCACGGGAAUGGAACGAAUUGGAAAAGAGAAAAGCUUCUCUAAAUUCCAAAGCUAUGAAUGCCUUGUUUUGUACACUAGAUAAGAAAGAGUUUCAUAGAGUGUCUAGUUGCGAAAGUGCUAAUGAAAUUUGGCACAAACUUGAAGUUGUUUAUGAAGGCACGAAUCAAGUGAAAGAAUCUAAAAUAAGUAGGUAUACUCGACAAUAUGAAUUGUUCCAAAUGGAACAAAAUGAGAGUGUGUAUUCUAUGUAUACUAUAUUCACGAACAUAGUGAACACUCUAGGAGCCCUAGGAAAGACCUUUUCAAAUAAUAAGAAAGUUAAGAAAAUCAUUAGGUCGCUACCUAAAGAAUGGAGACAAAAAAGGACUGUCAUUGAGAAAGCUAAAGAUUUAAAUACAUCACCUAUUGAUGAUUUAAUUGGUUCUCUCAUUUCAUAUGAAGAAGAUUUGGCAGCAGAAAAAAGGCAUGAAGAAAAGAAGAAAAGCAUUGCUCUCAAAGCCUCAAAACGUGAGAGUGAUGAGGAAAGCGAGAUGAAUGAUGAGGAGUUGGCUAUGUUGGCUAGAUGAUUCAGAAAAUUUUACAAGAAGAAUAAUGAGCAGAGAAAGUUUAGAAGUCACAAAAACAAAAAGGAGAAGAACGAGCCAAUUACUUGCUAUGAAUGCAAGAAGCCCGGACACAUAUGACCGGAAUGUCCUCUCCUCAACAAAUUCAAGAAGAAAGCUUUGGUGGCCAGGUGGGAUGAUAAUGAUGAGGAAACAAGCGAUGAUGAAGAGCAACAAGAGAUGACAAAUUUAGCUCUCAUGGCCUUUGGGGAAGAAUCAUGUAAUGAACUUGAUGAGGUAAGUGUUCUUCCUACAUAUGAUGAAUUACAUGAUGCAUUUAAGGAUUUGCAUGAUAAAUUGAUGAAGAUUGGUAAAAAGAAUAUAUGUCUUAAAAAGAAAAUGAUAGAGCUUAAAAAUAAAAAUGAAUCAUUUAGUGCAAAGAUUACAUGCCUAUAAUUAGAGAAUAAAACAUUGCAUAAUAGAGUUGUAUUAUUUGAGAAUUCUAGCCAUUCACAUGAGCACUUAGAGUCACACGUGAAUGACUUGAAAAAUGAAAUGCUUAGAAAGAAGAACAAUGAACUAAAUGAGAUUGUGCUAAAAUUCACAAAUGAGCAAAAAAUGUUGGAUAACUUGCUAAACUCACAAAAAUAUGUAUUUGACAAAGGAGGCAUUGGUUAUAAGCCAAAUUUGAAACAAAAAUAUUACAAGAGUUAUUUUGUGAAGAAUAUAUGUAUUAACAAUCAAAUUGUAUGUCAUUAUUGUAAUCAAGAUGGUCAUAUGGAAAAUAGAUGUCUAGUGAAGAGAAAUGCAUAUUAUGGUGUGAAAUGUGUUUGGGUUCCGAAAAGAACCAUUGCUAACUCUCAAGGACCCAAAAAAGUUUGGGUACCUAAAACUUGAGAUUUUCUCUACAGGGCUUAAAGAAGAAGAAGAAUAAGUGGUACUUGGACAGUGGUUGUUCAAGACACAUGAUAGGGAAUUAUUCUUGGUUUUCAAGUUUUACCAAGAUCGAAAAUGGUAGAGAUGUAUCGUUUGGAGAUAAUUCAAAAGGAAAAAUCAUUGGCAUUGGCAAUGUCGGUAAUGUAUCCUCAACUCUCAUUGAAAAUGUAUGUUUGGUUGAAAACUUAAAACACAACUUGCUUAGUAUUAGUCAUUUAUGUGAUAAAGGAUAUAGAGUUAUCUUUGAUGAAUCAAAAUGUGUUAUUGAGAAUGCAUGUAAUGGGAAAGUUUUGUUUGUAGGAAAUAGAUGUGUUAAUGUCUAUACCAUUAAUAUAGAUUGUGCACCUACAAAUGAUAAAUGUUUCUCCGCAUUGCAUGAUGAUGGUUGGUUAUGGCAUAGAAGAUUAGGUCAUUUGAGGAAAUAGAGCUUUAGGAUCGUAUUCUUGUGGGUUGAUUUCUUCUUUCUCCUCCGACGAUGAGUCUUUGUUGGUAGAUUUUUGUAAUCAAAUGCUAUUGAUACCAAUGUGCAAGUGUACACAACAAGUAAUAAAGUGAUGAAUAUUCAAGAUCGUCUCCACAAGGAUUGAUGUCACUAAAAAUGCUACAGCAAUCACAAUAGUGCAAUCUAACUUAAGUCCGAAGUUAACAAAUGUAAAGUAGGUUCUAUUGAAAUUGAUAUUUGUGAGAGAAUAAAAUAAAACAAUGCAGUAAUGAAAUAAAUUAAAUUAAAUGUGUCUAAGAUUCAAUUGAGAAUAUGGUAGUUGAAUGAUCAAACUCUCUUUAUGGGCUAACAACUUUUCAUUAAGUUAACACAGUUGUUACAACAAUUGCUACAGCACAGGGCAGAAUUAGUCUGCAUCCUCAGCUGUCGCGUGUUGGAACUCUCACACCCUUAAGUAUAUUAGCAAUGACCAGUUGCUAUUCUACCUACGGCAUGGCCUUAUGACCCUUUAGUCUCUCCACCCUACAAGGUGAGUACCUAUGUCUAGUUUGUCACAAAUCUUAACUUCAAGUAUAGCUCUUAUGGGAUUCAAGAUAACUUAAUUCAGGAAACUUAAAUUAAGAUCAAGUAUUACUCUAAUAAUAUCCGCUAAGACAUGCCCUUUUGCGGCUCUAUCUUAACUUGAACUAUUAAAUGGGUGGUCAACCGAAAUAACAGUUAUAACAAUAGCUACUAGAGUAAAAUGCUACAACAAUGACAUAGCAACUCAUAAGAACAGUCAAGAACCCAUUAGAUUGUUUGUCACUCAACUACAAGAAAAUCUAGUUCAUAUUCUGAAAGAGAAAAACAAACAUCAACAUAUUGUUCACGGGAUACGUUAGAUCAGUCAAAUAAAGAAGAAAGGUAUAAGUUGAGAACGGUAAAAAGUAAAUCCAAAUAACUCUGCGGGAUUUUUCAAUGCUACUGAAGCCGUCCUCUUGAAUUAUGAUAUUCUUUUUCUUUUUCUCUCUAAUGUGUUUAAUGAUAAUUCCUUGCCACCGUUUUAUGUGGUGCGCGCCACCUUUUAUAACUAAAAACUAGGGUAACUAAAAACUACUGCAUAUCACAAUUCUGUAGUUGACCCGUACUAAGUUUUCUCCCUCAGUACUCUAGGAUUGCUGCAGCAAUGGUUGCUCUAGCAACGGCUAGAACACUGCACUGUUCUUUGUUGUGCUUAACUUCUUUUGUGGCCAUAUUCUUUCCUCCUCUUGCUGGUCUAUUAUCUCAGCAUCCCUUCAUGAAUUAUAAAUUUCUGAAAACCUACAGUUAUGCACAUGUUUUGAGUACAAAUUAAUUUAAUUCAAGCAAAACUUAUUAAGACUCACUAAAAUGAAUGUUUAUGCAAAAUAUAACCAAAAUAUAAUAAAAACACCUCAAUUACUCUCUAAGUGAUCUUGAUUUAAGUCUAGAAUUGUUGUAAUAACUCUUAUUUCAUAGAGUUAUCACACCCCCAAACUUAAACCGUUACUUGUCCUCAAGUAAUGACAACAUACUAACACUUCACGCAAACAAUCAUGCAACACACAACUUAGCUCUUUUAUCAAAUUUGCAAGGAUUCUUCCACCUUCAUAUCACAAACCCAAUCAUGCAAAAUGACCAUAGUAAAUCAGUUCUAGAUUUAAGCUUCCUUCUGUCCACAGUGUGUGUGUGUUACUUUGAUUGAAUUCUAGAGAUGCUACAACAUUACCAAGAGAUUGCAUGUAAUUCAGCAGUAACACAAUUUUAUUCAUAUAUGGGGUAGCAUAAAUCUCUCAUACUCAAACUGUGCUGUCUUUAAGAAUGAAAACUUGAGAGUAUUUAACCACCUCACUGCAACAUUUAUUUUUCAUGUGAAUGCCAAUCAAUUGUAAUGAUGACACCCAAUUACUCAAACCAUGCACAGAUUAGAGACGCUGUAGCAAUAUCUGUAACAUAAUCUUAUCUAGAGAUAUCUUUUACUCAAGGCUAAACAUGGGGUUCAUGAACAUACCUGGCUACUCAAUAUCCUAGACAGAGGACUUCCUUGUAUUAUUGUCUCACUUUUCUCACUUUUUUUUUUUAACAAAGGUAAUUGCUACAACACUGCUCAUAAUUCUUGUUGCCUUUGAACGCAACUCUGCAUAUGGGGUACAUACUCAGUUCUGGUUACUCAGCAACUUGAACCAUAUUUCAUAGCCAGCACAGUCAAUCAAACUUCCCCCCCCCCCCCAAAACUUAAGAUCUUUUCUAUUCUUUUGGCUCUGCUACAGCAAUCUCAUAAAACUCCACCAAAGUUUAAGUGUAAGGACAAAAUUUCAUUCUCCAUCUGUUACUGUCUCUACUCGGCAUUCUUAUAAUCACCCAUUAACACUCAAUUUAUCUUCAUUAGGAUUUCAAAUCCAUACACAAAUAUUAGCUAUCAGAGCUUCACACAACACAUACAUAAACACAUAUCCAAUGCACCCAGAUACACACCCCCUCUAAACUGAAAAGGUGUUGUGUCCUUACAAGCACACAACAGCAAAGUCACACAAUUUGACAAGGACAUGGAGGAGGACAUUAGAAAAUACCACACAAAUUGAAAACAUAAUGAAAGAAAAUUUUUACAGAAUUAAAUAAAUUGACUAGCAAGAAGGGGAUACUCCCCUGUUGUUUGGGUAUUGCUACAACAUGGUGGGAUGACAUCAGCGCUUCUUGGAUGCACUGCGCAGCUUAUCCUUUGGGGAGGCUUGUGGGGAGGUAGCUGACAACGUCUUUGUCUUUUUCUUCAAUGGGCUGGUGGGAGGAGUUGCGACUGGGGCAGCUUGCUUGGUUGACACCGAUCUGGUCUAUUUUGGUUCUGUCGAGGCAGCUGUAGCAGUGCCUCCAAAAGUGCUGCCCUUUCUUUUGCUAGAUCCUGUCGGAUUAGCACGAACAGGUUUGUUAGGAGUGGGUUGUGGAGGAGCUGGGGUUGGUACAUUAGCUGUCUGUCCCUCAGCUGUGAUGGCGGCAAUGGUGUCAAGUAGUUGCUGGGCUUCUGUGGGUGUACACGUGACUCUAAUUGCUGCAGCUUCCAGCUCUACAUCGACUUGCUCAGCUUCAUCUUCGAAGGCAUGAGGGGUUGCUAUUUUUUCCUUGCCUUUUCUUGAAAGGACUGGAAUGGGGGGCUCCUCUUCAGGUUCAUUCUCUUUCUCUUCUUGGAUGAUGUGCCUUUUCUUGGUUUUGGAAGAGGUUCCUCACGUUAUUUCUCAAAAUCUUCCUCUGCCUCUGUGGGUGAGCUGUCAGUCGCAGACUUGUCACAUUCUUCCUCAAGUUGAUCAGAUGGUUCAGUAUCUUCUAAGUCAGCCUCUGCUUGUGGGUCUGCUGCAGCUUCUGCUUUUGGUUCAUCUGUGUCAGUGGCUUCUUCACUGACUUUUGCUGGAGCAUCUAUGGUGUUGGUGUCAAAAUUAUACUGCUGGAGCAAUGAAUCAGGGAAAUUUUGGUAGGUGUUUUUCUUGUAAAGAGCAAAUUGGUGUAGGUAGCUAUCCAGGUGCUGUAAAUAGCUCUAAAAUCGAUCAUUUUCCCUCUGCUGAGCCUCAACACAUUGAGAGAUACUGGUGCUCAGUGCCUAGAUUGUCGCUCCUGUUACAACAGCUAGUUCAGUUAUUGCUCCAGCACUUUUACCAGCAAUUCUCUUAAUGGUACGUGCAGUAAGGGCACCAUCAUUCUUGACAUGUUCAUCCUUUGCAUCAAGACCAACACCUGAUACUACACAAAUGCUAGUGAUGAGUGAAGGGAAUAGUAAGGUAGUAGCUUUGUGUUUCUUUAUGGCACAAUCUCUGAUUUCUUUUUCGAUAAUGCUUCCCACAUCUAUGGGGAGCCCUCGAACAAUAACAUAGAACAAAACCAACAUUUCUUGUGAAACAGUAGUAGUGUGGGUGGUUGGCAUAAGCCUGGAUUUUAGAAAUUUCACCCACACCUUAGCAAUAGGUUUUAAAUCUAUCCUGUUAAUUACAUGUCCUUCCUCAUUAGCCCACGAUGCCCCCUCUACUGUAAGAGUUGUGAAGAUGGUGUUCCAUCUUUUCGGGGUCAAUUUGUCAAGCAACUUGGCAUACUCACAAUUAAUUUCAGCAGGUAAAUUAUAAAAAGCAUUUAUAACUUGAGAGUGUAAUGGAACAAGUGUGUUUCUUACCCAAAUGUUGUGCUAACCAGAGCUUACCAAAUUAGCGUAAAAUUCUUUGACUACUGGCAGCACAGGAUCUCGAGGGUGGUUGCAAAACUCUAGCCACCGAUGCUUUGCUGCAACAUUGUGUACUGUUAGCACAAUUUCGGUGAGUUGCGCUGGAAAUUGAAACUUUUUUUCUUCCAGAAUCUUGCGCGGUUCAAUGAAUUCUUCAUAUUUUUCUUCUGCGUGGUAACUCUGGAAGCGUGAAGGAUCUUUGAGUCGGCUGGCUGUUCUCUUACACCUUGGCAUUGCUAUAGCAGUAACAAUUCGAAUGUAAUAUGCCUGAGAGUAAAAUAAGAAGAUGGUGGUAAGAAUUAUUGGAGUCAUGCUUGCGAAGGAGAGGGGAAAUAGUGCCAUAGGUCACUACGCACAGUAAUUCCCUUUUAUAGUUGAAUUUAAAUAAAGAUAAAUCUGAUAAAGAAAGAUAAAUUAGGGAAGAAAAUAUUUUGAAUCUAAUGAGUAUAUCCCAUAAAAAUAAGCAAGAGAAAUUAAUGCAUUAAUUUCAGAGAUUUUUUCUUCCUCAAUUUCUAUCCAAAUCCAUCCAUCCAUCUGUCAUGAUUUAUCUGCAACGGUAAGUGAGAGGCUCCAAUUUUUAAGUUACUGUAACAGUAAUAUUAGUUGCUGCAGCACCUAAUUGUUUGCUCUAGCAACGGUUACAUACUCUACUCCAAUAGCUUCUGACACGUGGCUUGCCUCUGUACUCUGUCACAAUACAACCCCAAUUGUCAAUAAGGAAUUCAUUUGUCACGCAUACUUCCCACAAAAUCUAAAACCAAUUAAAAAAAAAUUAAAAAUAAAGAUAUAGAAUGAUAACAAAAGUAAAGAGUUCAAUAAUGCAAAAUGAUAAAAAUAAAUAGCCAGAAGUGAAUAACAAAGUUAAAAUAAAAUAAAAGAAAGAGCCUUCAACAAAACCAGAAAGGAUCAAGCUUGGUUUGAAGUGGCUGCCUCCACAAUGGGUUGCCUCCCAUUGAGCGCUUGAUUUAAGGUCCUUCAGCCUGACCUUUUUUCACUGCUCAAUAGCUUGGUUUUUUAAAGAGUAAGACCUCCUUUGAACAAUUUGCCGCUUGGUGUAUGUAAUACUUAACUCAGUGUCAAUUAACUUUAAAUACUUGACUUGUUUGUUCAUCUAGAAGAUCAACAGCCCAAUGAGGAUAAAUUCUGAGCAGCUUAAAAGGUUCAGACCAUCGAGAUUUUAGUUUUCCUGAAAAUAAUCUUAGUCUUGUAUUAUAAUCUUAGUAUUGUUUUGGAUAUGCUUGUCGUGCCAGUGUUUUAUCCUCUCUUUGUAGAUUCUUGCAUUUUCAUAUGAGAACAACCGUAAUUCAUCAAGCUCACGGAGUUGAAGCUUCUUUUGCUCUGCUGCAGCAUGUAUAUCCCAAUUUAAUUGCUUCAGUGCCCAGUGUCCUUUAUGCUCUAGCUCAAGUGGCAAGUGACAAGCCUUCCCAUAAAUAAUUCGGUAGGGAGACAUGCCAAGUGGUGUUUUGUAUGCUGUUCUGUAGGCCCAUAAGGAGUCAUGUAAUCGCAAGGACCAAUCCUUCCUUGAUGGGUUCACCACUUUUUCUUAGAUCUUAUUAAUUUCUCUGUUUGACACUUCUGCCUGACCAUUAGAUUGUGGGUGAUAUGCUGUUGCUACUUUAUGCUUGACUCCAUAUUUUACCGUGGCUGCAGCAAAUACUUUGUUGCAAAAAUGAGUACCCUCAUCACUAAUAAUUGCUCUGGGAGUGCCAAACUUGGAAAAAAUAUUUUUCUGAAGAAAGGCCACCACUGUUUUAGCAUCAUUGGUAGGUGAUGCUGUAGCUUCUACCCGCUUGGAGACAUAAUCCACAGCAACAAGGAUAUAUAAGUUCCCAAAGGAUAGUGGAAAAAGGUCCCAUGAAAUCUAUUCCCUAUACAUCAAAAACUUCCACUACCAGAAUGUUUGACAAUGACAUUUCAUGUCUUUUAGUUAUGUUCCCUGUCAUUUGACACCUGUCACAACAUUUAACAGAUUCAUAAGCAUCUUUAAAAAUAGAAGGCCAGUAAUAACCUGAUUACAGAACUUUAGCAGCUGUUCUUUGACCACCAAAAUGUCCUCCAUAUGCUGCAGCAUGCCAUGACUCCAGUAUGUGGGGAAUUUCUCCCUCUGAAGCACAUCUUCGUAUUACUUGAUCUGAGCAUAGCUUAUAUAAAUAUGAGUCAUCCCACUUGUAGCUUCUAACAUCAUGAAGAAAUUUCUUUUUCUCUUGAAACUUCAACUCAGGUGGUAGCAACCCACUUACUAAGUAGUUAGCAAAAUUUACAUACCAUGGAGAUCCUGAUUGCUGCAGCAUCUGUGCUUGCUGUACUACCAACAAUUGUUCAUCAGGAAAAGUUUCAAUGAUGUCCUUUCUUGUCAAUGUACUUGUGUUUGCUUCCAGCCUCGAUAGGUGGUCUGUUACUUGAUUCUCAAUCCCCUUUCUAUCUUUAAUUUCCAGAUCAAACUCCUGAAGCAAUAAGAUCUAUAUGAUUAAUCUUGGUUUGGCAUCCUUCUUUGAAAUUAAGUACUUGAUGGCGGCAUGGUCUGUGUAUACGGUCACUUUAGUACCCACCAAGUAAUCUAUGAGUUUAUCAAAAGUAAAUACUACUGCUAGCAACUUUUUCUCUGUAGUGGUGUAAUUAAUUUAAGUUUGAGUAAGAGUUUUGCUUGCAUAGUAUAUGGAGUGAAAAAACUUAUCCUUUCUCUGCCCUAAUACUGCUCCAACAGAAUGGUCACUGGCAUCAUACAUCAGUUCAAAUGGUAGAGUCCAAUAUGGUGAUAUAACCACUGGUGCAGUGAUCAAAGCUUUCUUUAAUUCUCCAAAGGCUUGAAGACAAUCUUUGUCAAAGUGAAAAGGCUUGUCAUGUUCCACCAAUGAGCAUAAUGGUUUAGUUACCUUGGAAAAAUCCUUAAUGAAUCUUCUGUAAAAUCCAGUAUGACCAAAAAAACUCCUAAUACCCUUUAUUGAAGUGGGAGGUGGCAGUUUAUCUAUUAUUUCUAUCUUGACUUUGUCUACCUCAAUGCCAUUCUUGGUCACCUUAUGACCUAAUUUUAUGCCUUCUUGCACUAUAAAAUGACACUUUUCCCAAUUGAGUACUAAGUUAGUCAUCUCACAUCUUUUAAGAACUUCUUUCAAGCUGUGUAAACAAUCAUUAUAUGUCUCUCUAAAAACUGAGCAGUCAUUCAUGAAAACUUCUAAAGUUUGCUCUACCAUAUCAGAAAAAAUAGACAUCAUACACCUCUGAAAAGUUGCUGGAGCAUUGCACAAACCAAAGGGCAUUCUUUUGAAGGUAAAGGUUCCAUAAGGACAGAUAAAUGUAGUCUUUUCUUGAUCCUCUGGAGCUAUAGCAAUUUGGUUGUACCCUGAAUACCCAUCUAGGAAACAAUAAUAUUGUUUUCUAGCAAGUCUGUCCAACAUCUGAUCUAUGAAUGAGAGUGGGAAGUGAUCCUUUCUUGUGGCUUUGUUGAGCUUCCUAUAAUCUAUACAUACUCUCCAUCCAGUCACUGUCCUUAUAGGAAUAAGUUCAUCCUUCUCAUUUGCUAUCACUGUUAUCCCUCCCUUCUUUGGAACACAUUGGACUGAGCUCACCCACGAACUGUCUGAUAUUGGAUAUAUGAUUCCAGCAUCCAACCAUUUGAUGAUUUCCUUUUUCACCACUUCUUUCAUAAUAGGAUUUAACCUUCUCUGCUGCUCCACUGAAUUACUAUAGCAGUUUUCUAACAGAAUUUUAUGCAUGUAUAUUGAUGGGUUUAUCCCUUUGAUGUCUGUCAUGGUCCAUUCAAUUGCUCUUCUGUAUCUCCCAAGCACAUUUACUAGACUCUGUUCUGGACCUGCAUCCAAAGUAGAGGAAAUGAUUACAGGGAGUGUGUUGUUUUGACCAAGAUAAACAUAUUUCAAAUGUGAGGGUAACGAUUUUAAUUCAAGACUAGGAGGUGAUUCAAUAGAUGGUAAAGUUGUUUUUACUUCUCUAUCUGAAAGAUUCAGAUGCUCAACAAAUCUGUUAUGUCUAUCAGAUUGCUUUCCUUCCAUCCAAUCUAUUUGGUUUGCUGUAACAUCUUCUUCUUCAAACCCUUUAAAGGUGGUAACUUUGUUGAUCUCAUUACUGCAGCAUCUGUCAAUUCUGUCAGCUACAACAAAAUCCACAACACUCAGGAAAUUACAAUCUUCUAACUCAUCAGGGUUCUUCAUAGCCUCUAAUACAUUAAAUGUGACUUGCUAAUCAUUCACUCUCAUGGUGAGCUCUCCUUUAUGCACAUCUAUCAGAGUUUUCCCAGUUGCUACGAAAGGUCUUCCAAGUAUAAUGGGUACAUCUUUAUCAGCCUCAAAAUCUAGUACAAUGAAGUCUACUGGAAGAUGAAUUUGUCAACCUUCACCAGUAUAUCCUCAAUUUUUCCUUCAGGAUAUGCAUGAGAUCUAUCAGCUAAUUGCAAAGUGACUGUGGUUGGUUUGCAUUCCCCUACUCCCAACUGCUUAAAUACAGACAAUGACAUCAGAUUAAUACUGGCUCCCAAGUCAUAAAGUGCUCUGCCAGUGUAUCUAGUUCCAAUAGAACAUGGUAUUGUAAAACUUUCUAGAUCCUUCAAUUUUGUAGGAAUCUUACUUUUGAGCAUAUGACUACUUUCCUAUGUUAAAACAACAGUUUCAAAUUCUCCCAGCCUUCUAUUUCGUGCUAAGAUGCCUUUUAGAAAUUUCACAUAAUUAUGCAUUUGCUCCAAAGCUUCCACAAAAGGUAUGUUGAUGUGUAAUUGUUUCAAUACUUUCAGAAAUUUGUUGAAUUGCUUCUCUUGUUUUUGCUUCUGGAAUCUCUGUGGGAAAGGGGGUGGCUGCCUAAACUGCUGGGUAGCUUCAGGAGGUGCCAAACUCUGCUUGUUUGGUUUGUUGUAGGUUGUGGCUACUGGUGUUGCCACUUCUUUUUUAGCAUGUACUGGUUGAGUUCCUUCCAUAGUUGCUGCAGCUUGGUCUCUGUCACCAGUGUCUUGAUGACUGGGUUGUUGUAACUUGCUUCCAUCUUGAGGUGGUUUUUAUAAGGAAUUAAGUUCUAGCCCCUUUUUAGUCAUAUCAACAGGGAUGUCAACAUUCUUUCUAGAUCUUAAGUUAAUUACUUUGCAGUGUUCUUUGCCUUCUCUUCUUGGAUCUUUUGUAUUACUAGGUAAGCUUCUUUGAGUUCUGCUACUCAUUGCUGUGGCAAGUUGUCCCAUUUGGUUCUCCAGGUUCCUCAAGGAUACAGCUUGACUCUGCACAAUUGCUUCAUUCUUUGCAAUGUAUUCCUUAAUCAGCGCUUCCAGUGAAGUGAUUAGAUCCUGACUGAUAUGUUUUUGCCCUUGACUCUGCUGAUGAAAACCAGGUGAUUGAGUGUUCCUAUUUUGUCCAUUCAAUGCUGGAGCAUUGAGAUUCUGACUGCUCUAUGAAAAAUUUGCGUCUUGCUUCCAUCCAGGGUUGUAAGUAUUUGAAUAUGGGUUGUUUUGAAGCUGUCGAUUGAAAUUACCCACGUAGUUUACUGAUGCUGGAUUUGCAGGACAGUUAUCAAAGUCAUGUUCUUCACCACAGUAUACGCAAGAAAGUUCAGCAACUUGCUUUAUUGCUGCUGGAGCAGAUGUCAUGACUUUUACCAUGUUAGUCAAUGAGGUUAUUUGUGCUGAUAAAACUGUAAUUGCAUCUAUGUUAUGUACCCCUGCUGCUUUUCUUGCUACUGGUUGCCUGGUUGAUGGCCACUGAUAAUUAUUGUUGGCAAUUCUCUCCAGAAUUUCAUAAGCUUCAGUGUAAGAUUUGGAUAACAAAGCUCCAUUUGCUGAAGCAUCCACCAUCAAUCUUGUACUAGGAUUCAACCCAUUGUAGAAAGUUUUCAAUUGUAUGCAACAAGGAAUGCCAUGAUGAGGACAUCUUUUGAGCAGUUCUUUGAAUCUUUCCCAGGCUUCAUACAAACUCUCAUCUUCAAGUUGAUGGAAAGAAGUAAUCUCAUUUCGCAAUUUUGCAUUUUUUGUCGGUGGGAAAUAGUUCAUUAAGAAUUUAUCAGCCAACUCAUUCCAUGUAGUGAUGGAAUCAGAUGGUAACGAAUUUAACCAUGGUCUUGCUUGAUCUCUUAAGAAGUAAGGAAAAAGCCUCAAUCUUAAAGCAUCUUGGGUUGCUCCAGCAAUCUUGAAAGCAUCACUCACUUCCAAGAACAACUUAAGAUGGAGAUGAGGAUCUUCAUUUGGUAAUUCAUUGAAUUGACCUACUGUUUGCAACAUUUGAAACAUCACUGGCUUCAAUUCAAAGUUUGCAGCUUCUACUUCAAGUUUGAUUAUCCCAGGGUGUACAACUUGAGGAGUUAACACAACAUAAUCUCUAAUAGCUUUGUCCUUGUCAUCAGCCAUGUAAAUAAUGUUGUUGUUGCCUGGCUAUCUCUGGUUAGCAUGUUCAUUCUACUCUUCGUGAAUGUUGACUGGUUGUAAGGGCCUGUGAGGGUCCAAAUUUCUCACAUCUUGCAAAUUAUCCAUGCCUGAAACAGUUUUUGAAUUCCUUUAUUCUCUUCGUAGUCUCCUAACAGUCCUUUCAAUCUCAGGAUCAAAUUGGAAUAUAACAUAUCUGUCUUUGUGCAUGCAAGUGUUGAUCUGCCAAUAAAUAGAAUGAAUCAAAUCAAAUUGGCGUUAUCAAGAUUUACUUCACACUUCAAAAAUAAAAAUCAAUCCCCAGCAACGGCGCUAAAAACUUGGUAGAUUUUUUGUAACAAAUGCUAUUGAUGCCAAUGUGCAAGUGUACACAACAAGUAAUAAAAUGAUGAAUAUUCAAGAUCGUCUCCACAGGGAUUGAUGUCACUAGAAAUGCUACAGCAAUCACAAUAGUGCAAUCUAACUUAAGUCCGAAGUUAACAAAUGUAAAAUAGGUUCUAUUGAAAUUGAUAAUUGUGAGAGAAUAAAAUAAAACAAUGCAGUAAUGAAAUAAAUUAAAUUAAAUGUGUCUAAGAUUCAAUUGAGAAUAUGGUAGUUGAAUGAUCAAACUCUCUUUAUGGGCUGACUGCUUUUCAUCAAGUUAACACCAGUUGUUACAGCAAUUGCUACAGCACUAGGAAGAAUUAGUCUGCAUACUCAGCUGUUGCGUGUUGGAACUCUCACACCCUUAAGUAUAUUAGCAAUGACCAAUUGCUAUUCUACCUACGGCAUGACCUUAUGACCCUUUAGUCUCUCCACCCUACAAGGUGAGUACCUAUGUCUAGUUUGUCACAAAUCUUAACUUCAAGUAUAGUCCUUAUGGGAUUCAAGAUAACUUAAUCUAGGAAACUUAAAUUAAGAUCAAGUAUUACUAUAAUAAUAUCCGCUAAGACAUGCCCUUUUGCGGCCCUAUCUUAACUUGAACAAGCAAAUCUAGUUCAUAUUCUGAAAGAGAAAAACAAACAUCAACAUAUUGUUCACGGGAUACAUUAGAUCAGUCAAAGAAAGAAAGGUAUAAGUUGAGAACGACAAAAAGUAAAUCCAAAUAACUCUGCGGGAUUUUUCAAUGCUGUUGAAGUCGUCCUCUUGAAUUAUGAUCUUCUUCUUCUUUUUCUCUCUAAUGUGUUUAAUGAUAAUUCCUUGCCGCCGUUUUAUGUGGUGCGCGCCUCAUUUUAUAACUAAAAAUUAUGGUAAACAAAAGCCUCAGGCGUGCAUGAGUUAAAUUAGGAAACUGCAGAUCGCAAUUCUGCAGCUGACCCGCGCUAAGUUUUCUCCCUCAGUACUCUAGGAUUGCUGUUGAGUGUUAAAAAAUGCAUAUUUAUAAAGGAGAAAACCGUCAUUUUACAUUUCAAGUCUUACUAACAACCCUUACUUUUAUGUAUUUAACCUUCUUGUGAUGUAAUUACGUGUGUGUUAUUUUAAUUAAGUAUUUUAUGUAUUUUAGGGGCAUUAUAGUCAUUUCACAAUAAAGGAGAGAUAAGACGGCAAAACAGACAUCACUUUUGAACUCAGGACGGUCGAAAACCUUAGAAGGAGCAUAAAAGGAAAAAUGGCACUAUUCACAUGUACGGUACUAUUCACGUAUACGGUACUGUCUACGUUACUGUUCAUGACACUGUUCACAUAGACGGAUCGAUGACGUGGCAUUGACCGAUGAUGUGGCAUUGACUGAUGAGGUGUCACGAUCCUGUUGGACUAAAAUUCUUAUGUACUGUUGACGGUGACGUGGCAGCAUAUCAGUGGACGAAAAAUCUCGCGUACGGUGCAUGCAUCACACAGGAUUAUUUUCAACCAAACCGCGUUACUGUUCAUCCGGGUCAAACCGUGUUACUGUUCAUCCACGUGGUCAAACCGUGGACUGUUGACUGAUGACGUGGCGCAAUCCUGAGCGUCCAAACUGUUUUUAAUCCGAUGGCCAUGAUUUACUCCAUGUAUCUAUAAAAAGGGGGCCUCUCCCCCCUAAUUUGAUAUCUCUGAAUCCAUUUUUGGGAUCCAUUUUCUGUAAUUCCUUCUCCAUCUUGUAUUUUCUUUGUAUUUUAAUAAAUUCCCAUUUUGCCCCUAGUUCAAUUAUGAGUAGCUAAUUUCCUUUCAAGCUUGGGUUGAAGCUGAAGUCUCAACAUGUGUCAUGGGCUUUAUUUGGUAAAUUUAUUUUCUUUUCCCCUCUAGUUUUUGUGGAUGAUUUGACUUAUCGUCGACAAAUAAUACUGAUCUUAUCUAGAUACUGUCUUGGUUACACCGGCUCUCUAGUAUAAGGUUAUUAUUAUUUGGCACGAUAAGCCCUUAGCACCAUAUUGAUUAUCUAGAUACUGCCUUGGUUACACCGGCUCUCUAGUAUAAGGUUAUUAUUAUUUGGCACGAUAAGCCCUUAGCACCAUAUUGAUUAGAGCGUGGUUCAUGAGGUGUGGAUUCCCCCCUCAUGAUUUAAUUGGUAUUAAUAAGGAAUAUUUAGCCCAUGAUGCAUGUUGAUACGUAUCCAGAUACCCAAGUACGUCAUUUCAAUAGAAUUCUCUUCAAUUUAUUCUCGCCAUUUUAAUUCCAAUUUUAGAAUAAUACUGAUCUUAUCUAGAUACUGCCUUGGUUACACCGGCUCUCUAGUAUAAGGUUAUUAUUAUUUGGCACGAUAAGCCCUUAGCACCAUAUUGAUUAGAGCGUGGUUCAUGAGGUGUGGAUUCCCCCCUCAUGAUUUAAUUGGUAUUAAUAAGGAAUAUUUAGCCUAUGAUGCAUGUUGAUACGUAUCCAGAUACCCAAGUACGUCAUUUCAAUAGAAUUCUCUUCAAUUUAUUCUCGCCAUUUUAAUUCCAAUUUUAGAAUUUAUUCUCGCCAUUUUAAUUUAAGUUUUAGCAUAUUCCAAAUCAUUUCCACCACAAAUCCAAUCCCCCAUUUACAAAAUUAAUUCUACACACAAUUAAAAUCCACCUCCUUGUGGGAUCGACACUCGUCACCAUUGAUCUAUACUACAAUAGAUUCGUGCACUUGCGAGUACAUUAAAAUUUGCACAACAAGUUUUUGGCGCCGUUGCCGGGGAGGUAAGUAAUUUUAAUUCAUAGAAUUAAUUUUUGUGAAUAAUUUCUUUUAUUUGUUUUCUUGUAUUUUUUUUUAUUUUUAUUUUUAUUAAAAAAAAAAGUAAAUCCGCAUUUAAAGGUUAGUAUUUUUUUCUCUCUCUCUUCUUUAAAAUUCUGUAAUUUAAUUUUCAAUUUAUUUUUCUUUGUAAUUAUUUUUAUCUUAUUAAUUUAUUUUUAGUUAAUUUAUUUCACGUAUUUAUUUUUGUGUAUUUUUAUAGAAAUGUUGUAAUAGCGCAAACAAGGUUAGUAUCGUAAUUUCUCCCUCUUCUUUAUUUUUAUUUGUUUUGUUCCCAUCUUUAUUUUUUAUUUGUUUUGUUCCCAUCUUUAUUUUUUGUUUUGUUUGCAUCUUUAUUUUUAUUUUAUUUAUUUUGCAUGCAUGGUCGUAGGUCAUUAUUACCUAAUCUUGAACCUAUAGACCUUGAAUUAGAAAAAACACUUCGCACACACAAACACGUUAAAAAUAAAAUGGAUUUACAAGCACCACAGGAGAGGCCAUUUAAGGACUAUUUUAGUCCCUUAGCUAAUUUGAGUACGUCAUGCAUAAGAUACCCAAAUGUAGCUGCUAGGAGUUUUGAAUUAAAACCUAGUGUGUUAAAUUGUCUACCCACAUUUUAUGGCCUAGUAAAUGAGGAUCCAUAUAAUCAUUUGAAUGAUUUUCAUGCCAUUUGUCAAACAUUCAAAUAUGAGAAUUUUUCAGAUGAUGAUGUUAAACUUAGACUAUUCCCAUUUUCUUUAAAGGAUAGAGCUCGUUCAUGGUUAAAUACGUUGCCUGCUAAUAGCAUUUCAUCAUGGGAACAAAUGGUAACUAAAUUUUUGAAUAAAUAUUUCCCAGUGCAUAAAACCAAUUCUAUUCGCAGGGAAAUCUCAGAGUUUACUCAGAGAGAGGACGAGCAGUUUUUCGAGACAUGGGAGCGAUUCAAUGGGCUACUCUUGAAGUGUCCACAUCAUGGGUACGAGAAAUGGCACCAAUGCCAAUACUUUUUUGAGGGAUUAUUGUCGAAUGUGCAAGAAUGGCUAAUGGCAACAAGUGGAGGAGAGCUAAUGUCAAAAAGUGCAUCAGAGAUUUGGGAAUUCUUCCAGCGACAAGCGGAUAAUUCCCAACAACGGAGUCGAUCACUCAGGAAUACUAGAAGAAUUAAAGGAGUGAAUGAGGUUCAAAUUGGCGAGUCAACUUCGGGAAUCAAAGAAGUCAAGGAGAUGGUUGAAGGUCUUGCUCGAUAAAUAGCAUCGUUAUCGACUGCUAAAUCAACAGAGCCACAUGACCAUGACUCAUACUCAGAUCAAGCCAAUGCCAUUGGUGUAAUGAGAAAACCAUCGAAUUACAACCCAUACUCCAACACCUAUAAUCCUGGAUGGAGAGACCACCCCAAUUUUUCAUGGUCUCAAUGAUUCCAACAGAAUGGACCAGCAGCUCCAGCUCCACCAAUGCAACAAAUUCCUCAAAAUCCUCAAGCCUCUCAGGCACCAUUCAGACCAUACAAUCAGAACCAGAACUACUCUCAACCCAGACCAUGGGAGGAUGCAUUCCAGAAUUUCAAGAAUGUUACUCACUCCACGAUUGAGCAACAGAAUCGCACCAUUGAUGGACUACGAAAUGAGUUGAGAGCGGGCUUCAAUUCACAAGCCCAAUCAGUUUCAAGCCUCGAGAAGAUGGUGGGACAGCUUGCUUCUUCAGUUCAGACCUUGGCAAUGACUGUUGAGAAAGGCAAGUUUCCGAGUCAACCAGUGCCUAAUCCUAAAGGAGUGCAUGAAGCAAGUACCAGUUCACCACAGCAGCAUGGAGAGGUCAAAGCAGUAAUGACCUUGAGAAAAGGAAAAGAAGUCGACAACAAAGUGGAGAUGCCGGUGACAAAAGAAAAUCAAAUUGUACCUGUAAAUGUUGACGACUCAUCACCGGAGGAGAAAGAAGAAACCAACCCACGAGAAUACAUUCCGAAAGCUCUAUUUCCUCAGAGGUUAGCUAAAGGCAAGAAGGGAAAAUCCACAGGUGAGAUUCUUGAGAUCUUCAAACAGGUAAGUGUUAACAUCCCUUUACUUGAUGCAAUUAAACAAGUUCCAUCUUAUGCCGAGUUUCUUAAAGACCUUUGUACUAAAAAGAGAAAUAUGCAUGUCCAAAAGAAGGCAUUUUUAACAGAAAACGUUAGUUCUAUACUCCAAUAUAAAAUUCCUUUAAAAUGCAAAGACCCAGGCUCCCCCACUAUCUCAUGUAGUAUAGGGAACCACACAAUUGAGAAUGCUUUGUUGGAUUUAGGAGCUAGUGUAAAUUUGUUGCCUUACUCUGUAUUCGUGAAACUUGGACUGGGAGAAUUACACCCAACUCCAGUGGUGUUACAGCUUGCAGAUCGGUCCACGAAAAUACCUCGUGGUAUUGUGGAGGACGUGCUUAUCCAGGUAGACAAGUUUUAUUUUCCUGUUGAUUUCAUUGUAAUUGACACUCAACCAAUACAGGACUCAAAGAAGCACAUCCCCAUUAUUCUAGGCCGACCUUUCUUGGCAACUGCAGAUGCUCAUAUUCAAUGUAGGACCGGAAAUAUGCAAUUGUCCUUCGGCAACAUGACUAUGGAGCUAAACAUCUUCAACAUUGCCAAACAACUUCACAGUGCAGAUGAUGGAAUUGUUGAUGUGGAUUUAAUAGAAACAAUAGUUGAUAAUACUUUUCUUUCAAACCUUAGUGAUGAUCCUUUACAAACAUGUUUAACUCACUUUGGUUUGAAUUUUGAUAUUGAUAGAUCGGUCGAUGAGGUCAACGCCCUACUUGACUCAGCGCCAUCCAUAGACACUAAUAAAUGGAAGUCAAGAGUUGAACAACUAGCACCAUCAGAGAAGAAACUCAUCCCAUCAUCAGAAUCACCACCAAAACUCGAGCUCAAACCAUUACCCAACACAUUGGAAUAUGUGUUUUUGGGAGAAGAAAGCACUCUACCGGUAAUCAUCUCAUCAUCCCUAAACGACGAACAAAAAGGUAAGUUGUUGGAUGUUUUAAAAGAGCACAAAGGAGCAUUAGGAUGGACCAUAGCAGACAUCAAAGGUAUAAAUCCAGUAGACUGCAUGCAUUACAUUCACCUUGAUGAAAAUGCUAAAUCUACUAGGGAAAUGCAACGUCGGUUAAAUCCUAACAUGAAAGAAGUUGUUAGAACUGAAGUCCUUAAGCUAUUAGAUGCAGGUAUCAUUUACCCAAUUUCUGAUAGUUCAUGGGUCAGUCCUGUACAAGUCGUCCCCAAAAAGUCAGGAGUCACAGUAGUUACCAAUGCUGAUAAUGAAUUGAUACCAACUAGAGUAACUACAGGAUGGCGUGUAUGCAUUGAUUAUAGAAAGUUGAAUUCUGUCACACGUAAAGACCAUUUUCCUUUACCAUUUAUCGAUCAAAUGCUUGAUAGAUUAGCAGGCCAUGAAUUUUAUUGCUUUCUAGAUGGCUACUCAGGAUAUAAUCAGAUUCCCACAGCACCAAAAGAUCAAGAGAAGACCACUUUCACUUGCCCUUUUGGCACAUUUGCAUAUAGGAGAAUGCCAUUUGUAUUAUGUAAUGCACCUGCUACAUUUCAACGAUGCAUGUUGAGCAUUUUUUCUGAUAUGGUUGAACGAUUCCUUGAAGUCUUUAUGGAUGAUUUUUCUGUCUUUGGUGACUCGUUUGAUCAAUGUUUACAUCAUCUAACAUUAGUUCUGCAGAGAUAUAACGAGAAGAACUUAGUCUUAAAUUGGGAGAAGUGUUAUUUUAUGGUAAAACAAGGUAUUGUUCUCGGUCACAUCAUUUCGAGCAAAGGUAUUGAGGUUAACAAAGCCAAGGUGGAUCUCAUUUCUAAUCUUCCUCCACCCAAAACAGUCAGAGAAGUAAGAUCUUUCCUUGGACAUGCUUGUUUCUAUAGAUGUUUCAUUAAAGAUUUUAGCAAAGUUUCUAGACCCUUAUGCAAUUUACUUGCUAAGGAUGUACCUUUUAUCUUCAAUGAUUCAUGUCUUGUGGCUUUUGAAAAAUUAAAGCAAUUGUUGACAUCAUCAUCCAUCAUUCAGGCCCUAAAUUGGAGCUUACCAUUUGAGCUCAUGUGUGAUGCAUCUGAUUAUGCAGUAGGAGCAGUAUUAGGAUAAAGAGUUGAUCGAAUUUCCCAUGUUAUUUACUAUGCUAGUAUGACAUUGAAUGAUGCACAGUUGAACUAUUUAACUACUGAAAAAGAAAUGCUAGCAGUAGUGUUUGCAUUGGAAAAUUUCGAUCUUAUCUCAUUGGUUGUAAAAUAAUUGUGUUCACUGAUCAUGCUACUCUUAAAUAUCUUCUCACAAAGAAAGAUGCAAAAGCUAGACUAAUUCGUUGGGUGUUACUUUUGCAGGAAUUUGACUUGGAAUUUAAAGAUAAGAAAGGCACAGAAAAUGUUGUGGCAGACCAUCUCUCUCGUCUCCAUUUUGACACAAUUAUGGAAUCAUUACCAUUGAAUGAGUAAUUUCCAGAUAAAUAAUUAAUGAGUGUGGAAGUAUUACCAUGGUAUGCUGAUAUAGUUAAUUAUCUUGUUACAGGUAAACUUCCAGAGCAUUGGACCAAGUAAGACAAGGCUAAAUUCUUUGCAGAAAUAAAGAAUUUCUUUUGGGAUGACCCGUAUUUGUUCAAGUAUUGUGCAGAUCAAAUUGUUAGACGAUGUGUCACAGAAAAUGAAAUUCAGAAUAUUCUUUCAUUCUGUCAUGAACAAGCUUGUGGAGGCCAUUUCAGUGCUAAGAAAACAGCGACUAAAGUUUUACAAUGUGGUUUCUAUUGGCCAACUAUAUUUCGAGACGCUUACACUUUCUGUUCUUCAUGUGAUAGGUGUCAACGAAUGGGGAGCAUUACACGAAGGAACAUGAUGCUACUAAAUCCAAUUUUAGUGGUUGAGAUUUUUGACGUAUGGGGUAUCGACUUCAUGAGACCAUUUCCCCCUUCUUUUGGCCAUCAAUACAUAUUGGUUGGUGUUGACUACGUAUCGAAAUGGGUAGAAGCAAUUCCAUGUAGAACCAAUGAUCACAAGGUGGUGAUAGGAUUUUUGAAAAGCAAUAUUGUUUCACGCUUUGGAUACCCUCGAGGAAUAAUCAGUGAUGGUGGUGCUCACUUUUGUAACAAAGCAUUCAAAGCUCUUUUGACAAAGUAUUCAAUCACACACAAAGUGGCGACCCCGUAUCAUCCGCAAACCAGUGGCUAAGUUGAGAUCUCCAAUCGAAAAAUAAAGCACAUAUUAGAAAAGACAGUGAGGUUAGACAUAAAAGAUUGGUCAUUAAGACUUGAUGAUGCAUUAUGGGCAUAUAGAACGACUUUCAAGACCCCGAUUGGGAUGUCACCUUACAGGCUAGUGUAUGGAAAAGCUUGCCACCUACCUGUGGAACUCGAGCAUCGUGCAUAUUGGGCUAUCAAGAAAUUCAACUUUGACAUGCAGCAAGCUAGCUCAGAAAGAAGAUUACAGCUGGGAGAACUUGAAAAAAUUUGCAAUGAUGCAUACGAAAAUGCCAAGAUUUACAAGCAACGAAUGAAAGUCUUUCGUGACAAGCAAAUUAUGAGAAAAUCAUUCACUCCAGGUUAGAAAGUGCUUUUAUUCAAUUCUCGCUUGCACCUAUUCCUAGGCAAGUUACGCUCUCGAUGGUCUGGUCCAUUUAUUGUUCAUACUGUUUUUCCACAUGGGGCAAUUGAAAUUAAGGACCCAAAAAACAGUGUCGCAUUUAAAGUUAAUGGUCAAAGAUUAAAGCCAUAUCUAGAAUACCAACCACAUGGAGAAGAUACCGAAAUAAAUUUGAGUGACCCACCAGAUUUGAAUUGAUUUUUUUUUCUUUUCGUUGAUUUGAUUUUUCUUUCUUUCUUUUUAUUAUUCUUUUGCUAAUUGAAAUUAUUUUUGCAUAAGUGUGUUUGUUUAACUAUUAAAUUUUCUCUUAUCAUUUUUAAUCAUUAGUACCAUACUUAGACCGUUCCUCCUGAACAUUCUUAAACCACUUCAACGUGUCAAAACUCAUCUCAAAAGGCAGAUUCAAUUUUGUAAAACACAACGCAUUUGGGCUUUACAACCACCAGAGUUAGUAGCCUAUGUUGAGAAUCUAGAAAGCCAACUCCAAGAUAUUGAGAGAAGUGUUUACGACAUCCAGUUGGAGCUUGAGGUAAAUUCAAUAAGAGGACAAUUUUAAUUUUCUUUGUGUGUUUUAAUUUGUUUUUCUGUUUGUGUGCUUUAGUUUGUUACCCCGGUGAAGUGGCGGAUAACGGUACUCCGUGACAAUCAAGUCGGUUACUUCAGUUUCCCAUAAUAACUAAUAUUCUGAGGCGAAUGUAUGGACAGAAACGAGAUUCUAGCAAAGCUUCACAACCGAUUCCCUUCACUUUCUCAGAAUGCCCUCCUUACAAUCUAUAAAGCCUGGUCCGAAUGCAUGCGAUUGCUCAUGAGGAAUAACAUACCUGCUGACAUCCGUUGGUUAAUCGAGGCGAAAGUACGAUUGUUAGGUGAGUUACCUCCAAAAUUUAUUGCACACAUGUCUGGUUGUGGUAAAGGAAAUUAUGUAAGAAAACGACGAGCUCGAAGAAUUUAUGUUGCUUGUCAUAAGUGUGCCAGAAUGAGUUACAAUAAAAACCCAUGUUCUUUAGGAAUGAUGUCUGAUAACAGAGAAGAUAAGAUUCAAUUAAUUAGGGAUGACUUGAAUAAGGAGUCAUUGGAUGAUAUCCUUCUGUCUCUUGAAACGCAUCCCAGUGGAUAUGUGUAAGGAGCGAUUCUCCAGUUAUGGCCAUUAUUCCAGAAAGAGCAUGCACGAUAUAGUCUCGGGAAUCUGACUAUAAACAACCCUAUUUGCCAGUUUAUAAGAAAACUGGAUAGGAAGCCUAUCCUCGACCCAUAGAGGGCGUUCAAGCCGUUUUUGGAUGUAAAACCAGAGGAAGAUGUGAGCCACAGUCGCAACUACCUGUAAAUAUCCUUUUACUUUACUGUUAUUUUAUUUCACUAUUGUUUUAUUGUUUGCAUUAUUGUCUUUAAUAAUUUUAUUACUGUUUGCUUUUUCCUUUUUGCUGUUUCCUUUUUGACUCGCGAGCCAUGUGCUUUACGCAUUAUUUGAUACUGACAUGUUACCUCAUACACAACUGUGAUCCACUGUCACCAAGACUCUUAAAUGUGAUUUUUUUUUGUCAAACACUCACAAAUUAUUUUUUGAUAAGUAUUCCAAUGGCAGCUACUCCAAAUAGACAAUUCAAGAACAUUUGUGUGCUUUCUGGAUUUAACUAUGGCAAGCAUAAAGAGUUCGUUGAGGUAGCCAUAGAUCUUGGUCGAAGCAUAGCAGCGAGAAAAUUACACUUGGUGCAUGGAGGAGGUAAUCGAGGGUUAUCAAAAAUGGUCUCAGAAGCAGCUUUUAUCAGAGGCAGCCAAGUGUUAGACAUCAUCCUAAGAGCCCUAAAACCUUUGGGCAGUUUGACUGACUUAUCGACUAGAAAAGAGUUAGUCGUCUCAGGUAUGCAAGAACAAAUAACUGAAAUGCUUAAUCAUGCUGAUGCUUUUAUUUUCCUUCCAGGAGAUCUUGCAACACUAGAGGCACUUAUCACACUAGCAUCUUGGGCUCAUCUGCACAUUCACCAGAAACCCAUCGGUUUGUUAAAUGUCAAUAACUUUUAUGAUGGCUUUAUCGCAUUUCUUAACCAUGCAAUAAAAAACUAUUUCAUUCCCUCUAAUGCGAAAAAACUCUUUAUUUGUGCUCACACUGCUAAUGAGCUACUUGACCUGUUACAAGCUUAUAGACCGGAGCCAGACCCCUAGACCUUUGUGUUGGAGCAUCCAAAUAAUGAUGGUAACAGUAGCCGCAGUAAGAAGUACAAAUUAGAUUUAACUCUCCACCUGUAAAUAUUUUCUUCUGUGUUGCACCACCCAGGUGAUGUCUUCUAAACUCUAUUUCUUUCCUUUAAAACAUUGAGGACAAUGUUUCGUUCUGAUUAGGGGGAGGGAAUAGUCGACAAUUGUGGAAUCUUGGUUAAGUUUUUACUGAUUUUUUUAUUGUAGAAACUAACUGUUACUAACAUUUUGUGUUGAAGAUGGCUGAAUAUGGAAUGUAGUGACUCUAGAAACGCAUCUUCAUCGUUUGAAAAAAAAAAAUAAUAAUAAUAAUUUAAAAAAAAGUAAAAAAAUUCAAAAUUCAAAAAAAAAAAUUUCAGACAUUUUCUUUUUCUUUAUUAAGUUUUGAUGUUUAUUUUUCUUCUUCUUUUUGAUUUCUCCUUUAUAAAUAUAUUCAAAUAUUUGAGUCGAAGAUGGCUAAAUAUGGAGUGUAAUGCCUUUAGAAACGUAUCUUCUUAGUUAAAAAAAAAAAAAACAUUUCUUUUUCUAAUUAAUUUUUUUGCAUGAUUUUCACAUUUCUGCAUGCAUAUUUUCCUUUCAUAUUUAGAAUAAGUUGGGGGGUAGAAUGUUGUUUAAAAAAAAAUUUGUGUGAUCUGUUUUAACAUUGGAUGACAUGAUUAAUUUCAAAUUUCAGUAUUUGUAUUAUUUUUGGUCUUAAGUGAUAUUACACUAUGUUUGCUACUUUACACAUGUUAAUGUUGGAGACAAAUAUGAGUUGCUUGAAGGAAUGAACAUGUCAUAAAUAAGUGCCAAGUGAGUUUUUGAGCCUAUCAUUUUCUUGGAGAGUAACUUUUUUGCCCAUUCUCUAUACAGCUUAGCAGUUUAUUAUUUUGUACACGAUCUCUAGAUUUCUUUUGAGUUAACCCUUUAAAAAAAAUUGUAAAAAAAAAAAAGAAGAAAAAGAAAAAAAAUGUGUUGCUACAUUGGGAGGCCCGUCUACCUAGUAGAUAUGGAUGAUUAUUUAAAGCCCUAAAAGACGAUGGAAAGGCCAUCUUUGAUCCGUUUGAGCCUUUCUAGCCAUUCCUUUUAUUAAAUAUCCAUAGUUAACCAUUUUGAGCCUUUAAAAAAUAUAUAUAUAUAUAUAUAUAUAUUUUCUUUGUCAACUUAUCAUCUUAACCCACUCUGACUUAGAGUAUUACCUGAUGUCUUAUAAGUUCCAUCACCUAUUUAUAUUUGAGAAAAUGUAAAUAAUUAUUUUGUUCAGUGAAGUUAUGCAAAAUUAAAAAAAAGAAAAAAAAAUAAAAGUUGUUUCAAAAAAGAAUAAAAAUAAUAAUAAUAGGUGAAAUCCACCUUGCAACUUAAAAAAAAAAAAAAAUUCUAUGCAUUUUUCUCAAACAUACACUUUGUUUUCCUUAUUUCCCUUCUUUGUUAGCCAUGUCCCUAGCCUACGUUACGUCCUAAUAAAAGUCCUUCUUGAUUUGAGGGAACUAUAGUCUGAAGUAGAAGCUAGUUAUAUGGGCUAAAAAGAUGUAGUGAUGCAUGAAAAAAAAAUUAAAUAAAUUGGGUUGACUAACAUUUUUAUUUGACUUGAGAUCGUAUUAUUUCUAAGUUGAGAGCAUAUUUCUUUUAUCUUGGUGAAAGCAUUUGAUACCACUUCUUUAUUAUUUUCUCUCAAUUACCAUUCAUUAGAGUGACUAUUUUUAUUGGGUUUAAUUUCUUUGUGAGAGUGUCACUAUUUCUAGUGAGAUUUUGAGGUUUGACAUGUCAUUCUUGAAGGUAGCUAUGACAAAGUCUACUGGGUUAAUUCAUGUGGAUGGUUGAUGUGGGUGUGAUGUUUCUUUAGACUUGAGAUAAUGCUUAUACUUUUAUUUGAUUGUUAUCAUUAGUCUGAUUGAAUAAACAAGAUUGUUAAAAAAAAAAAAUUGUGUUUGAACUUUGUUUUCGCUUUAUUUGUUAGGGACUAGCAAUAAGCUGGUUGGGGGUUGUGUUGAGUGUUAGAAAAUAUAUAUUUAUAAAGGAGAAAAUCGUCAUUUUACAUUUCAAGUCUUACUAACAACCCUUACUUUUAUGUAUUUAAGGUUCUUGUAAUUUAAUUAUGUGUGUUUUAUUUUAAUUAAGUAUUUUGUGUAUUUUAGGGGCAUCAUAGUCAUUUCACAAUAAACGAGAGAUCAAACGGCAAAACGGACAUCAUUUUUAAACUCAGGACGGUCGAAAACUUUAGGAGGAGCAUAAAAGAAAAAAUAACACUGUUCACAUGCACGAUACUAUUCACAUGUACGGUACUGUCUACGUUACUGUUCACGACACUGUUCACAUUGACGGAUCGAUGACGUGGCAUUGACCGAUGAUGUGGCAUUGACUGAUGAGGUGUCAUGAUCCUGUUGGUCUAAAAUUCUUAUGAACUGUUGAUAGUGACGUGGCAACAUAUUAGUGGACAAAAACUUGCGCGUACGGUACAUGCAUUACACAGGAUUAUUUUCAACCAAACCGCGUUACUAUUCAAAGCCGGGUCAAACCGUGUUACUGUUCAUCCGCGUGGUCAAACCGCGUACUGUUGACUGAUGACGUGACACAAUCCUGAGCGUCCAAGCUGUUUUUAAUCCGAUGGCCAUGAUUUACUCCAUGUAUCUAUAAAAAAGGGGCCUCCCCCCUAAUUUGAUACCUCUGAAUCCAUUUUUGGACUCCAUUUUCUAUAAUUCCUUCUCCAUCUUGUAUUUUCUACGUAUUUUAAUAAAUUUUCAUUUUGCCCCUAGUUCAAUUAUGAGUAGUUAAUUUUCUUUCAAACUUGGGUUCAAGGUGAAGUCUCAACAUGCGUCAUGGACUUUAUUUAGUAAAUUUAUUUUCUUUUCCCCUCUAAUUUUUGUGGAUGAUUUGAUUUUUCGUCGACAAAUAAUAAUAAUAUUGUCUAGAUACCGCCUUGGUUACAUCGGCUCUCUAGUACAAGGUUAUUAUUAUUUGGCACGAUAAGCCCUUAGCACUAUAUUGAUUAGAGUGUGGUUCAUGAAAUGUGGAUUCCUCCCUCAUGAUUUAAUUGGUAUUAAUAAGGAAUAUUUAGCCCAUGGUGCAUGUUGAUACGGAUCCAGAUACCCAAGUACGUCAUUUCAAUAGAAUUCACUUCAAUUUAUUCUCGUCAUUUCAAUUCCAAUUUUAGAAUUUAUUCUCGCCAUUUUAAUUUAAGUUUUAGCAUAUUUCAAAUCAUUUCCACCAAAAAUCCAAUCACCCAUUUACAAAAUUAAUUCUACACACAAUUAAAAUCUACCUCCUCGUGGGAUCGACACUCGUCACCAUUGGUCUAGACUACAAUAGAUUCGUGUGCUUGCGAGUACAUUAAAAUUGCACAACAUAAGCCACAGUUACGACUACUUGUAAAUAUUCUUUUACUUCAUUGUUGUUUUAUUAUUUGCAUUAUUAUCUUUAAUAAUUUUAUUUUAUCAUUGUUUGGUUUUUUUUUCUUUUUUACUGUUUGAUUUUUGACUCUCGAGCCAUGUGCUUUACACGUUAAUUGACACAAACACGCUACCUCAUACACAGUCGUGACCCACUGUCACCAAAAUUCUUAAAUAUAAUUUUUUUGUUAAGCACUCACAAAUUAUUUUUGAGAAGUAUCCCAAUGGAAGCUACUCUCAAUAAACAAUUCAAGAACAUGUCUGCUUUCGGGAUUUAACUAUGGCAAACAUAAAGAGUUCGCUGAGGCAGUCAUAGAUCUUGGUCGAAGCAUAACAGAGAGAAAAUUACACUUGGUGUAUGGAGGAGAUAACCGAAGGUUAUCAAAAUUGGUCUUAGAAGCUGCUUUUGUCAGAGGAAGCCAAGUGUUAGGCAUAAUCCCAAGAGCCCUAAAACCUUUGGGCAGUUUGUCUGACUCACCGACUGGAGAAGAGUUAGUCGUCUCAUGUAUGCAAGAGAGAAUAACUUAAAUGCUAAAUCAUGUUGAUGCUUUUAUUUUCCUACCAGAAGAUCUUACAACUCUAGAGGCACUUAUCACAUUAGCAUCUUAGGCCCAUCUACACAUUCACCAGAAACCUAUCGGUUUGUUAAAUGUCAAUAACUUUUAUGAUGGCUUUAUCGCAUUUCUUAACCAUGCAAUAAAAAACUAUUUCUUUCAUUCCACAGCGAAAAAAUUUUUUAUUGUGCUCACGCUGCUAAUGAGCUACUUGAUCUGUUAUAAGCUUAUAGACCAGAGCCAGAACCCAGGACCUUUGUGUUCGAGUGUCCAAAUAAUGAUAGUAACAGUAGCUACAGUAAGAAGUGCAAAUUAGAUUUAACUCUCCGCUUGUAAAUAUUUUCUUCUGUGUUGCACUACCCAGGUGAUGUCUUUUAAACUCUACUUCUUUCCUUUAAAACAUUGAGGACAAUGUUUUGUUCUGGUUGGGAGGAGGGAAUAGUUGACAAUUGUGGAAUCUUGAUUAAGUUUUUACUGUUUUUUGUUGUAGAGACUAACAAUAGUUAACUUUUUGUGUUGAAGAUGGCUGAAUAUGGAGUGUAGUAACUCUAGAAACGUAUCUUCUUCGUUUGAAAAAAAAAAACAAAAAAAACUUCCAAAUAUUUUUUUUUAUUUAUUAAGCUUUGACAAUCAUUUUUUUUCUUCUAACUUCUUCUUUCUAAUUUCUCCUUCAUAAAUAUAUACUUUCAAACUUUUGAGUCGAAGAUGGCUGAAUAUGGAGUGUAGUGACUCUAGAAAUGCAUCUUCUUAGUUAAAAAAAAUCAUUUUCUUUUUCUAUCAUUUUAAGUGUAACCUUUGUAAUUAGUUUUUCUGCAUCAUUUUCACCUUUCUGCAUGCAUAUUUUCUUUUCAUGUUUAGAAUAGGUUGGGGGGUAAAAUGUCGUUUGAAAAAAAAAUUUGUGAUUUUUUUUAACAUUAGAUGACACAUGACUUUCAAAAUUAUUAUUUGUAUUAUCUUUGGUCUUAAGUGAUGUUACGCCAUGUUUGCUACUCUACAUGUUGAUAUUGGAGACAAAUAUGAGUUGCUUGAAGGAAUGUACAUGUCAUAAUAAAUACCAAAUGAGUUUUUGAGCAUAUCAUUUUUCUUGGAGAGUAAUCCUUUUUGCCCAUUCUUCAUACAGCUUAGCAGUUUAUUAUUUUAUACAUGAUCUCUAGAUUUCAUUUGAGUCAAUCCUCUAAAAAAAAGGAGAAAAAAAUGUGUUGCUACAUUUGAAGAUCUAUCUAAUUAGUAGAUAUGGAAGAUUAUUUGGGGCCCUAAAAGACGAUGGAAAUGCCAUCUUUGACCCGUUUGAGCCUUUCUAGCCAUCUCUUUUGUGAAAUAUUCAUAGUUAGCCCUUUUGAUCCUUUUAUUUAAUAAAAAAAUUUAUUUGUCAACUUAUCAUCUUGACCCACUUUGAUUUGAUCUCUUACACAGAGAAUCCUUCUAACUUUAGUAAUGCUCUUAACCCAUUGACAUUCCAAGACAGAAGCUUCACAGAUUUUGUACCCUCUGCCAGAGGUGGAGGCCUCAUAGUUCUAGGGUUAUAAGCAAUCCAGCCCUUUUGAGGCUUCUUAUGCGCAAGCAUUGUCCAAGGUUCACUUUGGACUGUUAGCAGAGUAACUGCACUAUCAUCAGUAGCCAUUUCACUAUUAAUAUACAUACCUAAUAUCAUUUACUUUUUAUCAAAAGGACCCUUCCUAGAAAUAAUAACCAGGUGUCUAUGCUCCGGAUAAAACCGAAUGAACUAAGAUUAACGACCUAAAGAACAUGUAAGUUAGAGAAAGAGUGCAUUUUAAAUUAACAAAGGAUGCCAAAUGAUUAUUAAUGAAGCAAAAGUUCAAAAUAAUAAAGCAGUGAAAACUGUAUACAUAUAUUCUACUGUACCUGAAAUCUUAUCAGUUUUGACUGAGGCUUUAGCAUCAACUUCACCAGUUUCAUUGCCAAUUGGUGAUUUUGUAGCCUUUCUCUUACUUUCUUGGAGUGCAGAAACUUCUGGAAUAGAGUAAAUUUCUUGAGCAUGUUCCUCAUGAGAAAACUUCUUAGCCUUCCUCUCCCCUGAUAUACUUUUCGUAUUAGCCUUCCUUUUUACUGAUACACUUUCAGCAGAAAUGGAGGAUACCUCUUCUAUUUCCACAUGAGAACUACCACCUGCACAUAGAAGAAACUUCCAACCUUUAAAAAUAAGCAACACAGCAUUGAACCAAAACUGAUUGAGAGAACAAGGACGAGGCGGAACAAAGGUAAAACAAACAAUUGAGAGUAACGAAAAUUCUUCUGCUCCAAUCUUAAUGGAAAUGACACGACGCUAUGCAAAAUACUGGAGAAUAUUGAAAUUUGAUUCUUUGGUAAAAAGAGUUUACCUUCCAUCUUCUUCUCCACAUAAACCUUCAAGGCAGAUACUGGAUCACAUUUAGAACCUUUAGCAGGGACCCCAAUACCCCUGAUGAUCAAGAAUGAAAUAAGCAUACUAACAAAAACUACAAAUAGAAGUGCAACAUGGUAUUCUGCCCAUCAACCAUCCACUCAAUUGAUUCAUUCUCCAAAUCAAUUUGAAGAACCGUCAUUGACCGUUCAAGACGAGGCACAAGAAAUGCAAGUAAUACAGAGAAGCCGACACCUAAACCAUUUCAAGUUAGUUGCAUAUAUACUAGUUUGUCAUGAAGCUUCCAGAACAAAGCACCCCCCUCCAUAUCUCAGGCAACCCAAAUGAAACCCAAAAUCUGAAUGCACAUCAGACAUAAAUCGUGUGGUUUUUCUGAAAGUUAUAUAUUCAUGAUACAAAAUUUCAUGUCUUUCUGAAUAUUGAGCCUUUAAAACUUUGGCUUACCUCAAUAUAGUUCUGAGUUCUUGAACUGUCAUGACCUCAAUUCUCUCAGGAUUAUCCUUUAUACUCUGAAUUCUAGCUUCAUUGCUUUCUACUCCAAUAUCCUACACAUCAAUUUACAGUUAAAAUUUUCCUCAAUUACUCCAAUUGUCUCACUACUUCUUGUACGCUAGUUAAUAUCAACAGUGACUCUAUACACAGACCCACAAAACAAUGAAGCAAGUUAAAACUAUCAACAACAAAAAUCAAAACCACGGCACACGUUCGGGGUCGAACCCACUAAUCCGUUCACCUUUUCAUCUUCCAUGUUAUCGAAGGACGGUGCCGGUUUGGAUGAACUUGCAAGAUGCCGUUUAGGCUUCAUAGCUCUGAAGGAGACAAAGGUUCCAAUUCUAAAAUUUCUUGGAGUAACUGCAAAACUAAAGAAGAAAAGAGAUAUAUUAAAAUAGACAAAAAUAAUUUCUUUAAUUUAAAAGAAAUGAUUUUUAUAGAAUAACUGAAGCUGUCAUAAAUGAACACAAUACCACUGUAGCAGUGGAUGAAGAGGCACAAUAUUUUGAAUCAUUAAAGCUAAUUAAUUUAAUCCCAGAACAAAAAUUACAUUUUUAUUACUGAAAAAUCGAAGAAAGAAAGUACCCAGCAGGAGUAACGAAAGCCUUGAGUCCUAGUUGAAAGACUUGAUUCAUCUAUCAAACUCAAAACCUGGUGCAACUUAGCAAGGAGCACGGAGAAAAAGUAAGCCAAUAAUGUGACUCAAUCCCAAAAAUAACAAAUGUGAAGUUAAAUUACCUAAAUACCCUUCUGUAUUAUAGAACGCAAUAAUGCUUAACUGUGAAUCUCAGUACUUUUCUAUACUUCGAAAAGUACGAAAUUUUGACAUAAUCAAUUUCUUUUGAUUAUAGGUCGAAAAGUAUGAAAUACGUCUAUGUAUUUAUUAUGUGUUGGACUAUUGGCAUGUCUGAAUUAUUCUCAUAAAACCUCUAUUGUUGACAUCCCUUAAUUAUUCUCAUAAAACCUCUACUUUAUAGAAAUUAUAUUUAAACACAAUUUUGAAUAGAAUUUUUUUAACUAACACCCCCCAAAAAGUUUUAAAAAAACCUUUACCCUAAAGAUGUGCCAACUAAAAAAAACAAAUCUAGAAGUUCAUAUUCUAAUAACACCACUAUUAUCCUAAAAUAGCCCCCUCUCUCUCUCUUUAAUAAUUUUCACAUACAAAAUUUGUAAAAAACGUUUAACCAUAGGAUAUUUCUCUCUCAAUAUUUAAUAUAUUGAAUUUUUUGUUCUUAUUUAAUUAGAAUAGCACUUUUUUUUUUCUUUUUUUCAUCGAUUUUUUUUGUUAUUUGGUUUAUUCUAUUUCUUUUUCCUUUGAAGUUACAGGAUGAUAUUUUUUUGUAAAUUAGUAGCUCUUUCUUUUUUUUUAUAUGUGAGCAAUUUUGUAUUGAUGCUUGAGAUAAGGAGGGAAAAAGAAAAACAAAUUCAUCAAAAGUUUUAUUUAAAGCACAAAACGAAGAAUUAUUUUUAUAUAUCAUUGAAUUUUAUUGUCCAAAUAAUAAGCAAAUACUAGGUUCUGCAAUCCUGUUAAAAGCGAAAAGAAUAUUAUCUUUCAAAGGCUAAUAUUUUUUCAACAAAAGAAAUUAUUAAGAGCAUAUAGUUGAGAGGAUUACAUGAUUCAAUUUCAGCUGAUACAGGCGCUGAUAAUUCAAAAGGCAGAGAAAUAUAAGCAGUAUCAAGGCCAAAUUAAAGUAGAAACAGUGGUUACUUGAUAACUUAGAAAGCCUCUUCAAGAGGAGUCAAUUGGCAGCUCAUGGUCAAAAUUUUGUAGAUGACAAUAUGACCCAUACAUUUGCUUUUAGCACACCAAAAGUAUUUAAGUUGAAGCUUCAUUUGAAAAGGAAAGCAAGUUUGAAUCACUUUUAUAAACAAUUCCCUCCAUUUCUUUUUGUUGGCCUUGUUGGUUACUCUUUCUUUCAAAUAUGUUAUAAAACUAUCGAUCAUUACUGUGAUAUGGAGAGUGUCAUGACUAUGGUUGUUCAUCCCACUUAACUGGCAAGACUUGUUGAAAUAAUACAAUACCGCAUUUGAUUCAGAUACUCAGCACAAGGGUACUAGGAGGCACUAUAUGACCCCAACACUACAAGAAAAAACAGAAUACUUGACAUUUUUUAUUUGAUAAUUUUUAAGAAAUAUCAAAUAUAUAUGACAUUUUGUGAAAAAUUGAGUAAUUAUGAAAUAUAAAUAACAAUUUAUUUAAACGUCAAAUACUUAUGACGUUUUACCAAAUAAGUGGCAAAUAUAUUAUAUAUUUAUUGAAUAAUUACCAUUUAUGUUUUCCUUUUAUUGACUUAAGAAAAAAAACAAAAAGCGCACAUGUUGUGAACCUGUAAUUAGGUCCAGAUGCCCGUCUUCCAAGAAUUUCAGCUUGCUUUAGCCUAGUGAGCUUGUUUCAUUCACAUAUCACAUCUGGACUGCCUUUGUUUCUUUUAAGAAAAUUCAAACUCGUAUUUCUUUUCAAUAAUCACUUCGCAUUUUUUAUCAAUCACUCAAUUUCGAAUUUCAUCUCCAUCCUCUCUCGAAGAAGAACGCACAAAGAAUUUCAGCUUGCUUUAGCCUCAUUUGCUUCUCGAAUUUCAGGUAUUGUUUCCUUUUCCUUUAAAUUAACAAAGCAUCAUCAUCUGGUUUGAUAAUUUUAGGGUUAUAGUUGAAUUAUUUGUAUUUUAAAACAAUCUAGGGUUGAUUUAAUUGAUUCCAAGUGUCGUAUCUGUUCUGCUAUUUGAAUACACAUUACUUAUUUGAUGAAAUGUCUCUUUAAAAGAUUAUUUUUGUUUUUAACAAGCAUCUUAUUGAGAUGUUUCUCGUAAUAUAUUAACGUAAUGCACUUAGCUUCAAUUUUUUCUGUUUAAUACAUUUUAACAAAGGAAACUUACAGAACUGCAACAAUUCUCAAAUUGCUUGCAAAUUAGAAGUAAUGUUAUUGAUUUUUAUUAAUUAAUGAGAUUUUAAUUUAUUGAGUCUGUAAACUCACUCUAAGAAGUGAUUAUUGCUUCAAUUUAGUCUGGUUCAUACAUUUUCAUUCUCAUUAUAAAUGACAGUCAUCUCUCAUUUUUUCAUCAAUCACUCAAUUUCAAUUUUCAUCUCCAUUCUCUCUUGAAGAAGAACCCAUGAAGAAGUUCAGCUUGCUUCAGCUUCAUUUGCUUCUUGAAUUUCAGGUAUUUUUUCUUUUAAUUUUGAUUUUUUUUAAUUCUCUCUUUCUAGUUUGAUAAUUUUAGUGUUAUACUUGAAUUAAUUGUAUUUUUAAUUGAUACUAAGUCUUAUAUCUGUUCUCGUUCAACAAACAAAGAACGCACAAAUAAUGUUCACUUUCAUUCUCAAUUUUGAAAGAAUCAAUAUAUUUUAUUUAUAACAUCUGUUAGAUUCUUGACAAACAAUCAUAGAGAUACAGUAGUAGAAAUUAUAUUAGACACACUCUAGUUGCUUAAUUAGUAAAAUUGAGAUCUCAUUGCCUUAUUUUUUGGGGUUAAUUCUAUAAUUUUAUUAGUUGUUCUUGUGGUUGCAAACAAUAUCAUUUUUUAAUAUUAAUAAAACUAAAUGAAUAUUAUGUGAUGCAUUUGCAGGAAAGUUAGUAGUUUAAAUAUGGAUAAAUCUUGGAUGUUGAUGGAUAGAACGUCUAUAGAAUAUGAAAAUGGGGUAAAUGAGUUUCUCAAGUUUGCAAUACUUCAUGCUAGUAAUCCUGAACUUUUAAGAUGUCCAUGCCAAGGAUGUGGUAAUUUGGUCUUUCAUGUACCUGCUGAGAUAAGAAAUCAUCUUUAUUGGAAAGGUAUUGACCAAAGUUAUCAGACAUGGACUUGGCAUGGAGAAGGAGCUUCUAGUAGACGACCAUCAAAUGUAAAAGCUUCAUUUGAUGGCAGUCUACAAGAUGAUGAAGCUGCUGAUACAGUAGAAAUGGUUAAUAAUGCAUUUGACACUUGUAAUGGUGACCCCAAGUCUUUCGAAACUGUACUUAAAGAUGCUGAAAAACCUUUGUUUCCCGACUGUGUGAAAUUCACUAAGUUAUCUGCCUUAAUAAGGCUUUACAACAUUAAAGGAAGAAAUGGAUGGUAAGACAAAAGAUUUUCAGAUUUACUAGGUUGUUUAUUAGAUAUGCUUCCUGAUAAAAAUGAAAUACCUUUAUCUGUAUAUGAAGCAAAGAAGAUUAUGGUUGCAUUAGGCUUAGAAUAUGAAAAAAUACAUGCAUGUCCCAACGAUUGCAUCCUAUAUAGAAAAGAAUAUAAUGAUUUAUCUGCAUGUCCCACUUGUGGAAUGUCAAGAUGGAAGAGUCCCAAGAAAAGUAAGGGAAUUCCUGCUAAAAUCUUAUGGUAUUUUCCUCUUAUACCAAGGUUUAAAAGGAUGUGUCAAUCUCCUCGAACCGCAAAAGACUUAAUUUGGCAUGCCAAUGAAAGGGUGAUUGAUGGCAAAGUACGUCACCCAGCUGACUCACCGUCAUGGAGGCUAAUGGACCAAAAAUGGCCAGAUUUCGCUGCAGAAGAAAGAAAUCUUCGGCUGGCUAUUUCUGCAGAUGGGAUAAAUCCCCAUAAAAACUUUCGCAGUUCGUAUAGUUGUUGGCCAAUUGUUAUGAUUACUUAUAAUCUUCCUCCUUGGUUAUGCAUGAAAAGAAAAUUCAUGAUGUUGACUAUGCUAAUAUCUGGUCCACGACAACCCAGUAACGAUAUUGAUGUCUAUUUGUCACCACUGAUUGAUGACUUGAAAACUUUGUGGGAAGUUGGUGUCCAAAUUUAUGAUGCAUAUAGACAAGAAUUAUUUACUCUACGAGUUGUCUUGUUGUGGACAAUUAGUGAUUUUCCUGCUUAUGGGAACUUGUCUGGAUGCUCAGUUAAAGGAUAUUUUGCAUGUCCUAUAUGUGGGGAAGAUACACAGUCCUGUAGACUUAAGAAUGGGAAGAAAAAUGUGUACAUGCGCUAUAGGCGAUAUCUCCUAGAAUCUCACUUUCUUUCACACUGUUAAUUUAGAAUUUGAUUGGCAAAGGGAGAAGAGGCUAUUGAAUGAACAAAUAGCGAAGAUGAAAGCUACUAUCCAUGAUCUCUUAAAAUCUUCACCAAAAGCAAGACACUCCAAUGUCUGUAGCAACAAAUUUGGAUCACAAGAUGUGUCUAAUGAGACAAAUAACAAAACAGAUCCAAUUUUUGAAAAGCAAAAAAAUAAGGUACACACACUCAAGUAAUUAAAUUAAUCUUUGAAUUUAUACUUUAAGUGCAUAUUUAAUAAUCUUAUUACUUUUUUUUGUUAGGAUCAAACUUGUCAGUCGGCUGUAGGAUGUAAAGAAAACAUUGUUGCUACUGGAACUAUUUUGGAGUAUAGGAAGCCAAAUGUUUUAGUUGUAAUUGAUAUGGUAUUAAGUCCAGAUGCCCAUCUUCCAAUCAGGACUAGUGAGCUUGUUUACGUCAGUGAUGGGUUAGGACAACACAUAUUAUGGCUAGAAAAGCUUGUUUCCUAAGCUGUUGUAGUAAACAAGGUAUUGAAUUUGGCGUAUAUUACUUGUUUUUUUUAAUUCCUUAAUUGAGAAUUUAAAUUGUAAUCACAUGUGAAUGCUUAAAUUUCUAGAUGUCUAAGUCAGCUGUAAAGCCUUCCAAGGGGAAAUUAGAUGUGAAUGCUGAAGUAAACACCCCAAUGGUACCUGACCUAUAUUACUAGCUUUAAUUCUUGUUUUAUUUAUUUAUUUAAAAUUUAAGUAAUAAUCAUAUUUGAAUGUUUGCAUUUCUAGGUGUCUAAAUUAUUUAUCAAGCCUUUUAAAGAAAAAUUAGAGGUGAAUGAGGAAGUAAACUCUCCCAUAGUUCAGCAAACAUUUAAAAAACCUCCUGACAUACAAGUUUUUGAUAAAGUGGUAAAGAAAGUUAUGAAACCUGGUUCCCAAGUUAAGGUUGAUUUUGAGGACACAUUUAGUUACAAAUUGCAUACAUAUCUCACUUUGGAGGAAAUUCAAGAUCUUAUUGAUAUGCAAGAGCUUUCACAAAACUGCAUUGUUGUAUACAUGAGGUAUGAUACUUCAAUAAUGCUUUAUAUUUUUUCGAUUAUUUUUGUUUCACUUUAAUUGACCUAGCACUUUUUCUUAUAUACUAGAUAUCUUUGUGCUGAAACGAAGGCCAGGCUAAUUAAUGAAAAGUUUGGAUUCAUUCAUCCUACCACUCUUUCUUUUUUGGAUGAGAGUACUUUCAAACAGAAAGCAAAAACUCUUGUUGAUCGUUUCCAAGAAUUGAGGGCAAAACAAUUUAUCUUCUUACCAUAUAAUCCUAGGUUAGUUAUUUUGUUGCUUUAAAUAUCUUUGUUUAUCUACUUAGUUUUUACUUUUUAAUUAGUAUUUUUUUCUAACUCUUUAUUCAUUUGUUAAUAGUUGUCAUUGGAUCUUGCUUGUGAUCGACUAGCCCUCAAUGGUUGUUCAUUAUUUGAAUUCAGUGAGAAAUGAAAUCAGUGUUGAUAUAAAAAAAAUUGUAACUGUGUAAGUAUAUUAAAGAUAUUUAGCUAUAAGUGUACUAGUGGUUUUUGCUAUAUAUAUAAUUAUUAAGUUUAAUAUUUCAUAUUUGAUUUGUAUUUUUUUGUAGUGGGAUUCAAAUGUUUCUUGCCAAAAAAGGACAGCAAAUGAAAAAGAUUAAUUUGAAAUGGAAUGAUGUUAAGGUGCCUAUGCAAAUUGGUAAUGUUGAAUGUGGCUACUAUGUCAUGCGAUUCGUGAAGGAGAUUAUUGCAGAUCAAAGUAUACUUUGUGUAAAGGUUAGAUCAUUAACAUAACUUAAACUUAUUGCAGAUUUUACAGAGAAAUAAAUAUAGUUUUUUGUCUUUUGAUGUCAGUUUAAUGAAAAGAUACUUAUAAUGAAGAUGAGAUCAUCGAAAUUCGCGCUGAUUGGACCACUUAUGUUAGUGACUUGAUUUGAAAAAAAAAAUGCAAAAGAGACAAGUAAUUCAGGUAAAUAGCAUAUGAUUCAAUUAAAGUACAUUAGUUUAUUGUUAAUAUUUUUCAUACAUAGAUUUUUCCUUCUCUUUGUGCAUAGAUAUCUUAUGCUUUCAUUGCAUAAGGCAACUAUAUCAUCUAGUUGGAUUCAUAAUAAAAGCUCUUAGUUAAUUCAAUCAAAAUUUGUCAAUGCCUUACUGGUAACCAUGACUUACCUUUUUAGCCUCUUCCUUAAACAAUAACAGUAGUAUAUGGCAUAUGAUUACCUCUUUCUUCUCCUUUUGAUUUUUGAAGUUUCUAAAUUUUCUUCGGUCACCGGUUUUCUUGAAAAUUUUUCUGAACCUCCUUGUUGGCAUAGCCAACUCCUCAUCAUCCGGCUCACUUUCUCUAUCACUCUCAUAUUUUGUGGCUUUGAGUGCAAUGUUUUUUUUUUUUUCCUCAUUUCCUCUUUCGGCUGCCAAAUCUUCCUCAUAAGAAAUAAGAGAACCAAUUAACUCAUCAAUAAGUAAGAUAUUCAAAUCUUUAGCUUCCUCAAUGGCAGUCCUUUUUGGUCUCCAUUCCUUAGGUAAUGACCUAAUAUUUUUUUAACUUUCUCGCUAUUUGAAAAGGUCUUUCCUAGGGUUCCUAGAGUGUUUACUAUGUCCGUAAAUCUAGUAUACAUAUAAUACACACUCUCAUUUUGUUCCAUUUGGAACAAUUUAUACUGCCGAGUGUACCUACUAAUUUUAGACUCUUUCACUUGAUUCGUGCUUUCAUAAACAACUUCAAGUUUGUGCCAAAUUUCAUUAGCACUUUCACAACUAAACACUCUAUGAAACUCUUUCUUAUUGAGUGCACAAAACAAAGCAUUCAUGGCUUUGGAAUUUAGAGAAGCUUUUCUCUUUUCCAAUUCAUUCCAUUCCCAUAAAGGUUUUGGAAUGUCUUCCCCGAAUUCAUUUUUAGUCAAAGGCAUAAAUGGACUAUCACAUACAACUUCCCAAAUUUCAUAAUCUAGUGCUUGUAAAUAAAUUCUCAUCCUAGUUUUCUACUAUGGGUAGUCAUUUCCGUCAAAGAACGGUGGCCUAGUUGUGGAUUGUCCUUCCCUAAAGGUUGAAUCAUUUUGGGUUGCCAUGGAUCUUUUGCUCUAGACGGUUAAGUCCUAACAAGAGAACCAAGCAUUGAUACCAAAUGAAAUGCAAGUAACGCAACUCAAGAGGGGGGUGAAUUGGGAUUUUAAAAAUUAUGCAAUACAAUUCGCUCAACAAAUCAAUCUAACGCCUUAAUGAAAUAGAAAACAAUAAAUUCAAACAAGCGUAAAAAUAAAAGAGUAAGGGAAGAGAAAAACAAACACACGAAUAUUUACGUGGUUCGGCAAUCCCCGCCUACGUCCACGCCGCCAAGCCAACCAAGCUCGAGGAUUUCACUAUCCAAGCCUCCCAAGGCUUCAAGUUUUUACAAUUGACUUACAAGGUGUCAAUGAACCUUUAUAAUCAAGAGAUUAUCUCCUCAAUCUCUUUACCCCAAGUGUUUCUCACACUUAUAGACUCACAAUUUGAUAAGAAAUGAAAAUUACAACAAAAACUUUCUUUAAGAGUGGAUAUGCAAAUAAUAGCUCAACAAUGAUUCAAUCCAUGAUGAUUUGCGUUUUGGAAGCUCAAUAUAUGUUGUAUUAUCUUAUAUUUGCUUGCAUUAGUUCUUAGAAUGAAUUUUGAGUUGAGUUUUUAUAGUUAAAGCCCGAAAACUAGCCGUUAUAGGUAAAUUCCCGCGCCUAAGCGGUUAGGCGCUUGAUUUAUCCGGUUAGCCGCUCAGGAACAGUGAUAUUACCGUUAUUUUUGAAUUUUGCUAUAGUAAUACUGUUCACUAAAAUUACACUUUAGCCCAAAACUUUCUAUAAUUAUACUAUGGCCUAAUGUGUCUUAAAACUUUACAAAUAGGUCUAAUUUCAGAAUUUCUUAAGAAUAGUUGACCUUCCAAAACUUUUUAAAAUUAUGAUAUGGCCCCAAAGAUAUUAUUAUUUCGCAAAAAGGUCCUUUUCAACAUAAUGUCCAUAUUUUUCAAUGUUCUCAAAACCUUUCACUUUAGUCCAAAAUAUUCAUAAAUUAUAGUAUGGCCCAAAAUAUUUUAAAUGUUUGUAAAAACGUCCAACUCCGAAAUUUAAUAAUAAUACUUAUUAAAAUCAAAGAUUUCAAAACUUAGCAUUUAAGUCCAAAUUACUCAAAUCCACAAAAUGCUUUACUUUAUAAAAAUAAACCUUUUAGUUUAUGAAAAGUAUUUAAUUAAAUUAAUCUCUUGAGCUUCUCAAAUGCUAAAUCAUGCAUCAAUUAAAUCAUACCAGCUUUACAAGAAUUUAUCGCACUAAUUUAUUCAUUGAGCUCUAAACUUUAUUCUUGAUUUCGCCGUUUGUCCGUUGAGUGUCUUGAGCUUGAUUUCACUUGAUUCACUUGCAUAAAUAUUACCCUUCAAAAACUAGUGAAAAUGUGAAAUACAAUAUCUAUUAAAUCACUUAAUGCAUAUGUUUGUUAUCAUCAAAAUUACUUUAUGAGUAGCCCUUUAGGCUAACAAAUCCUCCACUUCACAACACACUGGUGAGAGCAGUCAAGCUGCAACAUUUGCCAAAAAUGAUGAUCCAUCACCUGUGGAUAACGAGGCUGUAGCACCAACUCAGAACAUGACAAAAGAGAAGCAGUCUGCACAACCUGCUGCAGCACAGCAGUUUAGGCACCCACCACCCUUCCCUCAAAGAUUUCAGAAGCAACAACAAGACAAGUAGUUCAGCAAAAUCUUGGGAGUGCUGAAACAGCUGCAUAUCAAUAUCUCUUUUGUGGAAGUUCUAGAGCAAAUGCCAAACUAUGCAAAAUUUUUGAAGGAUAUUUUGACAAAGAAAAGAAGACUUGGAGAGUUUGAAACAGUUGCUUUAACUCUUUAAAGCAUUAAAUUUAGUUUUUAAAUUAUUGAAUUUGUCUUCUUGUUAUUUUAAGUGUGCAUCUAAUUUUUUAUGUCUUUGUGUUAAAUUACAGCAAGUAAAAACAAAAAAAAAAGCAAAAAAAAAUGAAAAAAAAAGCAGGAAGGAAUUGCUGCAGCAUCACCUACAACAUGACAUAUAACAGAAGAUUCUCAAACAACAGAGGCAUUUCUUGCUUCUGCAGCAGCAAAUGGAUUGAUCAGAUUUGAUGAUAAGGAGCGUUUGAGAAGUAUAUCAAAGAAGAAGUGACCCUUUUACAGCCUAUGCUGCAGCAGUGCUUCCAGCAACAGGGCAGUACCCCCUACCCGCUAGUUUAUCUUACUUCUUUUUGCAAAAACUUUUCUUUUAUUUAGUUUUAAUUUUCUGAUUCAUUCUGCAUGUCCUUUUAUUUAGUGUACGCAUGUCUGGUUUAUGUGGUUUUGUGUUGUGUGCUUGUGAGGACACAACACCACUUAAGUUUGGGGGGGUUGUGUUUCUAAGUGCAUGUGUUUAUGCUUGUGUUGUGUGUUGUGUGAAGCUCUGUUAUAUAAUAUUUAUGUAUAAAUUUGAAAACUUAAUGAAGAUAAAUUGAGUAUUAUUCAGUAUUUAUGAGAAUGUCAUGUAGAGAUAGUUAUAGAUGGAGGUUGAAAUUAUGUCCCGACACUUAGACUUUGGUUGAGUUUUAUGAGAAUGUUGUAGCAGAGCCAGGAAAACAAAAAAAGAGUAGAAAAUAUCUUAAGUUUGGGGGAAAAUUUUUGUUGGAUUGUGCCUGUUAUGAAAUAAAUUCUGCUCCAAUGGUUUAGUUGCUGAGUAACCAGGGUUGAGUAUGCACCCCAUAUGCAAACUUGAGUCCAAAGGUAACAAGAGUUAUGAGCAGUGCUGCAUCAAUUAUAUAUAUAAAAAAAAGCAAAAAAAAGUGAUGAAGGAAUGAAAAAUAAAGAGGUCCGCUGCCUAGGAUACUGAGUAACCUGGUUUGUUCAUGAGUCCCAUGUUCAGUCUUGAGUCAAAGGCGUCCAAAAGUAAGACCUAGAUAUAAUAUCAUGGAUGUGUUGCUGCAGUAACUCUGACAUGUACUUUGAGUGAGUAAUUGGGUGUCGUCAUUACAAGUGAUAGGCAUUCACAUGAAAGCUCAAUGUUGAAUUGAAGAGUUUAACUGAAAAAAAUAAUUAUUAUUAUUGUUGUAGCACAGUUUGAGUAUAUUUGUGAUUUCUACUCCCCCAUAUGUGAAUAUAUUUGUGUUCUACCUUUGAAUUAUAUGCAAUGCUUGUGUAAUGUUGUAGCACCUUUGGAAUUUGAUCAAAGUGGCAUACACACACUUUGGGCAGAAUGAGGCCUAAGUCUAAAACUUGAACUACUAUGGCAAUUUUGUAUGAUUAAGAGUGUGAUCUGAGGGUGGAAGAAUCCUUGCAAAUUUGAUGACAUAGUUAAGUUAUUUGUUGCAUGAUUGUGUGAUUACAGAGUGAGUGUUGUUGUCAUUACUUGAGGACAAGUAACAAUUUGAGUUUGGGGGUGUGAUAACUCUAUGAAAUUAGAGUUAUUAUGGUAAUUCUAGACUUAAAUCAAGAAUACUUAGAGAGUAAAUGAUGUGUUUCUAUUGCAUUUUUGUUACAUUUUGCAAAAAUAUUCAUUUUAGUUUAGUCUUAAUGAGUUUUGCUUAAUUUAAAGUAAUUCGUACUUAAAUUGUGUGCAUAAUUGUAGGUUUCCAUAAGCUUAAAAUUCAUGGAAGGAAUGUUGCUGCAAUAGGCUUGCAAAAAUGAGGAAGAACUUAGCUACAAAAGAAUUGAAACAAAUCUGGAACAGUGCAGUUGCUGUAGCCAUUACUGUAGUAACAAUUGCUGUAGCCGUUGCUGUAGCAAUGAUACUUGUAGAAUUGCGAUCUGCAGUUUCCUAAUCUGACUUAUGCGCACCCUAGGCUUCCGUUUACCCUAAUUUUCAACUAUAAAAGAAGCACACAUCAUAAGAAUUAGAGGGGGCCGUCACCCAAGGAGAAAAACACAAAGAAACAAAAGAAAAACCAGAUUCAAGAGAGAGAUUGAAGGCUACACAAGAGGAAAAAUUAUAGAGAUCAAUUGGGAGCUCAAUCUUUCUCAUCCUUCUCUUGUUUUCGUGUUUUCUAUUUAUUCAUAAGGAUGUGUUUCAUGGCUGAAACUUUGUUCUUUAUUUUUCUUUUGCAAACCAUGAACUAAAUUUAUUUGUGGUUGAGUGAUAAACAAUCUUGAUGGUUUAUUGACUGAAUAUAUGUGUUGCUGCAUGUUUGCUGUAGCAGUUUGUUUUGAUAGUAUUUACGUUUUGAUAGUAUUUACUUUUAUUCAUUAUUUCGGUUGAUCACCCAUUUAAUGAUACAAGUUAGGAGAGAACCGCAAAAGGACCUAUCUUAGUGGAACAUAUCAUAGCAAUACUUGGUUUUUUAUUGGGUUUCUUGGAUUGAGUUUAACUUAUCCCAAAAGGGCCAUACUUAGUCUAAAAUUAGUGAUGAACUAGACAUAAGGAUUCACCUUGUAGGGUAAAUAGAACCAAAGCGUGUAAUGUUAUAUCUUAUGUUGGCAUAAUAAUUGAUCACUGUUAGGUUACAUAUAGAUAUAAGAUAUCCAACAUGCGACGACUAAGGAUGCAUAAAGAUUCUGCCGAGUGCUGUAGCAUAUACUGCAACAACCGAGCCAACCAUUAGAAAGCAGUCCAGACCAUUAAGAGAGUUUAUUCACUUAACUACUAUAUAUUCCCAUUAGUUUUAUCAUUGAGCUUGACGUGAUAGUUUAUUUUGUUGCAUUUUAUUUAUUACAUUUUUAUUUUAAUUAGUAUAUUAGUUUCAUUAAUUGUUUGAUUUUAUUUUUGCACAAAAUCUGCACUGUUAAGAUUGUUGUAGCAUAUAUGAUAACAUCAAUCCCUGUGGAGACGAUCUUGAAUACUCAUAACUUUAUUACUUGUUGUGUACACUUGCACAUGACACUAAUAGCAUUAGUAUUUAUACACCAACAAUUGCUAACAACAAUUAUCAGUGGCCAUCAACCAGACAAGCUGCAGCAAGAGGAACAACAGGAGUUCAUAACGUAGAUGCCUUGACAGCGUUGUCAGCCCAAGUAACUUCAAUAACAACAUGGUGCAAGUUAUGACUGCUGCUCCAGCAAGUGUCAACCUAGUUGCCGAGGUCUCUUGUGUUUAUUGUGGAAAGGGACAGUUAUUUGAUAAUUGUCCUGGGAAUCCAACUUCAGUCAAUUAUGUGGGCAGCUUCAAUAAACAGAACCAGGACAAUCCAUAUGCAAACACUUACAACCCUGGAUGGAGACAGCACCUGAACUUUUCAUGGAGUUAUCAGAACCAAACUGCUGCAGCACCUAGUGGACAGAACAGACCUACUCAACCACCUGGAUUUUAUUGGCAAAAUCAAGAGCAAAGAAGCAUCAACAAUGAUCAACUUAGCUCCCUUGAAGCUUUGAUUAAGGAUUAUAUUGUGAAGAAUGUAGCGGUUGUCCAAAGUCAUGUUGUAUCUUUGAGAAAUUUGGAAAACCAAAUUGGACAGGUUGCUACAGUAUUAAGUAACAGACCUCAAGGCAGUUUACCCAGCAACACAGAGAACCCAAGAAGAGAAGGGAAAGAGCACUGCAAAGUGAUAAAUUUGAGAUCUGGAAAUGAGGUUGAUAGUUCAGUUGGUAUACCAAACAGAAGAAUUGAGUCCAACCAAGGCUAAGAAGACACUCAAGUAGAGAAGAGGUCACAGUCUUCCACUUUUUAGAAUGUAAAUCAACAUAAUUCUGCUACAGCAUCUGCAGAAAGUUAUGAUCCAGCACCUAGUGGUGAGGAAGCUACAGCACCAACAGCAACAGACCUGAGUAGAGCAAAAGAGAAGCAGUCUGCACAACCUGCUGCAGUAUAGCAGUUUAGACACCCACCACCAUUCCCUCAAAGAUUUCAGAAGCAAAAACAAGACAAGUAGUUCAGCAAAAUCUUGGGAGUGUUGAAACAGCUGCAUAUUAAUAUCCCUUUUAUGGAAGUUCUAGAGAAAAUGCCAAACUAUGCGAAAGUUUUGAAGGAUAUUGUGACAAAGAAAAGAAGACUUGGAGAGUUUGAAACAGUUGCUUUAACACAAGAGAGCAGUCAAAUGCUUCAGAGUAAGAUACCACAGAAGAUAAAGAAUCCAGGAAGCUUCACAAUCCCAUGCUCCAUAGGCACUAAAUACAGUGGCAAAGCCCUUUGUGAUUUGGGGGCUAGCAUCAAUCUCAUGCCUUUAUCAGUGUUUUAGCAAUUGGGAGUUGGUGAAUGUAGACCAACAACAGUGAUUUUACAACUUACUAACAGAUCUCAUGCAUAUCUAGAAGGAAAGAUUGAAGAUGUGUUGGUGAAGGUUGAUAAAUUUAUUUUUCCGGUGGAUUUCAUUGUGCUAGACUUUGAGGCAUACAAAGAAUUGCCAAUCAUUUUAGGGAGACCUUUCUUAGCCACAGGAAAGACUUUAAUUGAUCUUAAAAAAGGAGAAUUAACCAUGAGAGUAAAUGACCAGCAAGUUACAUUCAAUGUGCUGGAUGUCAUGAAGAGUCCUGAUGAGAUGGAAGAUUGUAAUUUUAUCAGUGUUGUCAACUUUGUUGUAGCAGAUAGAUUACACAGUUGCUAUAGUAAGGAAGAAAGCAAUGCUGUAACAUGUGAAGAACUUGAUGAUGAAGAUCAUGAAGCAGCUAACAUAACAUGGUCAGGGGAGAAGCAACCCUUCAAAAUUGACGAGCAAAUCCAGCAAAGGGAACUCACUCCAGACCAACAAGAAUUCAAGGUUAAUGCGCCGAGAGUUAAGCACAAUAAGGGAAGUUGUUUCAAGUUUUUAUGGCAUUGAAUUUAGCUUUUAAAUUAUUUAAUUUGUCUCUUUGUAACUUUAAGUGUGCAUCUAAUUUUUUUAUGUCUUUAUGUUACAUUGCAGCAAGUAAAAAAAAUGUGGGCAAAAAGAGCAGGAAGGAAUGACUGCAGCAUCACUUACAACAUGACAUAUAACAGAAGGUUCUCAAACAACAGAGGCAUUUCUUGCUUCUAUAGCAGCAAAUGGAUUGAUCAGAUUUUAUGAUAAGGAGCGUUUGAGAAGUAUAUCAAAUAAGAAGUGACCCUUUUACAGCCUGUGCUGCAGUAGUGCUUCCAGCAACAAGGGAGUACCCCCCUACCUGCUAGUUUAUUUUACUUCUUUCUGUAAAACUUUUCUUUCAUUUAGUUUUAAUUUUCUAAUUCAUUACACAUGUCCUUUUAUUUAGUGUAUGCAUGUCUGGUUUAUGUGGUUUUGUUUUGUGUGCUUGUGAGGACACAACACCACUCAAGUUUGGGGGGGUUAUGUUUCUGAGUGCAUGUGUUUACGUUUGUGUUGUGUGUUGUGUGAAGCUAUGUUAUCUAAUAUUUGUGUAUGGAUUUGAAAACCUAAUGAAGAUAAAUUGAGUGUUAUUCAGUAUUUAUGAGAAUGCCAAGUAGAGAUAGUUAUAGAUGGAGGUUGAAAUUCUGUCCCGACAGUUAGACUUUGGUUGAGUUUUAUGAGAAUGCUAUAACAGAGCCAGGAAAACAAAAAAAGAGUAGAAAAUAUCUCAAGUUUGGGGAAAAAUUUUUGUUGGACUGUGCCUGUUAUGAAAUAAAUUCUGCUCUAAUGGUUUAAGUUGCUGAGUAACCAUGGUUGAGUGUGCACCCCAUAUGCAAACUUGAGUCCAAAGGUAACAAGGGCUAUGAGUAGUGCUGCAUCAAUUAUAUAUAUAAAAGAAAAAAAAAGGCAAAAAAAAAAGUGAUGAAGGAAUAAAAAAUAAAGAGGUCUGCUGCCUAAGAUACUGAGUAACCUGGUCUGUUCAUGAGCCCCAUAUUCAGCCUUGAGUCAAAGGCGUCCAAAAGUAAGACCUAGAUAUAACAUCAUGGAUGUGUUGCUGCAGCAACUCUGACAUGUACUUUGAGUGAGUAAUUGGGUGUCGUCAUUACAAGAGAUAGACAUUCACAUGAAAGCUUAAUGUUGCAUUGAAGAGUUUAACUCAAAAAAAUAAUAACAAUAAUUAUUGUUGUAGCACAGUUUGAGUAUAUUUGUGAUUUCUGCUCCCCCAUAUGUGAAUAUAUUUGUGUUCUAGUUUUGAAUUAUAUGCAAUAUUUGUGUAAUGUUAUAGCACCUCUGGAAUUUAAUCAAAGUGGCACACACACACUCAGGACAAAAUAAGGCCUAAGUCUAAAAUGAGAGUUAUUAUGACAAUUCUAGAUUUAAAUCAAGAUCACUUAGAGAGUAAAUGAUGUGUUUUUAUUGUAUUUUUGUUACAUUUUGCAUAAAUAUUCAUUUUAGUUUAGUCUUAAUAAGUUUUGCUUGAUUAAAGUAAUUUGUGCUCAAAUUGUGUGCAUAAUUGUAGGUUUCCAGAAGCUUAUAAUUCAUGGAAGGAAUGCUGAUGCAAUAGGCUGGUAAAAAGGAGGAAGAACAUGGCUAUAAAAGAAUUGAAACAAAUCUAGAACAGUAUAGUUGCUGUAGCCGUUGCUGUAGCAAUCCUGAAACAACGACAGAGAAAAUUUCGCGUGGGAUACUUGUAGAAUUGCGAUCUGCAGUUUCCUAAUCUGACUUAUGCGCACCCUAGGCUUCCGUUUACCCUAAUUUUCAACUAUAAAAGAAGCACACAUCAUAAGGAAUGGAAGAGCCGUCACCCAAGGAGAAAAACACAAAGAAAUAAAAGAAAAACAAGAUUCAAGAGAGAGAUUAAGGGCUGCACAAGAGGAGAAUUUGCAUAAAUCAAUUGGGAGCUCAAUCCUUCUUAUUCUUCUCUUGUUUUUGUGUUUUCUAUUUAUUCAUGGAGAUGUGUUUCAUGGCUGAAACUUUGUUCGUUAUUUUUCUUUUGCAAACCAUGAACUAAAUUUAUUUGUGGUUGAGUGAUAAACAAUCUUGAUGGUUUAUUGACUGAAUAUAUGUGUUGCUGCAUGUUUGCUGUAGCAGUUUGUUUUGAUAGUAUUUAUUUUUAUUCAUUAUUUCGAUGGAUCACCCAUUUAAUGAUACAAGUUAGGAGAGAGUCGCAAAAGGGCCUAUCUUAGUGGAACAUAUCAGAGUAAUUCUUGGUUUUAAAUUGAGUUUCCUGGAUUGAGUUUAACUUAUUCCAAAAGGGCCAUGCUUAAUCUAAAAUUAGUGAUGAACUAGACAUAGGGAUUCACCUUGUAGGGUAACUAGAACCUAAGCGUGUAAUGCUAUAUCUUAUGUUAGCAUAACAACUGAUCACUGUUAGGUUACAUAUAGAUAUAAAAUAUCCAACAUGCGACGGCUGAGGAUACAUAAGGAUUCUACCCAGUGUUGUAGCAAAUACUGCAGCAACCGAGCCAACUAUUAGAAAAUAGUCCAUACCAUUAGGACAAUUUAUUCACUCAACUACUUUAUAUUUCCAUUAAUUUUAUCCUUGAGAUUGACGUGAUAAUUUACUUUGUUGCAUUUUAUUUAUUAUGUUUUUAUUUUAAUUAGUAAAUUAGUUUCAUUAAUUGUUUAUCUUAAUUUAGACACAAAAUCUACACUGUUAAGAUUGCUGUAGCAAGUCUAAUAACAUCAAUCCUUGUGGAAACGAUCUUGAAUACUCAUCACUUUAUUACUUGUUGUGUACACUUGCACAUUGACACCAAUAGCAUUAGUAUUUAUAUACUCAACAACUUUAUUAUGGUGUUUAAAGUUUGUUGAAAAUUUUUGAAUUUUAUCAAGUUUCAAUGUUAUAAUAUAUAUAAUGUGCAGCCCAAGACAAGGAAUUUCACUAUUGUAAUUUUCUUUUUUUUUUUUAAAUUAUAAUAUUUGAUAUUUUUAUCAAGUCAUUUGCAUUUGACCAUUUUGAAUAAUGUCACAUGCAUAUGACUAUUAUUAAGUGUCAUACACAUUUGACAAUCUUAUAUUGUGAAAAAUAUUUUAUUAUUAUUAAUUAACAAAAAUAAAUGACAAUUUUGCUAAAUGUCAAAUAAGCAUAUUUGACACAGGAAUAUUUGGCACUUUUUAAUUGUCAAAUAUUCCUUUAUCUGACAGUUUUUAAAUAUAAAUUAUUCUCUUUUUUCUUAUAUUGCAAAAUAGUGCCACAAGGGGUAGUAAUAAUGGCGGUGGUAGUUGCGCAGGUUCACUUAAUGGCUCGACGAAGGCUUCAAAACCUCUAGACUUCUUGUUUGGUGUUAUUAGUAGAACAAAGCAGCAGGCACAUGAUUUUGCCCCUUCUUCGAUUGAAUCCUUUUAAAGUGAACAACAAUUUAAAAGGAUUCAUUUUUAUUUUGGCAUGUGCAAAGCUUACAAUACUAACAAAUAGAACUUGAGGACAACAUUAAAAUUCUUAUAUAAUCAACACAACAUAAGGGAAAGAAAUCCACUAAGGAUCAUUCUACUCCCUCAAAAACCAUAAAUAUCUUGGAAAUAAAUAAUUUCAAGUAAAUUGUUAAUGUAAUAUAGUUGCAUAAGACGAACAAGACUUUUACAUUUCUGCAUCGACACUGGUACCAUGAAGAGUACAGAUAAUGUAACUAUGACUUUAGACUUUGGUUUGCUGACCAUAGUAAUCUUACCAUUGGACGUCUUUCCCAAGAUUCUAAGAGAAACAACCUUUCAAAAGAUAAUAUUCUGUCAACAAAAGAAAUUAUUGCAUAUAACCAAAGACAGCAACUAGCUAAAGCAGGCAAUAGGAAUUUUCCAAGAAAAGUAUAUGGUUGAGAGCAUUACGUGAUCCAAUUUCAGCUAAUACAUGUGCUGAUAAUUCAAAUGGCAGGGAAAUUUAAGCAGUAUCAAGGUCAAACUACAGUAGAAAUAGUGGUUGCUUGAUGGCUUGGAAAGCCUCUUCAGGAGGAGUCAAGUGGGCAGUUAAUGGGCCGGGUCAAACUUGAAGGUUUUUGACAAGAAAGAUCAAACCAUCACUAUAUCAGUUGUAGAUAGGGAUGGCAAUUGUACCCGCAAACCCGCAAACCCGUCCAAACCCACCCGCCAAAACCCGCCCGUUGCGGGUAAUUUUAUCCGUUGCGGGCGGGUUUAGUAUUAUAAAUUAAAACCCGCACAUGGAUGCGGGUGGAUUUGGUAUUAACCUUAUAUCCGGUGGAUACCCGCAUGGAUAUCCACCAAACCCGCAAUAUUUUUUUUCAAAUAUUUUUAAUUUAAUUUAAAUAUAAAAAUGUAUAAAGAAAAUAAUGUCAUUAAUCAAAUUACCAAAUAGACAAAGGCUCAAAGUUGUGUAUGUGUGUAUGUAGCCCAUAUCUUAUUCUAAAGUCAUAACCUAAAGAAAACUAAAGGCAUUUCCCUUCGAAUUAGUAUUUGAAAAUAUUAAUCUUAAUUAUUAUUAUAGGCAUUGUGUUGGAUGGGUGCUUAUGGUGGUGAAUGAAAUGAAUAUCUUCUCUUGGAUCUUGUUUUAAAUGAUAAUAUGAAAUGUAAUUAUUAUUUUUAGAUACUAGUUUGUGUUUUUUAAAUAAAUUUGUGUAAUUUAUACUUAAAUUUGAGAAUUUGUAUUGAAUUGAUGUAGAAAUUUUAAUUUUUCAUUGACAUUGUUUAAAUAUAAAAUUGAGUAUGCUAUAUGGAAUUUGAGGUUAUUAUUAUAAAUUUAUAUAUUAAAUAUUUGUGAUUUUAAAUACGAAAACCCGCAAAAAAUCCGUCGGAUACCAUUGCGGGUUUGGUAAUUAUUAAAACCCGCUGCGGGUGGGUUUUUUUAAAAAAAUUAAAAUCCGCUGCGGGUUGCGGGUGGGUUUGGUAAUUUAAAUUUUGUGCGGGUUUGGGUUUGGUAAUGACAAACCCGCUGCGGGCGGUGCCCAUUGCCAUCCCUAGUUGUAGAUGACAAUAUGACUGAUACAUUUUCUUUUAGUACACAAAAAGUAUUUAAGCCGAAGCUUCAUCUCAGUUUAUUUACAUAUACAGUGCUCAAAGUUGACAUCUUUCACAUUUUCAGUUAAGAACAUGAAAGUGAAGAAAAAUUGAACAUAAACUAUGUAAAAAUAAAACAAAAAUUGAAAUUAUCUACAUGACAUUUCCAAAUCAACAAACGUUCUAUUAUACAGCCCCAUAUUCGUGAACAACAAUGAUUCCACUAACUGGGUCAGAAGGUCUUACUUGUUCCUUAGAAUCUAUAUUAAUAUUAUCAAGAUCACUAACUUGACCUCCAAUUUGCUCCUCAUUACAAUCAAAUUAUGUUGCUUUUAUCUUAUUAAGGGAUUCUCAUAUAUACUACUAAAUAAAGGAUACUAAAGUUGAAUCGAAAAAGAGAGACCUGGUAAGGGAUUAUAAUAGCCUAGACAACCAGAUAAGAUAAUCAGAAUUCAGAAAUGAUUCAACAUAUAAGAAUAAGAAUAAGAAUAAGAAGAAGAAAAAUUCACUUUCAACUUCAGAAUUUUCAAUCACUUUCAGGAGGGUCAUGAUCAAAUGUUUAUCUCUUGAUGAUCACAAUUUAGAUAUACCUGGUAGCAACUACAAAAUAGUAACAGAACAAAUUAACCAUUUCUACAAAUUCUUAUACAUUUUCAUAGAUGGUUUAUCUUAUAAUUGAUGGUCAAAUAGAUGUAUUGAUCUUGUAUUCAUGAGGUAUUUAGAAAUUACUACAAAUUACUUGGCAGUUAAUUGAACAACAUAAUCUAAAUUUCUGUGUGUGUGUGUGUGUGUGUGUGUGUGUAAGAAGCAGAUGCAAUGAUUUCAUGACUUUUUAGAUAGAUUUUUAAAGGAAAAAAACAUGAGUUGAAUAAAGGAAAAGCAAAUUAGAAUAUUCAUUUCCAAACUACUAAAUAAAAAUCAAAGUAACAUAAGCUUUCGAUAAGAGAAUAUCAUAAAUUAGCUAAUUGUUAAGUAUGAAAAGCACCCCAUCUGAAGACUAAAACUGUCAUUCCUUGAUAAGAACAUAAACUUUUUUUCUUCAUUUACAAAGUAUAAGCUCUAAUUCAAUUGCAGAUGCAAUUAGAAAAUAAGAAUGAAAAUGAUCUCAACUGAAGACUGAAACUCUUAUUCAUUGAUAAGAACACAACUUUUUGUUUUGCAUUUACAAAGUAGAUGAUCCAAUGCAAUUACAGAUUCAAUUAAAAUCUAAAAAUGAAAGAAAGGUCAAAGCUCAGACUUAUACGAUGGCCUCUCAAAUUUACAUGACAAAGACAAUAUUGUGUCAAUAUACAAAGUUCUCAACUUGUAGUGGCAGAGCCAACUACAUUAGUUCCUUAUAGUAAUACAUCUUUUGCAUAUACAACAGCGUAAAAACAAGCAGCCUUGUGAAAAAAUAUGAACCAAUUGGUUAUGAUUGGCAAAAGGCAGAGACAUGCUUGCCUGCAAUCACGUGAAAAAUGCAUCGCAUACACAUACCUAAAGUACUAAGAAACCUCUGAAUCUUGAGUUCAAACGAAACCAUAUGAAGAUGCUCCAAACAUUGAGAUGAAACAACUGACCAAAAUGACAACCAAGGUGAGGAGUGAGGGUGGCCAUGCUCCGACAUCGAAACAAUUAAAGAAAUCCUGUCAAAGCUAGAGUAGAGCAGACGACGCAUUAAUCUAGAGGAAGAAGAAACAAAAUGGUUUAAUGGCUCAACAUGCAAAGAUAGUUUCCGUCUAAUUUUCACAACUUUCUAAAUAAGAUUUCAGACUAUUCAAGACAGCUUUAAACAUCUUAGAAUUUGAUCAAUACGGACGCAACAUAUUACAUGACAGAGAAUACAAAGUGACCUAAUAAAUCAUUAACUUUCCAAAACUUCAAGUCCUUCAACAUUUAAUUAUCUCCACGACAAACAGUCAAUCUGUAACACCUUAGGCAAAUCCCACAUCAGCAAAGCACGGGAGAGAUUCUUUGUUUAUAAGGGGUGAUCCAAGCCUUAAUUGGCAAGAUGCAUUUUAGAGGGUAUGGGCGCCCCAAGAACAAAACCGUGCAGGUUUUGUUAAGGGCCAAAACUGACAAUUUCUUGCCAUGUCUGGGUUAGGUAAUGACAUUAUGCUAUUAGAGCGGCUUCACGUGUCCUUUUGAGCGUUGGUGGGACAAACUUCAGCGAGAACACUGAGUCCCUAAGGGGGAGUGUAUGUAACACCCUAGGCGAAUCCCACAUCAACAAAGUAUGGGAGAAAUGCUAGGUUUAUAAAGGGUGAUCCACACCUUAAUUGGCAAGACGUAUUUUGGUGUGUAUGGGCACCCCAGAAACAAAACAGUGCAGACCUUGUUAAGGUCCAAAACGGACAAUAUAUUGCCAGGUCUGGGUUGGGUCAUGACAUUAUAGUAAGUAAACUAGACUUCGAAAUGAAUCACAAUAAACAAUAAGUAUAUGUUUGACUUGUUUGAAAAGACUAUUUUUGAUAUGUACAUAUAUGGAUUUAUAUGUUUCUGCCCAUAUGUUUAUGUGAUAUGUUGUGUACUGAUUAUGUACAUGGGAAUAUGUUGUGUGAGGAUUCAUUGGCAUAAGCACAAAAACACAUUGAGUUUUAUAUGAAUGAGAAAGUGGAUUUUAGCAAAUGAAAUUUCUACUUUAUGAAAUUUUGCAAUGGGAGUAACCUCUUGAAGUUAUGUGGGGGCCACCUCUUGAGACUAUAUGUUGGUAAAUAACUCAAUUGCUAUUGAUGUCAAUGUGCAAGUGGACACAACAAGUAAUAAAGUGAUGAAUAUUCGAGAUCGUCUCCUCAGGGAUUGAUGUUACUAGAAAGGCUACAACAAUCACGAUAUUGUAAACUUCCUUUGUUAAAAAAAGAUUUUAAUUAAAAGUGAAUUAUUACUAAAAUAAAUAAUAAAAUAAAAAAAUAAAACAAAUCAAUGCAGUAAUAAAACAAAUUAAAUGAAUUGCGUAAGAAGAAUUCAAUGAGAAUGAGGUAGCUGAGUGAUCAAACUCUCUUCAUGGACUGACUAUUUUGUCUAAAUUAACACCAAUUGCUACAACAAUUCCUACAGCACUGGGCAGAAUUAUUUUGCAUCCGUAGUUGUCGCUUGUCAGAUUUCUCAUACCCUUAAGCACCCUAACAAUGACUAGUUGUUAAUGCACCUAUAGUAUGACAUUAUGAGCAUACACUUUCUGUACCCUACAAGGUGAAUUCUUAUGUCUAGUUCUUCACAAAUCUUAACUCAAAUAUAGCCCUUUUGGGACUCAAGUAAUCUCAGUCCAGGAAACUUAAAUUAAGAUCAAGUAUUACUCUAAUAAUUUCCACUGAGACAUACUCUUUUGCGGCUCUAUCUUAACUUGAACAAUUAAAUAGGUGGUCAACCGAAAUAACGAUUAUAAUAAUAACUAUUAGAGUAAAAUGCUACAACAAUCAUACAUCAACUCAUAAAAAUAGUCAAAAACCCAUUUAGAUUGUUUGUCACUCAACUACAAUCAAAUUUAGUUCAUACUUUGAAAAAGACAAAUAAACAUCAAAAUAUCAGACAUGAAAUACAUCGUUUCAACCAAAGAGUAAGUAAAGGAACAAGUAAAGAACGAUGAAAAUUGAAUCCACAAUAGGUCUGCUGGUUUAUCUUCACUGGUGCAGACUUGCUUUCCCGUGAAUUCUAAUUUUGUUCUCUUUUUCCCUUUGAUUUCUCCAAUGUUAAUUCAUCACCCUUUUUCAUAUGAUGCGUCUCUUUUUGUAACUGAAAACUAGGGUAAACAGAAGCCUAGGGCGCGCAUAAGUCAGAUUAGGAAAUUACAAAUCGCAAUUCUGCAGAUAUCCCGCGCUAAGUUCUCUAUGUCGUUGUUCAAGAAUUGCUACAGCAACGGUUGCUCCAGCAAUGGCUACGACACUACAUUGUUCCAGAUUUUGUUUCAAUUCUUUUGUAGCCAUAUUCUUCCUCAUUUUUGCAAGCCUAUUGCAUUAGCAUUCCUUUUAUGAAUUAUAAGCUUCUGGAAACCUACAAUUAUGCACAUAAUUUGAGCAUGAAUUACUCUAAAUCAAGCAAAAUUUAUUAAGGCUAAACUAAAUUGAAUGUUCAUGCAAAAUGUAACAAAAAUGCAAUAGAAACACAUCAUCUACUCUUUAAGUAAUCUUGAUUUAAGUCUAGAAUUGCCAUAAUAACUCUCAUUUCAUAGAGUUAUCACACCCUCAAACUUAAAUCGUUACUUGUCCUCAAGUAAUGACAACACACUAACACUUCAUGCACACAAUCAUGCAACAAAUAACUUAGCUCUGUCAUCAAAUUUGCAAGAAUUCUUCCACCCUCAGAUCAUACUCUUAAUCACGCAAAAUAGCCUUAGUAGUUUAGUUCUAGACUUAGGCCUUAUUCUGCCCAAAGUGUGUGUGUGCCACUUUGAUAAAAUUCCAAAGGUGCUACAAUAUUACACAAACAUUACAUAUACUUCAGAGGUAGAACACAAAUAUAUUCACAUAUGGGGGAGCAGAAAUCACAACUCUACUCAAACUGUGCUACAACAAUAAUAAUUUCAAAAUUAUUCCCUUUUUCAUAAAAAAACCCUCUUCAAUGUAACAUUGCUUUUUCAUGUGAAUGUCGAUCACUUGUAAUAAUGACACCCAAUUACUCAAUCAAUGCACAGAUCAGAGUUACUAUAGCAAUACUCAUAACACAGUCUUGUCUACAGAUAUCUUUAACUCAAGGCUAAACAUAGAGCUCAUGAACAGACCUGGCUACUCAAUAUUCUAGACAGAGGACCCUUUUUUUUUUUUCAUAAAUGCUACAGCAAUGCUCAUAACUCUUGUUGCCUUUGGACUCAAGUCUGCAUAUGGGGUACAUACUCAGCCCUGGUUACUUAGCAACUUAAGCCAUUGGAGCAAAAUUUAUUUAAGCACAGUUCAAUAAAAAUUUCCCCCAAACUUGAAAUAUUUUCUACUCCUUUUGGUUUACUUGGCUCUGCUACAACAUUCUCAUAGAACUCAACCAAAGUCUAAGUGUCUGGACAGAAUUUUAACCUUCAUUUAUAACUAUCUCUACUUGGCAUUCUCAUAAAUACUGAAUAACACUCAAUUUAUCUUCAUUAGGUUUUCAAAUCCAUACACAAAUAUUAGAUAACAUAGCUUCACACAACACACCAUACAAGCAUAAACACAUGCACUCAGAAACACAACCCCCCCAAACUUGAGAGGUGUUGUGCCCUCACAAACACACAAGACAUCACCCCAUAAAUUAAACAUGCAUACACUCAAAAGGACAUGCAGAAUGAAUCAGAAAUUUAAAACUAGAUGCAAGAAAAGUUUUUCAGAAGAAAAGAAAAAAAUUAAAAAAAACUAGCAGGUAAGGGGUACUCCCCUAUUGUUGGGGAAUUGUUGCAACAAGGUGCAGAGACUUCAAUGCUUUUUGGAUGCGCUCCGCAGCUGUUUCUUAGGGGAUACUUACGGUGAGGCAGCUGGCAACGUCUUUUUCUUUUUCAGUAACGGGCUAAUGGGAGGAGUUGCAGUUGGAGCAGCCUACCUGGAUGAAACAUAUUUGGUCUUUUUUUGUUCUAGUGUGUCUGCUGCAGCAACGCCUCCAGAAGUGCCCCAUUUUCUUUUGUUGGGUCCUUUAGGACUAGCAAUAAUAGGUUUACUGAGAGUUUGUUGUGAAGGAGCUGGAGCUGGGGCUUCGGCUGCGUAUCCCUCAACUGUGAUUGCGGCAAUGAUAUCAAGCAGUUGCUUUGUCUCUGUGGGUGUACGAGUAACUCUGGCUGCUGCAGCUUCCAGCUUUACAUCAAUUUUCUCAGCUUCAUCGUUAGAGUCAGGAAGGGUGAUUACUUUCUCUUUGCCCUUUCUAGAAAGGACUGGGAUAUGAGGCUCCUCUGCUGGUUCAUCAUUCUCUUCUUGUAUGAUAUAUAUAUAUAUAUAUAUAUAUAUAUUUGGAUUUGAAAGAGGUCUUGGCUGGGGGUUCCUCGAGUUCUUUCUCCGGCUCUUCCUCUUCCUAUGUCGGGGAACUAUCAGUUGUAGAUUUGACACCCACUUCUUCGAGUUAGUUAGAUUGAUCAUCAACAUCUGUUUCGGCCUCUGCUUGCGGUUCUGCUGUAGCUUCUUCUUCUGGUUUAUUUGUGUCAGUAGCUUCUUCACUGACUUCUGCUGGAGCCUCUGUAGUGGUGGUAUCAAAAUUGUAUUGCUGGAGCAAUGAAUCGGGGAAAUUUUGGUGGGUACUUUUUAUAUAUAUAGCAAAUUGGCGUACGUGGUUUUCCAAGUGCUACAAAUAGCUCCAAAACUGAUUGUUUUCCCUCUGCUAAGCUUCAGCACAUUGAGUGAUGUUGGUGGUGAGUGCUUGGAUUCUCUGUUCUAACCCAAUAACUCUUCUUACCCAUGUUACAGCAGCUGGUUUAGAUGAGACUCUAGCAACUUUACCAGCAAUUCUUUCGAUGGUGCGUGCAGUGAGGGCACCAUCAUUCUUGACAUGCUUAUCUUUUGCAUUAAGGCGAACUCCCGAUAUCACACAGAUGCUGGUGAUGAGUGAAAGAAAUAGCAAGGCAGCUGCUUUGUGGUUUUUCAUAGCACAUUCCUGAAUUUCUUUUUCGAUAAUGCUUCCCACAUCUAUGGGUAACCCUCUAACAAUAACAUACAUCAGUACUAAUCUUUCUUGUGAAAUGGUUAUAGUGUGGGUGGUUGGCAUAAGUCUGGAUUUUAAAAACACGCCUUUCUUCAUUAGCCCAAGACGCACCCUUUACGGUAAGUGUUGUGAAAAUUUUGUUCCAUCUUUGUGGGGUUAACUUCAGAAGGUAAAUUAUAGAAAGCAUUUAUAACUCGAGAAUAUAAAUAAACAAGCGAGUUUCUUACCCAAAUAUUGUGCUGGACAGGGCUUACCAAAUUGGCAUAAAAUUCUUUCACAAAUGGCAACACAGGGUCUCAAGGGUGGUUACAAAACUCCAGCCACCUGCGCUUUACUGCAGCAUUGUAUAAUAAUUGCAUAAUUCCUAAGGGUUGAGGUGAGAACUGAAACCCUUUUUCUUCUAGAAUCUUGCGCGAUUCAAUAAAUUCUUUAUACUUUUCUUCAGCAAGGUAACUUUAGAAUUGUGAGGGAUCUUUUAAUCGGCUAGUUGUCCUUUUGUAUAUUGGCAAUAUGCCCAAAAGUGAAAUGAGAAGAAAAGGUUAUGAAGUACUAGAGUCGUAACUGCGAAGGGGAAAGAAAAUAGUGUUAGAGGUCAAUAUGCACAGUGACGCCCUUUUAUAGGUGUAAUUAAAUGAAAAAAAAUCCGGUAAAAGAGAUAAAUUAGGGAAGAAUGUUUUAAAUUUAUUAAGCAUAUCCCAUAAAAAUAGGCAAGAGAAAUUAAUGCAAUAAUUUAAGAGAUAUUCUUCCUCAAUUUCUAUCCAAAUCCACCCAAUCAUCUGUCACAUAUUAUCUCCAACGGUAAAGUGGGAGGCUCCGUGAUUAAGUUACUGUAACGAUAAUAUUGGUUGUUGCAGCACCUAAUUGUGUGCUCUAGCAACGGUUACACACUCUCCUUAAAUAGUUGUUGAUACGUGGCUUGCCUUUGUACUCUGUUAACAUUACAACCCCAAAUUUUAGUAUUGAAUCCAACUUCAAUAAGUGCGUGACUUGGCAUUUUUUUUUAAGAACAAAACAAGAAAAAAUGAAAGUUAAACAAGCAUGAGUAAGGAAAAUAAAAGAAAAUUCUUUGACAAAACCAUGGAGGAUCCAUCUCAUUCGAAAUGACUACCUCAGCAAUGGGUUGCCUCCCAUCGAGCGCUUAGUUUAAGGUUCUUCAGUCUGACCUUACUUGAGUGCUCAUAAUGUCAGUUCUCUCAGGAGUAAGACCUCUUUUGAAUAGUCUGUAGCUGAAUGCAUGUAAUGCUUAACUCUAUGCCCAUUAACUUUGAAUUCAUGGCCUGUCUUUUCACAUAAGAGAUCAACAGCCCCAUGAGGGUAAAUUCUGAGCAGCUUGAAAGGUACAGACCAUCGAGAUUUCAGCUUUCCUGAAGCAAAACUAGUGUUUUGUCUUAACCUCAUAUUAUGGAGCAAAACUAGUUGACCAGGGAUUAAUUUUCUGUGUUAAAUAUGUUUAUCAUGCCAGUGUUUUGUUUUCUCUUUAUAGAUUCUUGUAUUUUCAUAGGAGAAUAGCCGUAAUUCAUCAAGCUCACAUAGUUGAAGUUUUCUUUGCUCUACUGCAGCAUGUAUAUCCCAAUUUAAUUGCUUUAGUGCCCAGUAUGCUUUGUGCUCUAGCUUAAAGGGUAAGUGGCAAGCUUUCCCAUACACAAUUCGGUAGGGAGACAUGCCUACUGGUGUUUUGUACGCUGUUCUGUAAGCCCAUAGGGAGUCAUGUAAGCGCAAAGAUCAAUCCUUUCUUGAUGGGCUCACCACUUUUUCUAAGAUUUUCUUAAUCUCUCUAUUAGUCACUUCUGUCUGGCCAUUGGAUUGUGGGUGAUAUGUUGUUGUUAUUUUAUGCUUGACUCCAUAUUUCACCAUGGCUGCAGUAAAUACUUUGUUGCAGAAAUGAGUACUCUUAUUACUAAUAAUUGCUCGUGGAGUGCCAAACUUAGAAAAGAUGCUUCUCUGAAGGAAGUUCACUACUGCUCUAGCAUCGUUGAUAGGUAAUGCUGCAACUUCUACCCAUUUAGAGACAUAUAAUCUAUUGCAUUAUGUAUAAGUAUGUAUGUAUUUUAGUAUAAGAAAAAAAAUAGUUUGCUUACUGAGUUUUGUACUCAUUAUAGUUUAUUGUGAUUCAGUCUCCAGAAGUCAUGGUUGAUUUGUGAUGAGUAAGAAGGACUUCAAUUGAGGACGAUAGAUGGUUUAACCAAAUUUUUAGAUUAUUUCAUUUUUUAUUGUACUUGAGGCUUGAAUUAUUAUCGAUUAUAAAGAGUUAUUUUAGUCUAUAUGAGAGAUGUGGCCAGAUUUGCCGUUGGAGUUCGAGUUGGGGUGCUACAAAUGGUAUCAGAGCGAUUCCCAACUGAAAAUGUGUGGAUAUUUGUGACAUCCUACAUCGCUUGGGAAGGCUUUUUUAAAGAUGAAUAAAAUUAGGUCUAUGUUAAAUCUUUAGGCUUUAUGAUUUUGUUUCUAAGAAGCAUAUGAUUGAAGUAUCAGAGUAGCGCAACGAAAGCAUGAUGUAUUUGCUUAAUCCUUUAUAAGGAUUUAUUGGUCAUAAGUGAUUUUGAGAUAUGGAUUCUUUUGGGCAUAACUAAAAGUGAAUUUCGAGGACAAAAUUCUUUUAAGGGGGUAGGAGUGUAAUACCUCAAUUCUCCUAAGGGUAUUUAAGUCAUUUUAGUUUUUAGUAAUAUUUUUUACCCUAGUAUAAAUAAAAUAAUAUGUCUUUCCCGUUAUAAGAUAGAGAGGCAGAGAGAGAUCGGUUGAGGGGAAAAAAACGACAGAAAAAAAAGAGAGAAAGAGAGAGAGAUGAAGAGAAAAGAGAGGAAAAAAUGAAAAAGAGAAGAAAAAAAUCUUCUUUUUCUUAGUUUUGUCAUAGGCAACACAUGAGAUCAAGUUGUGUUGUUUGAAUUGGAUAUUAUUGGGAGAAGUUUUGAAGGUAAGUUUUAAUUCUUGGUUUUCUUUAUUAAUUCAUUAUGGAAAAACAUGAUUAGAUAUUUGCAAUAGAAGUAAAAACCUAAGAUUUUACAGGAAAUAUGCUGACAGUGGAUUAUUACAAAAAUCAUAGUAGUUUGUACAAAUUGAUUUUGAUUUUGAUUUUUUGAUAUUUAAACUAGACAUCUUAUAGAAUUUUUUGAAGUUUGUUUCAAGUUAAUCAGAUAAGAUUUCAAUUAAUUACAAUUUUUCAAAUUCAAGUCUGAAAACAUAGAAAUUUCUUAUUUCGGUGAAUAACAUUUAUUACGAUAUUAUUUUUACCAUAGCUAGACUUCUUCAAAAAUUAUAAAAUUUGGAUCAAUGAUUUUUAUACAUGUCUAAUGUGAGUCUGUAAAGUUUCACGAUUUUAUGGUAAAACAAAAAAUUGUUUUGUAUUUUUAAAGCAAGUAUGUUCAAAACUAAAAACUGUUUGACAUCAUUGAUGAUGUCUAAAACAUAAUUUAUUUUCAAUAAUUUUUGAAGGAAAUAAGUUAUGAAAUUCUUAUCAAUGAACUUUCAAUAUGUCAGCAUAUGAUCUGUAAAAUUUGAGAGUUUUCCAAGAAGGGAAUAAUUUAUUAAAAAUCAGAGAACAUGGAUGUUCAAUUUUGAGGGCCAAAUAAAGAGGACAUUUGAGGGUGAGUUUAGGUACUGUUUAAAAUGAGAUAUUUGAGGAUACUGGAGUUAUAAUUGAGACUUUAUUAUAUCUUAUGAGAAUUUUGUUGAUGAUUUUAGUUCAAUGAUAUCAGUACGCAUUUGUUACAUGAUGAUGCCAAUAGGUAAGUAAACUAGACUUCAAAAUAAAUCAUAAUAAACAAUAUGUAUAUGUUUGACUUGUUUGAAAAACCUAUUUUUAAUAAGUACGAAUAUGGAUUUAUAUGUUUCUGCCCAUAUGUAUAUGUGAUGUGUUGUUGUGUGCGUGAUUAUAUAUAUAGGUAAAUGUAUAUGUAAAAUUUCAUUGGCAUAAGCACAAAAAUGCAUUAAGUUUUCUAUGAAUGAGAAAAUGGAUUUUAGCAAAUAAAAUUUUUGCUUUAUGAGAUUUUGCAUUAGGGGCCACCUCUUGAGACUGUGCGGGGGCCACCUCCCGAGGGCCGACGUGCUGCGAAGUGCCACACAUGGUGCAAAGUGCCAUGCACAGCGCAAAGUGCCAUAUUGCAGGAUAUGCAUUUUAUUGAAAGAAAAUGUGAAAGUUUGAAAGUGGUAGAAAUAGAUUUUGACAAAUUUGUUUUACAAUAUUUCCAAAAGAUCAUGGCAUAUCAUCCAUUUGCAUUAUGUAUAAAUAUGUAUGUAUUUGGGUUUAAGAAAAACUAAUUUACUUUAUGAGUUUUUUACUCAUUAUAGUUUAUUGUGAUUCAGUUUCCAUAUGUCAGGAUUGAUUUAUAAUGAGUGAGAAGGUGGAUUUGAAUUGAGGAUGGUAGAUAGUUUGGCUAAAUUAUUAAAUUAUUGCGCUGGCUUUUGUAUUUAAGGCUUGAAUUAUUAUUGGUUGUGAAGAGUUAUUUAAAUUUAUAUGAGUUGUGGUCAGAUUUGCUCUCAGAGUUCAGGCUAGGGUGUUACAUAUGGCAUAAGAGCGGGGACGCUGAGUCCCUAAGGGGGUAUAUGUAACACCCUAGGUGAAUCCUACAACGGCAAGGCACGGGAGAGAUGUUGGGUUUGUAAAGGGUGAUCCACACCUUAAUUGACAAGACGCAUUUUGGAGUGUAUGGGUGCCCCAGGAACAAAACCGCGCGGGCCUUGUUUAGGCUGAAAGUAGACAAUAUCUUGACAGGUAUGGGUUGGGUCAUGAAAGAUAUAUUGUCAUGAUGUAAGGUUGGGACAUUUUGGCCAUUGUUUUAAGCUCUGAGCAUUUUUCAUUCUUUGAUUUUAAUUGAGCUUCUAGUUUCGCUAGAUCAUGUAAUAGGUAAAUACUAAAUAAAAUAGUGUAUUUUUAUCAAUAAAGAUGUACAAUUAGUUUAUUCUUACAAUUAAACGAGAGUUACAAUCUUGUAAUGCGUGUUUUUCAUUACUUAGACUAACGUAGCAUGUUUACUUUCAUAUUAAACUAUUUGGAAAAUAACAUAUAUAUUACACAUCAGAUGAGAUGGUAGUGAGUUCAAAUAAAAAAUUAAUGUUGUGAUUAGAUCAUUGAUACAAACGGAAGUACAUCACGGAAGACCUUAAUAUAUUCAAUCAAAUCAAGAAUGAAUUAGACAAACCCUAAAUCAAGGAAUCACAUGCGAGAAACAAGGACCGAAAUCAAAAUAAAAGACAAAUUGCAAGCAAUUUAAUGGGUUGGCCUUAAGAGGGCCUACAUCCACUGGAGAAUAGAGCAAUGAGUUUUCAUAGAAAACAUUACUAAGAACAAGAUGAACUAACUUUCUCUCUCUAACUCUUGCUCACUAUCUUUCAAUUGUCACGCAAAGAUUGCACACUUAUCAACCUCAUAAAGGCUGUUACUGGUAAACUCAGAAGCUUUCCCUAACUUUCCUGUUUAAUCUAACAGCUUUAACCAUCUUGGGCACUUGUCACACAAGUGGGAACUUAAGGUAUUCGAAUAUGACUUCAAGAUGUUGCCGUUUUUCUUAUAGUUGGACCACAAGCGUUUCACGUGCUAAAUAAUUAUCUCUGGUAUGACUUUUGUUUAAUUGUCGGUUAAGCUGUUCUUCAGCACAAUUGACAUAUUGGAGGAUUAUCUAAAACUACAACGACAUGUCGCAUAUUUGUUUUUAACGGUUUCAUUAAAUAAGAAUUGGUUACAAUCGGUUAAAAUAUCCACUAUCCAGUUAGUGAGCUAAACCUGAGUUAGUAGUAAAUAAUAAUUUGUUUUAUAAUCAAUUAUGAGAAUUGGCUCCAGUCUACAGUUAGUUAUAUAAACAAGGCCUGAGUCACUCACAAAAUUGAUUUAACAUUAAUCAACAACAUUCUCCCAAAGAUUCAACCUCUUUCUUUUAUUACAUUCUCCAAGAUUCAUCAUCAUUUUUGUAUUUUUCUUUCUUUCACCAUUAUUCAUCAAUCAUCAGCUCUUUCUUUAAUCUCCAUCAUGUGGAACUACUUUUGCAUUAUCUUCAAUUUGACCUCUUUGGUCAUGCUAUCAAUAUUGUGUUAAUGGUCUUGAUACAUGCAUUGCUGGGAGAGAUAGAGAACAAUCCCCCCAUCAGAUAUGGAAUAAAUUGGGUCUUACUUGAUCUUCUUGAAGAAUUAACUCCACUUGAAGAGCGAUUCUUCUGGAAAUCAUCCUCUGCCAUGUACAUGAUUUGCAGUCUAUAAUGUGAUACUAGGGGAGGUAGCAUUUAUGCUUAGAGGCUGAUUAAAUUUCUUGCUUUACACUGUGGCUGGACAGUGUACAAAUGCUUUACUAAAAGAGGCUUAAUUAAUGGUAGUUUUAAGAUUGAUGAAUAGGAUGAUAGCGUGAUUUUGUUGUUGCCUCUAUUGGGUGGGAUGUAGCAGUGCAAGAUUGGGAUCAAGUGCUAAAGGUAUCUAUUCUAUCUUUUGUCUUGAUUUGUUUUAUUUCGAGUUAUGCAUGAAAGUUUGCUUUAUUUUUCUUUAAUCUUUAAACAUGGAAGUUUAUAAACUUUUCUAAUAAAGUGGGGAAUGGAUUGAUUGUUUGUUGGUAAAGAUAAUUGAAUGUUAAGGGAAUUGAAGUUUAUGAGAGUUAAAUGUUCUUUUAGGUCACUUUGUACUUUGCAAUUUACGAAUCGUAUCACUUAUGAAUAUUGCAGAGAAUAAUUUCAAAUAAAACAAUUUUCCAAGUGGACUUAUUUCUUUAUGAAGAACAAUCAAGAGACUCUUUACAACAUAUCUCAUGAUAAGACUCCCAAAGAUCAGCUUUAUAUGCUUUUUCAGUUAGUAAAGUAUGAAGACCAUCAACUCAACAGAUCCAUUAAGUCCACCCACCUAGUAAAUGAUUGUGGAGAACAUAUUUUCCUAUGCAAGCAAGAUUUGAGCUGUUAGCAAGAAAGAAGAAACAAAAAGGAAGAAAUAUCUAAAGUAGUCCCAACUAGUCCACAUGAUGAAGUAUGAAUAACAAGUUGAUGAAUAUUAAUGGUGAAAGAAAGAAUAAUGAAAUAUCUUAAACUCUGAAAAAUUUAAUUCAUUAACAAUUAUAAAGAAAAUAUGGUAAGGUAACAACUUAGAGUAGAUAUAUAGAUUCAUGAACUUACUAACUAAUUCUUUAUGUCUUUCCUUUUAUAAAUUCAUCCAAAAAAUGACCAUAUACAUGAAAGCACCAGAAUUUCCACUGUCUUCAUAAAAAAGAAAUUAGAUUCAUUCCGGAAAUGUUAGCCAAGACCAAUUAAUUCAUCGAGCGUAUUUUGGUAAUAGUGCUAUAUUAUGUGCAACAAAAAAGGCUAAAUUUUUAAACACCCAAUGACAAGUGUAAACAUUUAAAUGCUUGAACAAUGGAUUUGCUUCUUCAUUACUUCUAUAUAUAUAUAUAUAUAUGGAUUAUUAUAUUACCAAUAUUAGAAUUUUUUAAAUUUGUUACCUAAUUAGUCUCACACCUACUCCUGCACUUGCUAAAACUUCAAGGUUUUUUGUUGUCAUCAAUCAAUCUUCUUAAAUUUGUUUCAAAAAAAUUAUUUCCAUGUUGUGCUUGACUGUUUAGCUGAUAAUACCACUGCAGAUGAUAGAUCAACAAUCGUUGCGGCUAAACAACUCGAAAAAUGCAUCACUCCAAAAUUAUGCAUUUUCAAUGCUUGACAUCAAUUGUCUCUGUGUAUCAGUAGAUGAAUAACUACUUCAGAUAAUCUCCAUUUUAACUAUUACUAGAUUAAAUUAUUCAUAUGUAGUUCUAACUUACAUGAAUGGUUGAGAAUUUUGUGUUAAGAUUUUAAGCUGAAAAGAUUUAUUAUUUCCUUUGUAUCAGUUGGCCAUGAAUUCACUUUAUACCCGAUUACCCGAGUUUGAGUAAAAAUUCUUUGGGGCAGGGGUUAAUAUUUUGUGGGUAAUGAUUUUCAUUUCCAUCCAAACCUUAUACAUGUAAGUAUCUUUUUGAUUGCCCACUAAAUCCCUGACCUUCAUUCUCCAUCAAAUUGCAAAAGGAGGAAUUUGAAAUAUAUUUAGAACGAUUCACUUGUUUUCGAGAGUAUAUUUAUCCACUUGUUAUCAUGAUCAUGGUUUCAAUAGCUAGUUUGAAGAUGUAAUUGCAUAGUGGGGUUUAUAUAUGACUUAAAUCUGGUUCAUCAACGGUAAAGCAGUUCAUUACUUGAAUGUAUUAACAGAUUAGUUUGAGUAUUGCUGCUAAAGAUGCUCACCAAAUUAUAUCCAAGUUUUGGGAAUAAAAUAAGUUGCAUUCUGAAAUUGUAUCCUAGGCAUUUACGGUCGGUAGCUUUUUAGCAUUUUCAAGUUAAUCAUUUGGAGGCGUAGCUUCAUCGGAUUUUCUGUAGACAAAUGCCAAAUUUAAAGGAUAGUCAGAUAUAUUACUUAUGAUGAAAAUACAUAGGAGGUGCCAUGGAAGAAGAGGCGGCAGCAGUCUUUUCAUUUAGUUUGGCAAAAAAAGUUUUGUGCAGAUCAUCAACUGCUGCAUCCAUUUGAAGAAACUCCUGAUGAUUGAUCUCAUUAACUGGGGUUUCCCACCAAUGUGGUUGAGUCUCUUUCCCCUUCCUAUUCUGCUUCAAGAUCUUCUCCCGUGCAUUUUCCUCAUCCAGCUGGCGCAGCAGCUCAUUAUGCUGCUGAUUCAGCUCACUAAUUCUCACCCGGCGGUAAGCCUCAACCAGCAAAUGAGUGUUGUCAUUCGGAUGCUCCUGGUUCAACCCCAGGAAGCGGUUCGCAACGGCUUCUAGGGAGGGAUGCCCGAAUGAGAAAGGCUUCCCAGAUGGUGAGAACACCACAAUUCCAAUCUCAGCUCCAGUGAGAGUGGCAAGCUCACUGGCCUUCUUGUAGAUACCUGAUCUACGUUUUGAAAAUGCUAUCAUUCUAUCGUUCUCAUUCUCUAUCUUUUUCAUUUCAAUCUUUUGUCUCCCUCUGGUUUUCUUGGCUGCCAUUUGGAAAAUCGAUGUGAUGGGCUUAUUUCUUUUUCUAUGAACAAUGAUUUUUUUGCUCUUUGAUAUGAUCGUUUUAUGAUGAAUUUAUAAGAGGAAAGACGCAUAACAUUACCAUAUUUAAUACAGGUGUAUAAAGCUACUGAAUGACUUACCAUAAACUCUUGAAGAAUUUAAUUCAUUAACAAUUUUAUAAAGAAAAUAUGGAAUGGUAACAACUUAGAGUAAAUACAUAAAUCCUCCACCUUCCUAAUUAUAAAGUGUAAAGAAAAUAUGAUGAGGUAACAACCUAGGUUUGUAUAAGUGUUUUCAAAAAAGAAAUUAUUAUCUUCUUAAUUUAUCAAAAUUAUAAAUUUAGUCCUUUAUCCCAAGUCAGAACCGCAAAAAUUAUUAUGUACAAUAAAACCUUGAUAAAUUACUUGUAUUGGGACUAUAAAAAAUUUAUUAAUUAAUAGCUGAUGUUUCUUAAAAGCUAAAUCAAUAAAUAAAUAGGUAUUUAACCUCGACAAAUUAAUAGUUGAUGAUUCUAAAAAAUAAAUAAAUGAACAAGUAUUUAAUCGUUUAAAGGACAUAUUACAUAUAUGUGAAAAUACUCAUUUCCAGAUAUUUUUGUUUUAGGAAAAAAAAAAGUAACGUUUCUAAUCAAUACUAAGAAAUGGAAAAUAAAUGUAUCAUUCAAAUUUAUACAUUUUCACGUAUUCGUUCUUCGAUCAGAUUGAGAGCUCUUCAUAUUUCCGACAUAAAAUCAAAUGUUACAUCAAGUUUCAAGUCAAUAAUUCGAAGCCUUUAUUAAGAUUUGAUGCACAACCCCAAAUCAAGAGCGCUCUCGCAAACUUUUAAGGCCUCUUGUGAAUUCUUCAUCCGAAAACGCCACCCGAAGUUGCCUCUUUUGUUCUCGAGAUUGAUUAUUUUUCUUAGCUGGCGGUAAGCCCCAAUAAGUGGACGAGUGUUGUCAUUUGAUGGCUGCUUCAACCCAAGAAACCGUUUGCAACAGCUUCAAUGGAGGAUGACCAACUGAGAAAGGCUUGCUAGUGAGAUCACCACAAUCUAAUCUCAAUGCCAGUGAGAGUAACAAGCUCACUUGCCUUCUUGUAGAUUUCGGAUCUCUGUUUGGCGAAUGUUAAUCAUCAUGUCACCUCAUUUUCAAUCCUCCUCAUCUCAAUCUCUUGAAGAAGCUAGAGAUUAAUUAAGAUGAAGAAGAUUGAAAAUAAGGAUGAUAGAAUGUCACACUCUCUAAAUGUAGAUCCGGGAUCUACAAGAAGGCCAGUGAGCUUGUCACUCUAACUAGCACUGAGAUUGGCAUUGUGGUGUCCUCACUAUCUGGCAAGCCUUACUCCUUUGGUAACCCCUCCAUUGAAGCUGUUGUAAACCGCAUCCUGGGAUUGACCCAGCCACCAAAUGAUAACAGUCACCCCCUUGCUAAGGCUCAAUGCCAAUUACUCUCUGUUCAAUAAAAUCCAAAAAAAAAUAAAAAAAAGAUUUUUCUCUUUUAUUUUUACUCCUAGUAAUGUUAAUUUAAGGCUUGGACAAGGCUCAAGAAAAAUGUCAAGACAUUUAUAGGGAACAACGCGUAAAAUAUAUACACCCAUGCACGUGAGCGCGUGCAUGUGUGUAUCAUACAUAAAUGUAAACUUAGUUGUGCUCUUUAAAAAAAAAUACAAACUCAAGCUCUCCAGAUUACUUAUUCAAGCAUGUUAUAGGUAAAUGAGUUCAAAUUUACCUAAGUAUUUCAAAACCAGAGAACAACAACAUUAAUUAUAAAAAAUCUGACGAUAUCUAGCCAAUUUUACCUAAUAAAUAAGCAAUGAUAAUAAUAGCCCUUAGAAUCCUUAACAAAUAGUUUUUAAGAAGUUUUAUUUAGUUGGCCACCCAAAUUUGAAUUUUCUGCGAGAUACAGUAACACCUCUAUAAAUUAAUAAUUUUGGAACCGCACAAUACCUAUUAAUUUAAAGAGAUAUUAAUUAAUAGAUAAAUUAAUAAUUUAUAAAUUGUAUAUACAAUCCAAAGAACAUACAUUUUAUUCAAUUAAAAAUUCAUUGUGUUUUACGAAUCUAAUCAAUUAAGAAUGAAUUAAUCCACUAAAUGUGAGUUAAAUUAACCAAAAAAUAAAAAAUCUUGCAAUUUUAGAAUUCAAUCAUAGAACUUCUAGAAGUAUUAAGGAAAAUUAAAGGUGAAAUCAAACUAUAUUUUAACUUCAAGAAAAAACAAGUGGCAAUAGGAUCAUAGUUUAUUACAAAAUAUUUGUAAUUUUUGUAAAUUAUUGAUUUGUACGUAAAUAUAAUAUUAUCGCUGAUGGGUAGUGGUUGAAAGGAAUUUAAUCGAUACCAUCAAAUGUAAAAUUUCGAACACUAGUAGAAAGAAAAUGACCUUCAAUGAUGUGUAAAUAGUGUCAAUAAUAUGUUUUACUGACACUGAACUUUAAUACCAAAAAAUUUGUAUUCAACAAAUACUGACACUAUAAUUUAGUGUUAGUGAUUUUGGUGUUAGUGAAUUCAAUUAACAUGCUAUUAGACAAAUAUUAAUACAACAUACUCACAAGAAGGGUAAAAUCUCGUUUAGUCCCUAUAUUUUGAGGUUAGUACCCAUUUAGUCCCUAUAUUUUUAAAAAUACCUCAAAACAUCCCCGACAUUAAAUUAUUAGCACAUUUCCUCUUACUUUUUGUUGCUUUUGGCUUAAUUUUUACAAUAUUACCCUUUUACAAUUUUUUUUUGCACAUUAGUAAAAAGAAAAAAUAAUUAUCAAUUUAAUCUCAAAAAAUAAAAUAGAAACAAAAAAUUAAUAUAUGUUACUUUUUUGUAACACACUACUGAGGAAUUAAUAUAUUAAUUUUUUUAUUAGAAUGUCCAAAAAAAUAGGUAAUUUAAUUAUUUUUACAAUAAAUUUGUUUUGGACACAUGUAAGCUUUCACAAAAAUUAAUAUAUAUUCUUUUUGUUUUUAUUUUAUUUUUGGGAUUAAAUUGAUAAUUUAAUUUUUUUAUUAAUUUUAUAAAAAGAAAUAUUAUUGUACGAGGAUACUAUUGUAAAAGCAAGUCAAAAGAAACAAAAAAAUAACAGUAGGGAUGUCAAUAAUUUAAAGGGCAGGGAUAUUUUGAGGCAUUUUUAAAAAUACAUAAACUAAAUGGGCACUAAUAUUAAAAUAUAGGGAUAAAACGAGCUUUUACCCUCACAAGAAUAAUCAUACUAUGGAAUUUAAAAACAAAAACAUCUAUUACAAUAGCACCAUCAAAAGACUAACACCGUGGUAUCAAUGUUUAUUUGAAAAAUUAAAAAAAUAAAAGAAAUAAAAAAUUUGAAAAUGCAAUUUAAUAGAAAUAUAUGUCCAUUGAAUGAAAAUACUGGCAAAUUAAUUAUUACAUUGUUCACACAAAUAGUUCUAUCAAAUUCAACAUCCACUAGAACCAAAAAUUAAAGGACCAAGAUACACACUAUGUGGUAAAAAAAUAUGCUAAAAGUACAUAAACUAAUGAUCCAUUACACAAAAUAAAUAGCUCAUGAAACCAUAAAACUGAUAUGCUAAAAGUAAAUCACUAGCACCCAGCAACAUCCAACACAUCACUAGUAAUCACAGCCAACGACAUCUAACAGACACAAAACAUCCGCCAUCCCGAGUAAAUCUAUCGAACAAAACCAAUCAAUUUUACAAAUACAGUAGAUACUUAAAAAUGAUAAAGGAAAUGUUCACUUAAAACUAACUACAAAAAAUUAGAAAGCGCGACAUUAUAAACUUUACAUUAUUUAAAAAUGAUUACAUCCCCUAAAAUGUCUUGCAUACUGUUCAUAACGAUAUAAACGAAUAAACACUCAAUAACAAGUUUCUGGUGAAGAAACCAACUCAAGCUUAAAUGUAUGAAAUAUUGCUUUAUUAAGAGUGGAAACUAAAGUGCAAUAGAAAAAAAAAAAUUGAAUGAGUAGUUUAUGUAUCAAAGCUAUUUAAAGCUUGACCAAUUAUUUUUUAAAAAUAUUAUUAUAGCAUUAGUACUAAUAGUACUAAAUAAAAGUCUUUCAUACAUUGACUAUGCAAAUGGACAAAGUGUCACACAAAUGUAUUUGCUGGUCGUACGUGAUCCUAGUCCAAAUUCUAAUUUAUUUACUUGGCGGCACUUACAACAAUAGGCUUAACCUUAUAAACCAACAACCAUAACCUAACAUCAAAAUUGAACUCCCAUCAACAUCAUCAUAUACAUAUAAAAUUAUAGGCUCCAUUCUAUUCAAAGAACUAGUUACUAUAACCUUUCUCCUUUUUUAACAGUAGUUGAAACUUACUGACUAAGCCCUCAAUGUCAUAGAAAUGCAUACCUUAAGCACAUUCAUAAUUACCCAAUAAUUUUUGUACUUCAAUGAUAAAAGCGAAGAAAAAUCUUUGCCCGUCUCUCGUCAAUCUCAAAUGGCCAACCAAUAUGAUCGGAGGAGCCAGCUCUCGUUUUUCGUUCACUGUUUAUAAUCAGCUUUUUUGCUGGCGAACUUGGGUAAACUGCGCAUAAAACGAAUAAAACUUGGCCCAAUAACAAUCCUGGGCGCAACCCAAAAUGUCCAGGCACAAAUACAUUAUUAAUACUAAUAUUAAUACUAGUAACGAAUAACAAUAAAAAUAAUAAUGAUGUAAAAAAAAUUAAUCAUAUUAGAAAAUAAAUCAAUAAUCACAACAAUAUAAUCAAAUAAUACUAAUAAUUACUCAGUUGUUUUUUGGGUAUUGCAUCAAUGAUACAUGUUUUAAAUUUUAAUGGAUUUUAUGUUCUUUACAAAAAAGAAAGGACCCAACUAAAAAAUGCCCGGAUAUUAAUUUUAAACGCCUAAUGACAUUGACAAGUGCAAACAUUUAAAUGCUUGAAUAAUGAGUUUUGCUACUUAAUUACUUCUACACACACGUAUAGCAUUUAAAUGGAUUUUGCUCCUUAAUUACUUCUACACACACACACGUAUAUGGAUUAUUAUGUUGCAAAUAUUGGAAUUUUAAACAUUUGUUACGUAAUUAGUCUCACAUCUACUCGUUUACGUACUAAAACGUCAAGGCUUUUUGUUGUCAUCAAUAAUCUUUCUUAUAUUUAUUUCAAAUAAUAUUGUUUCCAUGUUGUGCUGGACUGUUUCGUUGAUAAUACCACUGCAGAUGAUAGAUCGACAAUCGUUUAUGUGGCUAAACAACUCGUAAAAAUGCAUCACCUCAAAAUCAUGCUUUUUCAAUGUAUGACAUCAAUUGUCUCUUGUGUAUCAGUAGAUAAGUAACUAUACCAUAAUUGCUGCUGUAGAUAAUCUGCAUUUUUUUUUUUUUUUUUUUGAUUAGAUGGGGCUCAAUCAAGCGAGCUAAACAGGAAUAAGACGGGGUUGAGUAACCCCAAACAAGUCUUGCACAAUAAUUGAAUAAAUACCCACAGGUUGGCUAGAAAAUAAGUGCAACCCAUGGGGGUAUGAAUGAGCCAUGUUUGCCAUAAAAUCUACCGCCGAAUUUGCUUCCCCAUAGAUAUGGGUGAUGGAAAUCUGCCAGUUUCUGUUAAUAAACUCCCGGACAGCAGCAACUAAAGCAUAGAAUUCGUUAGGCACAACCACCUGCUUCGAGAUCAAUUGAGUUCGAGAUCAAUUGAGUAACACAAAGGCUAUCCACUUCAACCAAAAGACAUUUUAUGCCAGCCUCCCAAGCUAGACGUAAUCCUUGGUACAAACCCCAAAGCUCAACCAUUAGCACCGAACUUUUUCCAAUAUUCAUACAAAAUCCAGAAAUCCAGUGUCGACAGAAUCUCGAAUAAUACCACCAGCUCCUGCACCCUCAGCUUUUCUACAAGAUCCAUCCGUAUUCAAUUUGCACCAAGGCCAUGGAGGUGGAAGCCAUCCAAUAAAAAUUUCCUUCCUCCGCUGCUGCUGACUUAUGUGGGAAUUAUUUAGUCUAUGGAUUUCGUUAGCCCUGGCCAUAAUAUCUAAACAUACUGUUGAGCUGUCCACCAACUUCCCAUCCACGAUAAAAUCAUUCCUCCAAUACCAUAAUCUCCACACCGCUACGCCGAAAAUACACUCCCAAGAUAAUGGAGAGGGAAUUUUCCACUUAUUUUGCAAAUUCGUAACAGUCCAAUCUCGUAAAGCAGACUGAAAGAAGGAGAAUUGAUGCCGAGCUGGAACAAGCCGAAGCCAAACCCGCUUGAUGCAAUGACAAUCUCUCAAGACGUGAAUAAUAUCCUCAAGUGGAGCCCCGCAACGAUCACAACCCAUAGAAACCAGAAUAUGCCCCCUAGAAAGUUCACUCUUGGUCUUUAACUUUGCAUGCAGAACCUGCCAAAGAAAGAUGCGUGUUGCUUGUGGCCCCUUCCAAGACCAUGCUAGAUUCCAUGCAUUAUCGGUAGCAGUGAAUUCCAGCUGACAUAGAGACUCAUAUGCCGAGCGAACCGUAAAGUUGCCACUUGGCUCAAAACGCCAGUAUAUUUUAUCAACACCAAGAAGAGGAUUAGGAGGCAUUACCGAAGCAAUUUGCAUCAGGAUAGAAUUAGGUAGCAAAUGUUCGAAAGCUGACCAGUUCCAGCCCCCAUGCACGUUUAUAAAAUCACUCACCUUAGCGUUAACCAACUCUUGAGGUACUGGAUGGACAGCGAGAUAGAUCAAAGGGCCUUGCUUUGUUGCCCAGCAGUCUAGCCAAAAGCGAGUUUGAGCUCCAUCACAGACAGCCCAGCGAGCUCCCUGCAUGGUGGCUGACCACGUGCUCUUUAUGGCCUUCCAGAUUCCAGAACCUUGUUUCUCAGGGAGGGACAACGGCAAGUGUCUCGGAUCCAACCCAUACUUUGUGCAAAUAACCUUUACCCACAGCUUGUCUGAGUUCGAAACAACUUCCCAGCUCAGCUUCAUCAACAAAGCCUGAUUCAUCACAUCCAGCUUCUUAAACCCCAGGCCACCAUGUUCCAAAUUCUGUUCCUAGCCAUUUACGGUCGGUAGCUUUUUAGUAUUUUCAAGUUAAUCAUUUGGACCUGUAGCUUCUUCAGAUUUUCUGUAGACAAAUGCCAAAUUUAAAGGAUAGUCAAAUAUAUUAUUUAUGAUGAAAAUACAUGGGAGGUGCCAUGGAGGAAGAGGUGGCAGCAGGCUUUUCAUAUAGUUUGGCUAGAAAAGUUUUGUGCAGAUCAACUGCUGCAUCCAUUUGACGCGGCUCCUGAUGCUUGAGCUCAUCAACUGGGGUUUACCACCAAUGAGGCUGAGUCUCUUUCCCCUUCCUAUUUUGGUUCAGGAUCUUCUCCCGUGCAUUUUCCUCAUCCAGCCAGCACAGCAGCUCAUUAUGCUGCUGAUUUAGUUCACUAAUUCUCACAUAGCGGUGAGCUCAACCAGCAGAUGAGUGUUGUCAUUCGGAUGCUCCUGGUUCGCAACGGCUUCUAGGGAAGGAUGCCCGAAUGAGAAAGGCUUCCCAGAUGGUGAGAACACCACAAUUCCUAUCUCAGCUCCAGUGAGAGUGACAAGCUCACUGGCCUUCUUGUGGAUGCCUGAUCUACGUUUAGAGAAUGUUAUCAUUCUAUUGUCCUCAUUCUCUAUCUUCUUUAUUUCAAUCUUUUGUCUCCCUCUGGUUUUCUGGUUGAUAUGAGCGUUUGUGAUGAGUCUAAGGUUAAGAAUUUAUCUGUUUUAAGUAAUUAAUGUUAGGAAAUUGGUGGGUGAAGCAGACACGCAGCUAAAGUGAAAUUGUAAGAAAAUAAAGAACAAACACAAUAGAGGACACUAGAAAAUUACGUGGUUCGGCUUUUAGCCUACGUCCACAGGCGAAGACAGAAGGAAAUAUUUUACUAGUGAAAAGGAGUUACAAGUAUUGUAGUAUUUUAGCUCACUUCCCAAAACCCCAAUACACCCAAACUCUCUAACUCAUUAGACACUCAAGAGUUUAUUAAACUCUUAAAACUCUCAACACUCAAGAAAGCAAUGCUUCUCUCUCGAUGGAAUUGAAUGAUAUACAAAUGAAGGGAGCCAGUGUUUUUAUAGCCAAAAUUAGCUACUGUUCAUUUAAUAUUUAAUUAUUAUUAUUAUUUUAUUAAUUUUUCUUUUUCUUUUCCUUCUUCGGCCCGGCAUCUCUUUUUCUUCUUUCUCUUUCGUUUCUUUCCUUGGGCGGCAUCUACUUGGCCUUCAAAGCCGUGUGCCACCAAUGAAGCUUAUUCAAAGCUUCUAGAUGCAGCUUCUAGAUGCUGCAGCCAAAGUAUUUUGACAUUCUCCCACUUGGAGAUUAGAUUGAAAAUCAAUCAAUCUCCACAUCAUCCUUUCUGCUUCGCCAUAAUCAUGUUGCCUACGUUUCUGCUAGGCCACAAGAGGAUCUACUCCAGAUAAACUUGUCAGCAUUUAUCGGCUUGGUCAAAACAUCUGCUAGGUUCUCCUUCGUAUGGAUUUUCUGUAAAUCCACACUUCCAUCUUCCACUACUUCACGAACGAAGUGAUACUGGACUCCUAUGUGUUUUGUCCUGGAAUGAAAAGCUGGAUUCCUUGCAAUGUGCAAGGCACUCUGACUGUCACAAAACACAUGAAUUUUCUGUUGUUUGUGCCCGAGCUCCUCCAAUAACCUUUGUAUCCAAAUAGCUUCCUUGCAAGCUUGUGUAGCUGCCAUGUAUUCUGCUUCUGUUGUAGAUAAAGCCACAACGGUCUGCAGUUUCGAAACCCAGCUUACAGCUGCUCCCGUAAGUGUAAACACAUAACCAGUAGUGGAUUUUCUUUUAUCAAGAUCUCCUGCAAAAUCUGAAUCCACAUAGCCCCUGACAGUAAACUCUGAUCCUCCAUAACAUAACGCAACAUCUGA
RNAcentral lists this long non-coding RNA (96298 nucleotides) under Citrus maxima (pomelo). RNAcentral's name for it is "long non-coding RNA (CMAX_LNC003838)". The stretch from base 34400 to 34506 matches the Rfam family "Plant small nucleolar RNA R71". Lineage: Eukaryota; Viridiplantae; Streptophyta; Magnoliopsida; Sapindales; Rutaceae. The record is from RNAcentral.